RNAcentral lists this long non-coding RNA (101198 nucleotides) under Capsicum annuum. RNAcentral's name for it is "long non-coding RNA (CANN_LNC016772)". Lineage: Eukaryota; Viridiplantae; Streptophyta; Magnoliopsida; Solanales; Solanaceae. The record is from RNAcentral.
GCCAGUGGCUUAAUGAACUUCGAGAUGCUGUGGACGGCGCUGAAAACUUAAUGGAACAAGUCAACUAUGAGGCUUUAAGGCUUAAGGUGGAAGGUCAACUUCGAAAUCUUGCAGAAACAAGCAACCAGCAAGUAAGUGACCUCAACCUGAGCUUGAGUGAUGAUUAUUUUCUUAAUAUAAAGGAGAAGUUGGAAGACACCAUUGAAACAUUGGAGUUGUUGGAAAAGCAAAUCGGUCGCCUUGGCUUACAGAGGUAUUUCGAUUCGGGUAAGAAACUAGAAACUAGAACACCUUCAACUUCUCUGAUUGAUCAAUCUGAUGUCUUUGGUAGGCAGAAUGAAAUAGAGGAAUUGAUUGACCGUUUAUUGUCUAAGGAUGCAAGUGAAAAAAGUCCGACUGUUGUCCCUAUUGUUGGGAUGGGGGGCGUGGGCAAGACAACACUUGCUAAAGCUGCUUACAAUGAUGAGAAGGUAAAAAGCUAUUUUAAUUUGAAAGCUUGGUUUUGUGUGUCUGAGCCAUAUGAUGCUAUCAGAAUAACAAAAGGGUUACUUCAAGAAAUUGGCUCAUUUGACUUAAAGGAUGACAAUAAUCUCAAUCAGCUACAAGUCAAAUUGAAGGAAAGCCUUAAUGGAAAAAGGUUUCUCAUUGUCCUUGAUGACAUGUGGAACAAUGACUAUAAUGAGUGGAAUGACUUGACAACUCCUUUUAUACAAGGAGAUAUGGGAAGUAAGAUCAUUGUAACUACACGUAAGAAGGAUGUUGCCCGGAUGAUGGGUAGUGGGGCAGUCAACGUGGGGACUCUGUCUAGUGAAGCCUCUUGGGCUUUAUUCAAACGACAUUCGUUAGAAAACAGGUAUCCUGAGGAACAUCUAGAACUUGAAGAGGUUGGAAAGCAAAUUUCAGACAAGUGCAAAGGAUUGCCUUUAGCUCUAAAGGCACUUGCUGGUAUUUUANNNNNNNNNNNNNNNNNNNNNNNNNNNNNNNNNNNNNNNNNNNNNNNNNNNNNNNNNNNNNNNNNNNNNNNNNNNNNNNNNNNNNNNNNNNNNNNNNNNNNNNNNNNNNNNNNNNNNNNNNNNNNNNNNNNNNNNNNNNNNNNNNNNNNNNNNNNNNNNNNNNNNNNNNNNNNNNNNNNNNNNNNNNNNNNNNNNGAGUCUUCUGAAAGAGAUGGAGGGAAAUUCUUAAUGCAUGAUCUUGUCAAUGAUUUGGCCCAAAUUGCAUCUUCAAAACUUUGUGUCAGGUUGGAAGAGUGCCAAGGACCUCAUAUGUUGGAACAAAGUCGGCAUAUGUCGUAUGCAAUGGGGAAAGGUGGUGACUUUGAGAAAUUGAAACCGCUCUCUAAGUCAGAGCAGCUAAGAACAUUGCUUCCAAUAUCUAUCCAGUACCUUUACCGCCCUAAGCUAAGCAAGAGGGUGCUGCAUAACAUACUGCCAAGGCUAACAUCUUUAAGGGCAUUAUCGUUGUCAUGUUAUGAGAUUUUGGAGUUGCCGGAUGCUUUGUUUAUCAAAUUAAAACUCCUGAGAUUUUUGGACCUUUCUCGGACGCAGAUUAAAAAAUUGCCCCAUUCCAUCUGUGCAUUGUAUAACUUGGAGGCACUUCUCCUGUCAUCUUGUGCAUAUCUUGAGGAGCUACUGCCGCAGAUGGAAAAGCUAAUCAACUUGUGUCAUCUUGACAUAAGCGACACUUCUCGCUUGAAGAUGCCGCUACAUCUGAGCAAGUUGAAAAGCCUCCAAGUGCUAGAUGGAGCCAAAUUUCUUUUAGGUGGCCCCUGUGGUUGGAGAAUGAAAGAUUUGGGUGGAGCACAUUACUUGUAUGGAUCUCUAUCAAUUUUGGCGUUGCAAAAUGUGGUUGAUAGAAGGGAAGCUCAGAAGGCAAAGAUGAGGGAGAAGAAUCAUGUUGAAAAGUUAUCGUUGAAAUGGAGUAAAAGUGAUGCUGACAAUUCACAAACUGAAAGAGACAUACUUGAUGAACUACGCCCACACACAAACAUAAAAGAACUCCAAAUCUGCAGAUAUAGAGGGACACAAUUUCCAAAUUGGUUUGCUGAUCCUUCGUUUCUUAAGCUGCUAGUACAAUUGUCUCUUAGCAACUGCAAGGACUGUUAUUCCUUGCCAGCACUAGGACAACUUCCUUCUUUGAAAUUCCUUUCCAUUAGAGAGAUGCAUCGAAUAACAGAGGUGAUGGAGGAAUUCUAUGGUAGUCCGUCCUCCAAAAAGCCUUUUAACUCUCUUGAGAAGCUUGAAUUUGCAGCGAUGCCGGAGUGGAAGCAGUGGCACGUACUACGGAAUGGAGAGUUUCCUGCACUUCAGGACCUUUCAAUUGAUGAUUGCCCCAAGUUGGUUGGGAAGUUCCCCGCGAAUCUUUGUUCUCUGACGAAAUUGAGAAUCUCAAGAUGUCCUGAACUCAAUUUGGAGACACUCAUCCAACUUUCAAGUUUAAAAAAGUUUGUAGCUUCUUAUUCUCCUAAGGCUGGGGUUCUCUUUGAUGAAGCUGAACUAUUUACAUCCCUACUUGAGGGAAUGAAGCAGAUUGAGGAAUUAUCUAUUAGUAAUUGCAACUCUCUUACCUCCAUGCCUACUAGCACUCUGCCGAGUACGUUGAAGACAAUAAGGAUAUGGCGUUGCCAGAAAUUGAAAUUGGAGAUGAUUUCUAAGAUGUUUCUGGAGGUAUUGAGACUGGAUGAAUGUGAUUCUACAUCAUCAACUGAGUUGGUCCCAAGAGCACGCAAUUUGUAUGUAAGGAGUUGCCAAAACCUUACUAGUUUUUUGAUUCCUAAUGGGACUGAAACACUCCAUAUUAGUGAUUGUGAGAAUCUUGAAAUACUUUCGGUGGCAUGUAGGACCCAGAUGAUGUCAUUAGGUAUCCACAAUUGCAAAAAGCUGAAGCGGCUGCCAGAACGUAUGCAGGAACUCCUUCCCUCUCUUAAUAAACUGGAACUGUGGACUUGUCCAGAAAUAGAGUCCUUUCCUGAUGGAGGAUUGCCCUUCAAUUUACAACUCCUUACGAUCAACAAUUGCGAGAAACUGGUGAAUGGCCGAAAGGAGUGGCGUUUACAGAGACUCCCCUCUCUCAGAGUGUUACGCAUCUACCACAAUGGCAGUGACGAAGAUAUUGUUGGUGGUGAGAAUUGGGAGUUGCCUUGCUCUAUUCGAAAGCUUACCAUAAGCAAUAUGAAAACAUUAAGCAACCAACUUCUCAAAAGGCUCACCUCUUUUGAAUAUCUAUAUAUUAGUGAUUUACCUCAAGUUAAGUCACUGCUUGAAGAAGGGCUUCCCUCCUCCCUCUCUGUGCUGACCAUCGGGAAUUGCCGUAAUCUCCAAUCCCUUCCAGUAAAAGGGAUGCCCUCCUCCCUCUCUAAGCUGUCCAUCGAGGAUUGCCCUAAUCUCCAAUCCCUUCCAGUAAAAGGGAUGCCCUCCUCCCUCUCUGAGCUGUCCAUCUCUCAUUGCCCUAAUCUCCAAUCACUUCCCGAAUCAGCGUUUCCCUCCUCCCUCUCUGUGCUGACCAUCGAGUAUUGCCGUAACCUCCAAUCACUUCCAGUAAAAGGGAUGCCCUCUUCCCUCUCUAAACUAUCUAUUCGCUACUGCCCAUUGCUCGAACCACUCCUAGAAUAUGACAAGGGGGAGUACUGGCCAGAAAUUGCUCACAUCUCCACCAUAAAUAUUGAUGGCAAAUUCCUUUGAUGACUUAAACCGAAUGGUAAGUUAUUCUUUUCCCACAGAAGCUUUUUAUUUUUUACUUCCCUUUGUUCUUUUGUUAAUUCUCUCUUUUUUAAAUCUUAUUGAGAAGUGUGGAGCUUCUGUUGCUCCAACCACAUCUAGUAUUCGAUAAGCGGGUAUGCUAGCCAAAAAUUUCUUGUUUGUUAGUAAUUCUGUUUCUUUGUUUAAUUAUUUUGACCAGUGUGUAGCAUCUAUUGCCUCUGUGAAGCCGAGGAAGCAUCUUCAGAUCAAGAUAAAGUAUUUAUACUUGCACUGGAACAUUCAAAAAGAAAUCUAGUGUAGCUCCACAAAAUUGAUUGUUCAAUACGUAGACUCUCUUUUCUUGUCUAUUAACUUAUGUUCUCCCUCAAAUCUUGCAGACGAAAAUAUGAUUCGCCAUCAAGAAAGCUGUUCCGCUUUGUUCUGCAUUUUUUCGUCUCUUCUACAGAGAUAAAGGGUCCAAGAUGCUUCAGUUACCAAGAUGCCUCCCAAUAAGUUAAAACUACUAAAAGCAUCAGCACUGUGCAGUUUUUUGUUAAUGAUUAUUGGAUAUCAACUUUGCAAAUUUUAUUCUUUGUCAGGAUUUUCGUAUGCUGUUACAACUCUCAGCUCAGUUGGUAAAAGGAAAAUUCUGCUGCAAUUCUCUAUUGAAUAGAAAGUCACUCGAAUGUGGUCUGACAGCAAAGUGUAAGUGAACAAAGACUAGUCAUUUUUUUAUCAUCUAGUGAUCUUGACUAUCAGUCCAAGGUUUUGUUAUCGUUGGCUGUAAACGUUGUACUAAUGCUUUAAAUUUUUAUACAUAAAUAUGUGUGAUCAUCAGAAUGAUGUAUCUCUUUGCUAUUGAUGACGUUUAAUUUUCUUUUCAGGAUAUAAAUUACGUUGUGCUCAUUUAUCAAACACAUAGCUUUAAAUUAAGGCUCCAUAGAGAAUCUAUUGAAAAGAUAAUGACAGAUAACAAUCAGAAGUUUUAGGAAAUAAGUAAACUUCCAUUGUCGGGAUUUUGGGAGCUAUUCAACAUCCAAUUGCCGUCUCAGUUAGAUUGCUUGUCCUUACCAUUUUCCUUUAAACAAGUCACUUCAGGUUGGGAAUAUCUUCCUCCGGGAAAGAUGUCAUUGCCUUGUGAUCUUGGUUUCGACUUACUGAAAAAAGUAGACAAUUUACAAGUUUUUGAGAUAUCACACAAGUCGGAAGUUCAGCAGAAAGAAGGUCGAGAUGGACCUGAAGAAACUGAGAGGGACUCUCCAUGGCAUCAACAGCUUAUUCUGUAUUUUGGUACGUUUAGUACAUAGAGGAGUUCAACUGAGAAGCCAACCUCUUUAACCAACGUGCAGCCCAUUUUUAUAUAAAUUCUGUUUGUGCUUUUUCAUGAUCAGGAGAGUGGUGUUUUCAUCCAUUCAGACCAAAAGCGCACCAAUUUUAGAAACUUCAGCUGAUGGAGCAAGUCCGGCAACUGCUGCCUCUGAUCAAUCUGGAGACCUGUGGUCAGAAGUCAAAUCCAACGUUGCACAGAAGGAGGACCGCAUGCGAUUCAACUUUUUGGCAUGGCUGGACUUGUCCAAUCGGAAAAUCCCUGGUGUAUGGCUUCAAUAUAAAUAUUUAAUUGGCAGCUAAUAAUAAAGUUCUCUGCUUUUCACUUGUAUUACUGGCUUUUGGUUUCGGAUUGACGACUUUAAAAUGUGUCACGGGGGUCUACGGCUCGCUUCUUUAUAUACUAACAUCAUCAGGACUAUGGAUGUGAUAGAUUUGUGUUAAGUCUUUCUCUUCUGACUUGACUUGUAGGGUUUUACUGAAUAUAUUGUUUUUUUUUUUUUUAUUAAGGUAAAGUUGUAUUCUUCAGCAUUGAGGAUAUGCUGGCAACCUCCAAAAAAUUACAGGGCAAUAAGUCAUACUUACAAAUAACCAAGGAAAUCUACUAUUUGGCCUGCUUUAUCUAUACCUUCUUCUUUACACCAAAAAUACAUAGUACUAAUGCAAGAAUCUUUGACUUCUUUCCAUAAAGCAUGAUCUUCUUUGACAAACCUCCGAAGCCACUUUGCAAGUAAACACUUAUUGUGGAGCCUUAAAUUCUUGAUACCAAUCCCCCCUGAUUGUUUGCUGAGUUGAGCAGUUUGCCAUUUGACUAAAUGAAUACCUUUCCCUCUCUUGUUGCCCAAACACAAGAAGUCCUCAGUUUGUCUAGUUUCUCUUCCACCUUAACAGGUAGAGGGAAGAGUGACAUGACAUAUGACGGUAGUGCAUCUAGGACUGAGUUGAUCGGGAUUGCUCUUCCUCCCAGGGAUAAGUACUGUGACUUCCAAGUAGCUAAUUUUUUCUCAGUCUUCUCCACAAUACCAAAGGCAUCCCCAGAUAGGUAGUUGGGAAUUUUUCUACGUUGUUACUUAAGGUAUUCGCUAGGCUUUGAAUGUUUGCAACUUCCUCCUUCUAACAUAUGAGGUGAAUUUCUUACUAUAAAUGUGUAUAUGAUUUGAAUCAAAAUUGUUAAAUUUUAUCGAAUUCGUAACUUUGUUAUGUUUCUGUAAGUGAGUUAAGAUUAAAGGUUAUAACUCACUUGUUUAGCUCCUCUACCUUUCACGAUUGAAGUGAAGGAUUUAAUAACCCAUCAGUAGACAACAAACUACGUCGAUUUUAAUAAAUAUUUAUAAAAAUGAAUAAUUUUUACGCCAUUCAAUUAUAUAUUAUCAUAUAAUAUAUGUUCUAUUUUAGUUUUCAGAUUACAAUAGAAUUAAACAUAAAUAUCUUUCGACAAAGUGUAAUACUAUUGGUGUAAAUAUCUUUUUAUAUUGUUAGUGAAUACUGUUAGGAUCGAUUAGCAGUUCACACACACUAAAUCUAUGGAGAGGAUGAAGAAAACUAGAGAGAGUUCUUGAGGAGAGAGAGAGAGGUAAUUUCGUGGUAACACCCGUGGGUAACCUCCGCAGCGGAUAGACUAUUUAUAUUAAUGACUUGGAGUAUGUACAACUACACAGAGAAUGAGAAUAAAAGAUACAUUAAUAUAUAACAGUACGUCACAUAUUAAUCAGGCUCCACAACCUAACAAAUACUAAUCAAACUCAACUUACUAUGGCAUAUCAAGUAGUGUUAUACCUAUAAGAGUUUAUUAUGAUUAUUUUAUCAAGUAGACACAUGGGUUGGUCGGUAAUUGUAAUACCUAGAUGUGACAAUGACUUUCUUGUUACUCUGAAUACGUCCGAGCCAACGAAAAUCAAAAGAUGACAUGAUUAUUAUUGGAUCUUCAGUAUUGACAAAUCUGAAUUUGAGCUAUGUGUAAUUGUUUAUCGUGUGUUUUAAGAGAGUAUAAUCACUUUCUAGUUUUUAUUCUCGCUGAAAAAAAAUUAGGACCUAGUUACACACUAUAUUACUAAUUUAUUGUUAAAUAGUUUGUAACUAACAAAAUCUUUAGACAACAUGUUGCAACUACAGCGCAAACUUUUAUCAUUUCAUCGUAUCUCUUGGUGUUUCCAAAUUCCCAACUUGUUAACAUGUUUUCAAGUACUCCCUUUUACAAUUUAUACGAUUCACUUUUCUUUUAGUCAGUUCACACAAAUAUCGACGAUUUAUUUUAUACUUAAUUUUCAAAAAAAUUCUUUCUUAUAUUUCUCGCCAAAUGAAACUACACAUAAACUGAGAAUGAGGAAAUAAAAAAGUCAUGGCAAGGAGACGUGAAAUGAAAACAAAACAUUAUGAAGUCUUUGUCAACGCAACCACCCCACCACCCUUUCUCUGUUGCCUCAAUUAUUCAACUUUGUCAUACUCAUGUAAGGGAGAAAAAAGGACAGCUUUGAUUCAUAGUUGUACCAAUUACAAGUAAAACCACUGCAAAAAAAAAAAAAAAAAAAGAAAGAGAAAGACAGAAGAAUCACUUUGCAAAUUACUCUUACCAUUCAACAGGUAAAAUAUAGUUGUUAAUAUUUGAAGAUCGAAACCAUUAUCUUCUCAAAAUUCUUAAAAUCAUUUUUGUGGUUCCUUGUUUUGCUUUGUAGAUUUCAAAAAUGGAUAUUGGCUUAGCAGUUGGUGGUGCAUUUCUCUCUUCAGCUUUGAAUGUUCUCUUUGAUAGGCUUGCUCCUCAGGGCGAGCUUCUCAAGAUGUUUCAGAAGAAUAAGCAUGAUGUUCGACUCUUAAAGAAGCUGAAAAUGACUUUGGUUGGCCUUCAGGCUGUGUUNNNNNNNNNNNNNNNNNNNNNNNNNNNNNNNNNNNNNNNNNNNNNNNNNNNNNNNNNNNNNNNNNNNNNNNNNNNNNNNNNNNNNNNNNNNNNNNNNNNNNNNNNNNNNNNNNNNNNNNNNNNNNNNNNNNNNNNNNNNNNNNNNNNNNNNNNNNNNNNNNNNNNNNNNNNNNNNNNNNNNNNNNNNNNNNNNNNNNNNNNNNNNNNNNNNNNNNNNNNNNNNNNNNNNNNNNNNNNNNNNNNNNNNNNNNNNNNNNNNNNNNNNNNNNNNNNNNNNNNNNNNNNNNNNNNNNNNNNNNNNNNNNNNNNNNNNNNNNNNNNNNNNNNNNNNNNNNNNNNNNNNNNNNNNNNNNNNNNNNNNNNNNNNNNNNNNNNNNNNNNNNNNNNNNNNNNNNNNNNNNNNNNNNNNNNAUAAAGGAGAAGUUGGAAGACACCAUUGAAACAUUGGAGGAUUUGCAAAAACAAAUUGGUCUCCUUGGCUUAAAGGAGCAUUUUGCUUCGACUAAACGAGAAACUAGAAGACAGUCAACUUCUUUGGUUGAUGAAUCUGAUGUCUUUGGUCGGCAGAAUGAAAUAGAGGAAUUGAUUGAUCGUUUAUUGUCCAAGGAUGCAAGUGAAAAAAGUCCGACUGUUGUCCCUAUUGUUGGAAUGGGGGGUGUGGGCAAGACAACACUUGCUAAAGCUGCUUACAAUGAUGAGAAGGUAAAAAGCUAUUUUAAUUUGAAAGCUUGGUUUUGUGUGUCUGAGCCAUAUGAUGCUAUCAGAAUAACAAAAGCAUUACUUCAAGAAAUUGGCUCAUUUGACUUAAAGGAUGACAAUAAUCUCAAUCAGCUACAAGUCAAAUUGAAGGAAAGCCUUAAAGGUAAAAGGUUUCUCAUUGUCCUUGAUGACAUGUGGAACGAUGACUAUAAUGAGUGGAAUGACUUGAGAACUCCUUUUGUACAUGGAGAUAUGGGAAGUAAGAUCAUUGUAACUACACGUAAGAAGGAUGUUGCCGGGAUGAUGGGUAGUGGGGCAGUCAACGUGGGAACUCUGUCUAGUGAAGCCUCUUGGGCUUUAUUCAAACGACAUUCGUUAGAAAACAGGUAUCCCGAGGAACAUCCAGAACUUGAAGAGGUUGGAAAACAAAUUUCAGACAAGUGCAAAGGAUUGCCUUUAGCUCUAAAGACACUUGCUGGUUUUUUAUGCUCCAAAUCAGAGGUGGAUGAGUGGACAGACGUUUUAAGAAGUGAAAUAUGGGAGCUGCCACGUCGUCCGAAUGGUAUAUUACCAGCAUUGAUGUUGAGCUACAAUGAUCUUCCUGCACAUUUGAAGCAAUGUUUUGCUUAUUGUGCUAUAUAUUCCAAAGAUUAUCAAUUUUGCAAAGAGCAAGUUAUUUUCUUGUGGAUUGCUAAUGGUCUUGUACAGCAGUUCCAUUCUGGUAACCAAUACUUUAACGAGUUGAGAUCAAGAUCAUUGUUCGAAAGGGUCCCAGAGUCUUCUGAAAGAGAUGGAGGGAAAUUCUUAAUGCAUGAUCUUGUCAAUGAUUUGGCCCAAAUUGCAUCUUCAAAACUUUGUGUCAGGUUGGAAGAGUGCCAAGGACCUCAUAUGUUGGAACAAAGUCGGCAUAUGUCGUAUGCAAUGGGGAAAGGUGGUGACUUUGAGAAAUUGAAACCGCUCUCUAAGUCAGAGCAGCUGAGAACAUUGCUUCCAAUCUCUAUCCAGUACCUUUUCCGCCGUAAUCUAAGCAAGAGGGUGCUGCAUAACAUACUGCCAAGGCUAACAUCUUUAAGGGCAUUAUCAUUGUCACGUUAUGAGAUUUUGGAGUUGCCGGAUGCUUUGUUUAUCAAAUUAAAACUCCUGAGAUUUUUGGACCUUUCUCGGACGCAGAUUAAAAAAUUGCCCCAUUCCAUCUGUGCAUUGUAUAACUUGGAGGCACUUCUCCUGUCAUCUUGUGCAUAUCUUGAGGAGCUACCGCCGCAGAUGGAAAAGCUAAUCAACUUGUGUCAUCUUGACAUAAGCGACACUUCUCGCUUGAAGAUGCCGCUACAUCUGAGCAAGUUGAAAAGCCUCCAAGUGCUAGAUGGAGCCAAAUUUCUUUUAGGUGGCCCCUGUGGUUGGAGAAUGAAAGAUUUGGGUGGAGCACAUUACUUGUAUGGAUCUCUAUCAAUUUUAGUGUUGCAAAAUGUGGUUGAUAGAAGGGAAGCUCAGAAGGGAAAGAUUAGGGAGAAGAAUCAUGUUGAGAAGUUAUCGUUGGAGUGGAGUGAAAGUGAUGCUGACAAUUCACAAACUGAAAGAGACAUACUUGAUGAGCUACGCCCACACACAAACAUAAAAGAACUCCAAAUCUCUGGAUAUAGAGGGACGCAAUUUCCAAAUUGGCUAGCUGAUCUUUCGUUUCUUAAGCUCCUAGUACUAUUGUCUCUUUGCAACUGCAAGGACUGUUUUUCCUUGCCAGCACUAGGACAACUUCCUUGUUUGAAAUUCCUUUCCAUUAGAAAGAUGCAUCGAAUAACAGAGGUGACGUAAGAAUUCUAUGGUAGUCCGUCCUCCUAAAAGCCUUUUAACUCUCUUGAGAAGCUUGAAUUUGCAGAGAUGCCUGAGUGGAAGCAGUGGCACGUACUUGGGAAUGGAGAGUUUCCUGCACUUCAGUACCUUUCAAUUGAUGAUUGCCCCAAGUUGGUUGGGAAGUUCCCAGAGAAUCUUUGUUCUCUGACGAAAUUGAGAAUCACAAGAUGUCCUGAACUGUUUACCUCCCAACUUGAGGGAAUGAAGCAGAUUGAGGAAUUAUAUAUUAGUAAUUGCAACUCUCUUACCUCCAUGCCUAUUAGCACUCUGCCGAGUACGUUGAAGACAAUAUGGAUAUUUCAUUGCCGGAAAUUGAAAUUGGAGGCACCAGAUAGUAGUAGGAUGAAUUCUAACAUGCUUCUGGAGGAAUUGAGACUGGAUGAAUGUGAUUCUAUAUCAUCAUCACCUGAGUUGGUCCCAAGAGCACGCACUUUGCGUGUAUUGAAAUGCCAAAACCUUACUAGGUUUUUUAUUCCUAAUGGGACUGAAACACUCCAUAUUUGGCGUUGUGAGAAUCUUGAAAUACUACUUUCGGUGGCAUGUGGGACCCACAUGACGUCAUUGUAUAUUUUCGAUUGCAAAAAGCUAAAGCGGCUGCCAGAAGGUAUGCAGGAACUCCUUCCAUCUCUUAAGAUUCUGCGACUGCAACAUUGUCCAGAAAUAGAGUCCUUUCCUGAUGGAGGAUUGCCCUUCAAUUUUGAAGUCCUUGAGAUCUACGAUUGCGAGAAACUGGUGAACAGCCGAAAGGAGUGGCAUCUACAGAGACUCCCCUGUCUCCGAGAGUUGGAGAUCUACCACAAUGGCAGUGACGAAGAGAUUGUUGGUGGUGAGAAUUGGGAGUUGCCUUGCUCUAUUCGAAGUCUUUCCAUAGCCAAUCUGAAAACAUUAAGCAGCCGACUUCUCAAAAGCCUCACCUCUAUUGAAUAUCUAUGGACUUGUAAUUUACCUCAAAUUCAGUCACUGCUGGAAGAAGGGCUUCCCUCCUCUCUUUCUGAGCUUUAUUUAUACGACCAUGAUGAGCUUCAUGCACUACCGACCGAAGGUCUUCGGCACCUCACUUCGCUUCAAAGUCUACACAUCAGCAAUUGCAAUCAAUUCCAAUCACUUCCCGAAUCAGCGCUGCCCUCCUCCCUCUCUGAGCUGAACAUCUGGAAUUGCCGUAAUCUCCAAUCACUUCCAGUAAAAGGGAUGCCCUCUUCCCUCUCUAAACUAUCUAUUCGCUACUGCCCAUUGCUCGAACCACUCCUAGAAUUUGACAAGGGGGAGUACUGGCCAGAAAUUGCCCACAUCUCCACCAUAGAGAUUGAUGACGAAUACCUUUGAGGAUUUAAACCGAAUGGUUCUCUCACAAAUGUAAGUUAUUCUUUUCCCUUAGAAGCUUUUUAUUUUUGUUUGCUUCCCUUUGUUCUUUUUUUAAUUCUUUAUCUUUUUUUUUUUUUUAAUCUUAUCGAGCAGUGUGGAGCAUCUAUUGCUCAAUCCGUAUCUUGUAUUCGACGAGGGAGCUUACUAGCCAAAAAUUGCUCAUAUUUCCACCGUAAAUAUUGAUUGGGAGUACCUGUAAUCCGAUAGAUGUAAGUUAUUCUAUUUUCUUAGUAUCUUUUGGUGUUUGGUACCUUCUCUUUGCUUGUUUGUUAAUAAUUCUGUUUCUUUGUUAAAUCAUUUUGACCAGUGAAUCUGAGGAAGCAUCUUUAGAUCAAGAUGAAAUCUUUAUAUUUGCACCAAAACAUUGAAAAAGAAAUCUAUUUUAGGUAGGAACCCUCUUUUCUUGUCUAUUAACCUAUUUUCUCCCUCAAAUCUUUGCAGACAGAAGUAUGAUUCACCAUCAUGAAAGCUGUUCCGCUUUGUUCUGCAAUUUGUCGUCUCUUCUACAGAGAUAAAGGGUCCAACAAAUGCAACCUCACUUUCUCAAUGAGGUCCAACAAGCAAGCAAUUUGCGCCAGAGAUGAAUUUAAGUCUAAUAAAAUGGACCCACGUAUCAUGAUGUAUUUAACACUAUGCUAGUCGCUAGAGGUUGAACAAUGGAGAAGCCUUCAGUUCUUGAUUAAUAGACGUCAAUUGGCAGCUUGGCUCCCUUCCCGUUGCUUUGUUCUUCUAUCGAAUGCAAAGCUCUAACAGAAUUCAUAGGUGUAUAAUACACAAGGUUUGUUUCCUAUCUAUCAAAAGUAUAAAUGUUUGCCUCACAAUAAAUUUAACAAAUAAAAGCAUCAGCACCGUUGAGGUUUUUGUUAAUGAUUAGUGGAUAUCAACUUAGCAAAUUUUAUUCUGCUGCAAUUCUCUAUUGAAUAGAAAGUCACUCGAAUGUGGUCUGACAGCAAAGCGUAAGUGAACAAAGACAAGUCAUUUUUUUAUCAUCCAGUGCUCUUGACUAUCAGUCCAAGGUUUUGUUUUCAUUGGCGGUAAACGUUGUACUAAUGCUUUGACUUUUUACACAUUAGUAUGUGUGCUCAUCAUCAAACACAUAGCUUCAAAUUAAAGCUCCAUAGAGAAUCUAUAGAAAAGAUAAUGACAGGUAACAAUCAGAAGUUUUAGGAAAUAAGUAAACUUCCAUUGUCAGGAUUUUAGGAUCUAUAUAACAUCCAAUUGUUGUCUCAGUUACAUUGCUUGAUUUUACUAACCACUAUAUAUAUUUUUGUAUAAAUUCUGUUUGUGUUUCUUUCAUGAUCAAGAGAGUGGUGUUUCUUUUCUUUUUCAGAACGGGUUCAUUGGGUCAUAGAAUGGUGGUCAACAUUAGUUUUUAACAGUUCUCAUCCAUACUAGACCAAAAAUGCACCAAUUUUAGAAUCUUCAACCGAUGGAGCAAGUCCUGCAACUGCUACCUCCGAUCAAUCUGGGGACCUGUCGUUAGAUGUCAAAUUCAAUGUUGUACAGAAGAAGGACCUCAUGCGAUUGAACUUUUUGGCAUGGUCGGACUUGUCCAAUCGGAAAGCCCCUGGUAUAUUGCUUCAAUACAAGUAUUUCCUUUGAUACCUUCUAAUUAUUGUUCAAGAUGGGUAUGAGUGUGUGCGUGUUUAUUUUGUGCUUGCAGUCCUAUAUACAAAUGUUUGGGAUUUCUCCACUGUACUUUUUUCCUUUAUAUGAAGGGAAGCCUUGGAGUAACUAGUAAAGUUACUGCCACGUGACCAGGAGUUCACGGGUUCAAGCCGUAGAAACAUCCCCUUGCAGAAAUGUAAGGUGAGGCUGCGUUAAACAGAUCCUUAUGGUUCGUCCCUUCCCCGGACCCCGCGCAUAGCAGGAGAUUUAGUGCACCACCCUUUUACAUUUUCUUUUAUAUAGUUAAACUAUAGAUCGGAGUAAGCAACUAGGUAGGAUAACAAACUGUGAAGCUUCUUCGCACAUUUAGGGGGAAGUAUUCAUGCAACAGUUCAUGAGAAAAAUGUGUAUCAGUUCUUUUAAUUGAUUUACAAAUGCUUUUGAGGUUGCAUUUGUUUUGAUGGUUGGCAUCUAUGAUACUUCAUAUUUUCAGAGUUGGCAAGCAGCAAUUGCGAGAAGCCUGGAUAGUUGGACUCUGCUUGGGAACACUUGCUAAAGUAAGCGAUGAAACCCUUGGAUUGAGUACCUUUACUCCUGCAUUGCAGUUCGUAAGUUCAUUGUUACUGGCAAUCCUCAUAUAUCUUCAUUACCUUAUCUCACUUUACCUUAAUUCUAAUCUUCCAAAAUGUUUUCCAGCUCUUCUCACCGAGAUUCCGGCUCUGAGAUCAUUUUCUCUAGAUACAUUACACUACUGGAGAGAGAGUGCAUCUGUCACGAGCAGUUUGGCAUACUUUCUGGCCAAGGAUAUGAUUGAUCAUAUCAAUACUAUUGUAAGGCCUGCAGUUUAUCUCUCAAUGUUCUACUUCUUCAACAAUCCAAGAUCUUUAAUUUUGGAUAAUUAUGUCGUCUUGCUUUGUGUCGUAUAUUGUGUUACUGGGAUAGCUUAUGCACUUUCCAUCUACUUUGAACCUGGUCAAGCUCAACUGGUGUGUACUCAGUACUUUGAUCUUACAAUACAUAUCAACUCCAACCGUUAUCCUCUAUUGCCGCAAUUCUCUACUAACAAACUGAUGUGUCUUUCAGUGGUCGGUGUUGCUACCAGUUGUCUUGACCCUUGUAGCAAGCAAGGGCAGUUGCGUUCACUGCAAUAGUAGGAGAUUAUAUCUAUUCAAAGUGGGCCUUGGAAGCAUUUAUAAUUGCAAAUGCUAGAAGGUCUGGUGAAUCCUUCUCCAUUGUGUCUAAAUUCUUCUUGCAUUACGGUUAAACUUGCUAACAAAUACUUGCUGAAAUUUAGAAUGACAACAACAAUGGCAAUACCCAGUGUAAUCCCACAAGUGAAGUUAUGGAGACAGUAGAGUGUACACGACCUUACCCUACUUUGGGUGCAGGUAGAGGUUGUCUCUAAUAGAUCCUCAGCUCUAGGAAAGCAUAAUCACAGCAUUUAGGGAAACAUAUGCAGUAACAACAGUAAGAUAGUAAGAAAACCGAAGCAUACGAGACAAUAAGUAGUAAUAGAAAAGUAGGAAUGAGAAAUACGGAAAUAAUAAUAAUACCUACUUCUAGCCUUCUAAGUAAUCAUUAGCCAUGAUCAGCUGUUGAAUAUCAAAUGCACCUCAUAUUUUAGGAUUAAGAAGUCAUAUGUUGAUCUAUUUUAGGUACUUUGGGGUGUGGCUGAUCACAAGAUGUGGUGUACUAAGGACGAAAGGCUACGCGCUUGAUCAUUGGUACCCUUGCUUACUAAAACUCAUCCUUCUCGGUGCUGCCAGUCGCUGCGUAGCAUUUUUGUUAUUGAUAACUUUCCAGAAAAAAUAACACUUCAUUGUUGCUGUCUUGCUUCAUCACUUGGUAUGAAAGGAAGAAUGCCAGUUUACAGUCUCAAUACCAUGACGAAAAUGUUGGGAAGCCUCAAAAAGUUGGGUCCUUUGCGAAGAUUAUUGUACAUAACCAAAAACGUAAUUUACUCGAAACAGAUGGUAUAUAGCAGCACGAGUCAAUUAAAGAGGUUAUAUGAUUCUUUCUUCUACAGAUGGAAAAUCAAAUGUAACAUUUGUUAAUAGUAGUUUCUCUUGGAGAAUGAUUCUACCUGGUUCCUGUUGAUUUUAUGUUUUAAUAAAUUUUGAAAUAAAUACAUCGGUUAAAGAUUUUUUAAGAGUUAUGUUUCAAUUAGUUUUGAAACAAAUGCAUCACUUAAAGUUUUGAGUUACAAAGGAAAUGAAUUUGAUAAAUUCAUUAUUCAUAAGUUUUGAGUUACAAAGAAAAUGUAUUUGACAAAUUCAUUAUUCAUUAAGUUUUACGUUAUAGGUUCUUGAAAGAAUGACAUUUUUUGUUUUAAAACAUACAUGAACCUAUUAACAAUUACUUAAUUAAUAUGCUUCUCAUGCAUGAAACUUUCAUCCUAUAAAUAGUGUUUUCUUUGGUUGGAAAAGACAAGCACUCAAAACUAAUUCCCCUUGAAAAACACUCGAGAGACAUUGAUCAAAUGGUGAAAUCAUCAAUUCAAGAAUAGAAGAGCAACAUUCUUGAAUGCUACUUGUUUUGUGGCUUAGUUGAAUCCCAAAGAUAGAGUUGUCACUUGUUCUUCCGUUUGCUCGUGGGAGAGACUCCAACUAUCUUCAAGAAGCGUAUUAUUGUACCUCUAAGCCAAGCAAAUUUUAUUUUGAAUUACUCACGUCCACCUUAUCAAACUUCUUCCCUAAUCAUCAUGUAUUCAUCAUCUUCAUAUCUUGGCAGAGGUGCCUUCUCGAGGUUCGGCUUGGAAACAAAAAUUGGUAGUUUGGGAGAUAAUUGUUUUCCCUGAGCCUUGUGUGGAUAACAUCAUCGCUAAGACUUUCUACUCUAAUGACGAUUUUAUGUUAAUGUUGAGUAAACCUACCAAGAUGAGGGAUUAGGCCAUAUGUGACUCUGCUUAUUUCAUCAAAGAAUCUGACACUCCUAUUGUUCAUCGACUAUGAUUAGUCAUGUGUUGUGCCCUCCAGGUUUUAAGAGCACCACUUCCCCAAACUGACUACUCCUUUGUCCCCACUUAUCCAUUUACCAUAUGCUUGAGGGAUUAUUUGAUCAACAAAGUUAUCACACCCUUUUAUGCAGUCUUCAAGUUAUACUUGGGGCAACUUAGUCCUCACGUGUGAAGGGUCGUUGUAUGCCUUCAUGUCCUUGUUCUCCAAACUGGCCAAAAAUUAAAUGUCACUCGCCUACUCCUUCUCUAUAUCUUUGUAUGAUUUGUGGGCAGCUGGUAAAGAUGGUGAGAAUUGGUAAUAACUCCAUUCUAAAAAUCAUGUACGACACUUAUAUAAGUUGGAUUAGCAGGUUCUUAGUCAUUGUCACCAAGUGCUCUACCACUCCAAGAGCUAUGGAAUAUAUCUCAUAAGUUGCUUUUAUAGACACUACUAUUAAAUAUUUUGACUUUUUAAUUUAUUUCUUAUUGGUCUCAUCUUUAAGUGUAUUAUGUAGCCUCUUACUGGAGCCUUAUUGUAGGUUCGUCAUCCCUUGAGUGAUCUGCACGGUUAAGAGAGUGGGUUAGGAAAUCAUAGACUGUACCACAACCAAAGACUAGAUCCAGGCUUAGAUUUCAAAGGGUCGAUAGUGGAUUUUCAAAGAUCAAAAUAGGUUUUUAGUCCUCAUCCUUUCCUUUAUCAAGUUUCAUUUUUUUGCCUAUUCUGACAUCAAGAUAUAAAUAGGCUUUAUCAGAAGCAUAAUAUUCCUUCACUUUUCUCUAUUUAUAGCUAACUUGUCUAUUGCACAUCAGAGGAUUGAAUACGAAACUGUUGAAACUCCUGGUACUAUCGACAUUGGGUUUGGGCAAAUCCCCUAGGAAUGAGCCUCAAACAUAGACAAGAGAAGACACAGGUUUGAGUUCACCAUAUUUGCCAUUAUGUGAACCUAAAAUUUCCUACCCUAAGAUUUUUUCACUACGAAGAAUCUGAGAGGGCUUCUGAGGAUGGGUCCCCUUUGGCGAGGACAAAAAACAUGGGUUCAGAUAUUUUUUAGGAACACAUCCAUUUCAUAUGUUAGAGUAGGCUAAACAAGUGAUCCCAUACUCGAAUACCUUUUAUACCAUUUAAGAAAAGGUCGUGCCUGUAGUUGGUACACCAGAAAAGGUUAGGACAUUCUUCCCUGAGAUGAAUUAUUUGUCACAUCAUGGAAAGAGGUAUUUUAUCACUUUUAUUGAUGAUACUCAAGAUAUACUUAUGUCUUUCCAUUGAAAACAAAAGAUGAAACAUUUGAGACUUUUAAAGCAUAUAAAGCAGAAGUUGAAAAUAAAUUGAGUGUGAAAGUUAAGUCAAUUAGGUCUGAUAGAGGUGGAGAGUACUUAAAGUCAGAUUUUAUUGAUUUUUGUUAGAGAGAAGGCAUUGAAAAAUAAUUGACCAUGUCCUAUACACCACAACAAAAUGGUGUAGCAGAAAGAAAAAAUAGGACUUUCAUAGAAAUGGUUAAUUCUAUGCUUUAUGGAUCUGGUAUAUCUNNNNNNNNNNNNNNNNNNNNNNNNNNNNNNNNNNNNNNNNNNNNNNNNNNNNNNNNNNNNNNNNNNNNNNNNNNNNNNNNNNNNNNNNNNNNNNNNNNNNNNNNNNNNNNNNNNNNNNNNNNNNNNNNNNNNNNNNNNNNNNNNNNNNNNNNNNNNNNNNNNNNNNNNNNNNNNNNNNNNNNNNNNNNNNNNNNNNNNNNNNNNNNNNNNNNNNNNNNNNNNNNNNNNNNNNNNNNNNNNNNNNNNNNNNNNNNNNNNNNNNNNNNNNNNNNNNNNNNNNNNNNNNNNNNNNNNNNNNNNNNNNNNNNNNNNNNNNNNNNNNNNNNNNNNNNNNNNNNNNNNNNNNNNNNNNNNNNNNNNNNNNNNNNNNNNNNNNNNNNNNNNNNNNNNNNNNNNNNNNNNNNNNNNNNNNNNNNNNNNNNNNNNNNNNNNNNNNNNNNNNNNNNNNNNNNNNNNNNNNNNNNNNNNNNNNNNNNNNNNNNNNNNNNNNNNNNNNNNNNNNNNNNNNNNNNNNNNNNNNNNNNNNNNNNNNNNNNNNNNNNNNNNNNNNNNNNNNNNNNNNNNNNNNNNNNNNNNNNNNNNNNNNNNNNNNNNNNNNNNNNNNNNNNNNNNNNNNNNNNNNNNNNNNNNNNNNNNNNNNNNNNNNNNNNNNNNNNNNNNNNNNNNNNNNNNNNNNNNNNNNNNNNNNNNNNNNNNNNNNNNNNNNNNNNNNNNNNNNNNNNNNNNNNNNNNNNNNNNNNNNNNNNNNNNNNNNNNNNNNNNNNNNNNNNNNNNNNNNNNNNNNNNNNNNNNNNNNNNNNNNNNNNNNNNNNNNNNNNNNNNNNNNNNNNNNNNNNNNNNNNNNNNNNNNNNNNNNNNNNNNNNNNNNNNNNNNNNNNNNNNNNNNNNNNNNNNNNNNNNNNNNNNNNNNNNNNNNNNNNNNNNNNNNNNNNNNNNNNNNNNNNNNNNNNNNNNNNNNNNNNNNNNNNNNNNNNNNNNNNNNNNNNNNNNNNNNNNNNNNNNNNNNNNNNNNNNNNNNNNNNNNNNNNNNNNNNNNNNNNNNNNNNNNNNNNNNNNNNNNNNNNNNNNNNNNNNNNNNNNNNNNNNNNNNNNNNNNNNNNNNNNNNNNNNNNNNNNNNNNNNNNNNNNNNNNNNNNNNNNNNNNNNNNNNNNNNNNNNNNNNNNNNNNNNNNNNNNNNNNNNNNNNNNNNNNNNNNNNNNNNNNNNNNNNNNNNNNNNNNNNNNNNNNNNNNNNNNNNNNNNNNNNNNNNNNNNNNNNNNNNNNNNNNNNNNNNNNNNNNNNNNNNNNNNNNNNNNNNNNNNNNNNNNNNNNNNNNNNNNNNNNNNNNNNNNNNNNNNNNNNNNNNNNNNNNNNNNNNNNNNNNNNNNNNNNNNNNNNNNNNNNNNNNNNNNNNNNNNNNNNNNNNNNNNNNNNNNNNNNNNNNNNNNNNNNNNNNNNNNNNNNNNNNNNNNNNNNNNNNNNNNNNNNNNNNNNNNNNNNNNNNNNNNNNNNNNNNNNNNNNNNNNNNNNNNNNNNNNNNNNNNNNNNNNNNNNNNNNNNNNNNNNNNNNNNNNNNNNNNNNNNNNNNNNNNNNNNNNNNNNNNNNNNNNNNNNNNNNNNNNNNNNNNNNNNNNNNNNNNNNNNNNNNNNNNNNNNNNNNNNNNNNNNNNNNNNNNNNNNNNNNNNNNNNNNNNNNNNNNNNNNNNNNNNNNNNNNNNNNNNNNNNNNNNNNNNNNNNNNNNNNNNNNNNNNNNNNNNNNNNNNNCAGAUCCUUUGUCUAAAGGGUUAGGCAAGAAAUUGGGGGUACAAUCUGUAAUGGGAUGGGAAUGAAGCCUGUUGUUGAUUGAUUGUACUUUAUGGUAACCCUACCUAAUGAUGCAAUCUUAGGUUCAAAGGGAAAAACAAGUAAAGUUACAAUUGUGAAGCACAUCAAUAAAAUUUUCUUUUUCCUUAGAGAGUGAGUAGAUGUGCAUAAGUUGAGAUUUAUUCUCUUGAUAAAUCGAUAAGACCGAUAUCGGUUGGAGUAAAUAAUAACACUCUUGAUAGAUUUGAUAGUAUUCCUACAAAAGAAAAGAAUGAGAUUAUAUUCUCUUAUUAAGUCUAUACACCAAUUUCGGUUGGAGUGUGUAAGAACACUCUUGAUAAAUUUACUAAUACUUUGUUGUAAAGGAGGAUGAGAAAUAAUUUCUCUUAAUAAAAUUCAUAGACUACUUAGUCGGAGUAUGCAAAGUUACUCUUGAUGAAUUCACCGCACUAAGUGCGAAGUGGAGGCCGCUUCAAUAAGAUUUUUACAAGGAAAUCUUAAAGCACUUAGCUAAAAGGAUUCGGGACACAUGGCCAUAAGGUGUCAAAGGAUUUUGAUUUUCACCAGAACAUAGCAAUAUNNNNNNNNNNNNNNNNNNNNNNNNNNNNNNNNNNNNNNNNNNNNNNNNNNNNNNNNNNNNNNNNNNNNNNNNNNNNNNNNNNNNNNNNNNNNNNNNNNNNNNNNNNNNNNNNNNNNNNNNNNNNNNNNNNNNNNNNNNNNNNNNNNNNNNNNNNNNNNNNNNNNNNNNNNNNNNNNNNNNNNNNNNNNNNNNNNNNNNNNNNNNNNNNNNNNNNNNNNNNNNNNNNNNNNNNNNNNNNNNNNNNNNNNNNNNNNNNNNNNNNNNCAUCACUUAAAGUUUUGAGUUACAAAGGAAAUGAAUUUGAUAAAUUCAUUAUUCAUAAGUUUUGAGUUACAAAGAACAUGUAUUUGACAAAUUCAUUAUUCAUUAAGUUUUAUGUUAUAGGUUCUUGAAAGAAUGACAUUUUUUGUUUUAAAACAUACAUGAACCUAUUAACUAUUACUUAAUUAAUAUGCUUCUCAUGCAUGAAACUUUCAUCCUAUAAAUAGUGUUUUCUUUGGUUUGAAAAGACAAGCACUCAAAACUAAUUUCUCCUUGAAAAAUACUUGAGAGACAUUGAUCAAAUGGUGAAAUCACCAAUUCAAGAAUAGAAGAGCAACAUUCUUGAAUGCUACUUGUUUUGUGGCUUAGUUGAAUUCCAAAGAUAGAGUUGUCACUUGUUCUUCCGUUUGCUCGUGGGAGAGACUCCAACUAUCUUCAAGAAGCGUAUUAUCGUGCCUCGAAGCCAAGAAAGUUUUAUUUUGAAUUUCUUGUACAAUUAUCAUUAUUGUUCUAACAGUUCCUAAGCCUCAUUUUGUAGCCUUGAACCUCAAGAGAAGAACUGAAAAUGUCCGGCCCGUCUUCAUGAAGUUGACAAGGAUAUGACUGAGAGUACACUUCAGAAAUUGGAGGUUCUACCCAAAAGUUGAUAAAGAUCAGGAUAUUAACAUCAAAUUAUGUAAAUUAUUAUGCAGCCAAAUGUAAUAAUAGCAUAAAUUCAGUUUUGAGUAGACAGUACAUCUUUUAUGUUCACAAAUUCUCCUGCUUUUUUCAUUUCUUUUUGAUUGGUAACAUUGAAGGGGAGUCUUGGAUUAACUAGUAAAGAUGCUUACAUGUGUUCGAGUCGUGGAAACAGCUUCUAGAAGAAAUACAAGGUAAGGUUGCAUACAAUAGACCCUUGUGGUCCAGUCCUUUCCCAGACCUCGCACAUUAUAGGAGCUUUAGUGCAUCGGGCUGCUGUUUGACUGGUAAAGUUAUCUCAUGUUUUUUGGAUGAGCAAAGAAGAAAAAUAGUGCUGGUAUUCUAUUCAUGAAGCCUGUGCACCCUUUUCAUCAGAUUUAGUUGGCAAUGAGAGAUUGUGUUUGUGCACAAACUUGCUUGUUGGUAAAUAGUCUUCUUACUCUUGUCGCAGUCACAAAAGUUGUGUAUUAAAAUAGUUGAGUUAGACGAACCACGUCCUACAUGUGUGUGCACAAAAACAAGAAGACACUCUAAUAGUUUAGUUAGAUGAAUGAAGAAGAUACUCGAAGUUGGAAGAAUACACAAGCACCGAGCUACAAGUCUGAUGACCCAAGAACGGGAUUCUCUAAAAAGCCAAGGUCGUGGGUGGCCAAUAGAGCCCCACUUGGAAACUUGAAAUGCUGAGGUUAAUGCCAAAUGUCUACCUUAUAAUGUUAGAAAGCUAAACCAUUCACCACAGAGCAAUCACAAAACAAUGCUACAUUAUUCUACAUGAUUGUUGACACAAUUCUAUUUCCAAACCAUAUUCCCCAUGAAUUUUAAUCCAGCGACACCCCUUAUCUCCACAUCAACCAAUAGUGCUUGAUAAUCAUCCCAUCCAAAAGAGAGAUAGUUUUAAGUAUAUGGGGUAUAUGACUCAGGAAAGUGGUGUGGUUGAUGAGGAUGUCACUCAUCGGAUUGGGGUAGGGUAGAUGAAAUGGAGGCUUGCUUCCGAAAUCUUGUGUGACACAAAGGUACCUCCUAAACUCAAAGGCAAGUUCUACAGAAUGGUGGUUAGACCGACUUUGUUGUAUGGGAUGAAACGUUGUUGAAGCUUUAAGUUGUACUUACUGUUGGCUUUGGGCCUACGCUCACACAACUUUAAAAUGUGUCACAAGGGUCUUAGGCUUGCUUCUUAAUGUACCAACAAUCAAAAACUUCAUUCCAAGGUCUCAUGCCCCAGAACUACGAGCCUCCGUAUGAUUUGAUUUACCCCAAGUGGGUUAAGCUAGUCAUCACUAAAAGUAAAAGGUUCUACUCCAAUGGCAAGGAUAGAACAGCUCUCCCCAACGUGGGCAAGACGUUGGAAUCCAUGUAGCUCACAUGGUUUAUGUCGGUUAGAAGAAACUCUCAAGUUUCCUAGAGUCUCAAGUCUUAAAGUUAUUAAGAUUUUAAGUCCUUGAGUGUCAAAGAAGUUCCUUGUUUUCAAAAGACUAAAGUGCAUGUUCUAAAAGUUGUUGUUUUAAGAGUUGAACUAGUUUACAAUCUUGAAAUCAAAGAAAGAAUACAGAUUUAGAAUAAAGUGUAAUGGCUCACGUGAAUUAUACUACAUGUUUCAUUAUUCAUGAUUUAUGAGAGUUUUAUUCAAGCUAUGCGAGUCACCUACAAAACCAUGUAUGUUUUCCAUAAAGAUUUAUUGUAUUGAUAUUUAGUUCCAUACACCCCCAUAUACUCAGUACAUUACCAAGUGCUGAUCCACAUAUACCUUUGUGUGCUACAUUGUCUCAUAAUGUAGGUUCAGGUGCUCAGUCCCAACAGCGUCUCUGUUUCAAGACUUACAACAAGGUUUAGGAUUAGGGGGUAUGUUUCUGGGUGAAGUGACUCAUUGAAACUUGACACUCCUUGCCUUAGCAUAUUUUCACCCUCAAUCUGCUACUUAUGUCCUUUUUUUUUUUUUUUUGACAUUAGCCACCCUCAACAUAUAUGCAGCUACAACAUAUAUGCAGAUCACCAAAUACAAAAAACAAACCAAUGAAGAAAAUAAUAGGCCGACAAACAACAGACCAUAGAUCUCUAGAAAAUUAUCCAAUUUGCAAUAAAGUUUGAAACUUUGUCAAGCAUAACUAUCAAUUUGGAGCGGAAAAAGGUGCCACAAUAGAAACUUCUCUGUAAAAACAGAAAAUAUAUGAGUGAAACAUCUGCAGCGGUUACUGAAACAAAAAAAAAAAAAAGAAGCUUCAAUUGUUAUGAACCUAAGGAACAAAUAUGCUACCAGUGGAGCAAUGAACCGAAUGAUGGUGAUAAUACUUUUAAUUAGAAAAAUAUAAGGCAAGAAAAGGAGUCAAUUAUGUGUUGUGCUGCUAAGUGUGUAGUUCUCACCUCCGAUUUUUCAGACAUCUCAUCCACUUCUUUUUUAUUAUUUUCAAACUUGAAUCCAUGACCACUGAUUACAAUGCGGAUAAAGAGUUAAACUGUAUGUGUAAAUCAGAAAUUAGUAUAAAUAAACAUUCAAAAUUAUUUUAAAAUAACAACAGAAAGAUAUAAAGAAAAAAUGAAACCUUGAUAAUUAUGUGGAAUUUGAUGUUAUCAUAAUACAAUGUAGAAGCAAUACUAUACAAAUAGUUAGAUUGUGAAAAAACUAAAAGAAAAGUAAAAGUAAAAGAAAGAAGCAGUUGAAGUCGUAAAGUGUAAAUGAACCAUUGAAAAUUUCAACCAACCACUUCACUCUCAAAUGUAUUUUUCCAGAAUGUGAAUCCUGAACUUGGUUAUGUCAAUUUUCUGUUGAAUGCCUCUCAACAUUGAGAGUCUUGCCAUUAAAUAGAAUGUAUUCAAAGACUACAUCCCUAAAGAUCCGUCUUCCUAUCGUAAAGACUCUUCCCGCAAUUAGUUUUGUAUCAUUAUUGAGAAAUGAAAGAUUUCAUUGAGAUAAACUAUCACUGUUUAUAUACUUGCAUUUGAAAAUAUUAAUCACAUCAUCCAUAACCAAUACUCCUACAAAACCAUACCACUACAUAAAGAGCAGCCGCAAGAUAGAUCAACCAUCCUUUAAUUCGCACGAUAAAAAUUAUUCUUACAACUGAUCUUUGUAUAUCUUGAGAACAUGAAUAUUGACCUAUAAAGCUCAUUAUAGGAACAAAUCAUCAUUCUGCAAACUGGACAUCUGUACUAUAUUUCCAUAACUAUCAAGAGCACCCUUAAAAAAAACAAAUCAAGAAAAACAUCAUAAAAUGAAAUCUUGUUCAAUUAGUCAAUGAGUGAGGAAGAUAUUAUUGAACAAACUCAAGAAUUUACUGUAAAGAAUCAUGUUGUUGUACACUGAGCUCCAUAAAAUAAUCUUUUGCAAAAGGAGAAGAGUCUUUUUUUAUGACAAAUAAUAUAUGGAUACAUAUAAAUAAAGCAACUUAAAAUUCAUUUUCGUCAAUGAAUAACUUCAUUUACACAGAUUUCAAUGAUAUUCACAACCUAUAGUUAUGCAAACCAACCUUAGCACAUGGAAAAAUGCCAUUCAAAUCUUAAACAAUUACACCCAUAAACUCGUGAAGAUGAUCAAAUUCUAACAUUACAACUUUCUUCGAUCUUCUCAUCCAUAACACUGGAUAAUAUGUAUCAAAAGAAAUCCUUAAUACAAUAGUUUUAAAACUAAUUCAAAAAUUGUGAAAACUUGAACCUCAAAAUUCACUGUCCCAUGUCUUUUACUGAAAAACAAAAAAGUUUGGAUACAACCAAAUCGUUGGAGUUUGAGAUCCUCUAUGUGGCAAGAGUCAAUUCAAGAAGUACCCACCAAAGAGUUGUAGAAUAAAAAACUAAUACAAUAAUUGAAUGAAUAAAUGAAAAUGAAUCUAAGUCUGCAUCAUAUGCAUGUUAAAUCAAAAGCUAAAACUAUAAAUAAUAUGUCUGUAGAUACAAACAAAUACAAAUAACGGAAAAGUUGAAAAACCUAAUAACAGAAGCUAUAACUUAAUAGAGGAGAAAAUUAUAGAAUGUACUAUUUACUUGAAGUGCUUGGACAUCGGAAUGGGCAAAAAGAUAUUCUGAUCAAUUUUGAAACUUUUGUGAGAGAGGUUCAUGUAAUAUUAAGAGUGAUACCUAAAAAUGUCUUCUCGAAUCAUAUGUCAUCCUCUUCCUUCAAGAAGAAAAGGAUAAGACAAUUUUAUUUUUAUCACGAUAGACACUUGAAUAUCAAAUAAUCAUAACCUCUUUCAUUUGAGAAUGAGAGUUGAGAAUGAAUGAUCUUUUCGAUACACAAAUACAAUGGUAAGAGUUUAAUGCCCAAAAAACGUGACUUUUAGGAAGACAAAAAAAAAAAAGGCAAGGUUUGUUUCUUUAAUGGACACAAUUUUUGGACUUCUUCAUGAAUUUUUUAUGCUAGCUGAAUAAUAAGUUCUUGUAUGAAUUCUUUAUCCGUUAUUUGAAAGAUUUAAACUAUGUGAUGCUAUUCAGUAAAUAAUUUCAAGAAAAAAAAAGAGACAGAGAGAUAUGUACCAGAAGAUUGAACUUGGCUUGUCUUGCCUUUGGGAAUAUCCAAAGACACUCUGAACAGUUCUUGUAGUACGGUUAAGUUUCAUACUACCUCCUCUAUCCACUACCCAAAUAUUUCUCCAAGUAAAAUAAUUUUUCUAAAUCAAAUCAUUGAAAUACAUUUGUUUAUUCUGCAUUACAAUUUACCUGUAUGUUAUUGUUUAUUGUUCACUGGGAAAAAUUGAAGUUGCAUUUUGAAUGUCUCUUAUGUUUAAAUGUGAAAAACGUACAUAUGAUGGGAAGUUAACAAAAUAACAAAUAUACAAUUGGCCAUCAUCCAACACUUAGCAUGAAUAACAUGAGAAUAAUUCCAACAUUUUAUCAUCUGAAGUGGCUAAUAUACAACUUGUUUAUUUUAGUUGAAAUAAGAUUAUGAAAUCAACAACGGACUUAAAGUAGAAUUCUGAAACAAUUAGGAUCUAAAUUUCUCAAUAGACAAUAGUAUCAAGUGAAAAUGGUAAAAUAAACCUUCACGUCUCUAAUCAAAAUUGAUGUGUUGAAACCGGGUUGAUCGAUGUCAAUUGCUGCUUCGAUUUGAGGGGAAAGUGGAGUAGAAAGGUAUUCAAACGGUUAUGUAUGCAACUACCAAAAACCAAUAAGAGAGAAUCCAAAAAGCACAAGUGAGAAAGUUCUUGAUAACCAAUCCAAUUCUCUUCCAUCAUGUCCUCUCAGUGCAUUGUUUUAUCUAUCAUCAAUGGUUUAUAUUAAUGAUAACCACCGAAUUUCAAUAUGAAUUAUGUAAAAAAAAUAUAUGAACAUCUAAAUAUUUUAGAAUGGGAAAAAUGGAUGGAAUCUAAGAAAAAGAACAAUUUGUUUUCCAUGAAUUAUGAAUUUGACCACUGAUAACCAUACAAUCUUCAUCGGAUUAUUAAUCUGCACAUGGUGAUGUCGAUUUUAUUUUGAUUUGUACAUGAAGAUGAAGAUUUGCUUACAAUUUGAAACCACUGAUGACCAUACAAACUUCCUCGGAUCUGCACAUGUUGAUGUGGAUUUUCUUUUGAUUUGUACAUGAAGACGGAGAUUUUCUUACAAUUUUAAAGCACUGAUAAGCCUACAAACUUCAACGGAUUAUUGAUCUGCACAUGGUGAUGUAGAUUUACUUUUGAUUUGUACAUGAAGAUAGAGAUUUGCUAAUAAUUUGAAGAGAAAUAUUGAGUGGAAGUAGUGGACUUCUGCCACUAUACUCACUUUAAAUUUUAAGAUUUGAAUUCAAAAGUUGUAUAGUGGAAUUCGUGGAUCAGAUAGGCUUAAUAUAUAUUGUCAUAGUUUUAAUUUAAACAAAAUAAUUGGUGAUAGUUAAUUUUUAAAUUAUAAAAAAUAAAUAAUAAAUAUAUGUAAGACAAAUGACUAAUUCAGAGGAUGCCACUUGACUUAUUGAGGAGGCUGCAUCCUCUCUUAUUAAUAAUAGAAGAUAGAUAAGGUGUAUUACAAUAAGAGCAAUGUAUAAAAGUAAGUACUUAAUAAGAUGUAUGAUACAACAAAUACAUGUAUUAUUUCUCUUAUAGAUUGAUUGGUGACAAAUGAGCUGUAUCAAUUACUUUGCUGUCUUGGUCUUCUAUGGGCUGUGUAGACUGUAGUCCUUUCCACUAUUUUUCAAUAACCCAAUAGUCAAUAUAGAUGGUUGCAUUCCUCCAUUUCAAUUUAAGUGUCUUAAUUUGAUACAGCACGGCGUUUAAAAAAUAAAAAGGAGAUUUUUGAAUAGUCAAAAAAACCCACUCUAUUAUGAAGUCUUAAGUCUUUGUCUUGUUGAAUGAAAAGUCAAACUUUUUUGGUAAUAGUAGAUUGUAGUUAAUAAUAGCAAACAUAGUUGUACCAAUUACAAGUAAGAACACUAACAAAAGAGAGAGGGAGAGAAAUCACUGAUCAUUCUUGUUUGCAAUUUACUCUUAUCAUUCAACAGGUAAAAUAAAGUUGUUAAUAUUUGAUUUGAAGAUAGAAACAUUUAUCUUCUCAAAAUUCUUAAAAUCAUUUUUGUGGUUCCUUGUUUUGCUUUGUAGAUUUCAAAAAUGGAUAUUGGCUUAGCAGUUGGUGGUGCAUUUCUCUCUUCAGCUUCGAAUGUUCUCUUUGAUAGGCUUGAUCUUCAUGGUGAUCUUCUCAAGAUGUUUCAGAAACAUAAGCUUGAUGUUGGGCUUUUAGAGAAGUUGGAGGACAUUUUGCUUGGUCUUCAGAUUGUGCUAAGUGAUGCAGAGAAUAAGAAGGCAUCAAAUCCACUCGUGAGGAAGUGGAUGAAUAAGCUUCAGCGUGCUGUGGACGGCGCUGAAAACUUCUUGGAAGAAGUCAAUUACGAGGCUUUGAGGCUUAAGGUGGAAAGUCAGCAUCCAAAUCUUGCAGAAACUAGUAACCAGCAAGUAAGUGACCUCAACCUGAACUUGAGUGAUGAUUUCUUGAGCGAAGUUAGAAGUAUUUCUAUUCGGAUAAGAAACUAGAAAUUAGAACACUUUCAACUUCUUUGGUUGAUGAAUCUGAAAUCUUUGGUAGGGAGAUUGAAAUUGAGCGAUUGAUUGACCGUUUAUUGUCUAAUGAUGCAAAUGGAAAAAAUCUGAUUGUGGUCCCUAUUGUUGGAAUGGGGGGCGUGGGCAAGACAACACUUGCCAAAGCAGUUUACAAUGAUAAGGAGGUGAAAGACCAUUUUGAUUUGAAAGCUUGGUUUUGUGUUUCUGAGACAUAUGAUGCUUUAAGAAUAACAAAAGGUUUACUUCAAGAAAUUGGCUCAUUUAACUUGAAGGUUGAUGACAAUCUUAAUCAGCUACAAGUCAAAUUGAAGGAAAGACUAAUGGAAAAAAGUUUCUCAUUGUUCUGGAUGAUGUGUGGAAUGACAACUACAACGAGUGGGAUGACUUGAGGAAUAUUUUUGUUCAAGGAGAUAAUGGAAGUAAGAUCAUUGUGACGACACGUAAAGAGAGUGUUGCCUUGAUGAUGCGAACUGAGCAAAUUAGCAUGGACACCUUGUCUAUAUAUGACUCUUGGUCUUUAUUUAAAAGACAUGCAUUUGAAAACAUGGAUCCUAUGGGACACCCAUAACUUGAAGAGGUUGGAAAACAAAUUGUAGCUAAGUGCAAAGGACUGCCCUUAGCUCUGAAGACGCUUGCUGUCUUGUUACGCUCCGAAACAGAGGUUGAAGGGUGGAGACGUAUUUUGAGAAGUGAAAUAUGGGACCUGUCGAACAAUGACAUAUUACCAACGUUGAUGUUGAGCUACAAUGAACUUCCCCCACAUCUAAAGCCAUGUUUUUCCUAUUGUGCAAUAUUUCCUAAAGAUUAUCCAUUUAGAAAAGAACAAGUUAUUCAUCUGUGGAUUGCUAAUGGUCUUGUAGUACCUCGGAGAGAUGAAGGAAAUAAAGAUUUAGGCAACCAAUACUUUAACGAGUUGAGAUCAAGAUCAUUGUUCGAAAGGGUCUCAGAGUUUUCUGAAAGAGAUGGAGGGAAAUUCUUAAUGCAUGAUCUGGUCAAUGAUUUAGCCCAAAUUGCAUCUUCAAAACUCUGUGUCAGGUUGGAAGAGUGCAAAGAAUCUCAUAUGUUGAAUCAAAGUUGUCACAUGUCCUAUUCAAUGGGCAAAGGUGUUGACUUUGAGAAAUUGACACCCGUCAACAAAUUGGAGAAGCUGAGGACAUUGAUUCCAGUCAAUAUCCAACACAAUCGUUGAUAUCCUCUAAGCAAGAGGGUGCUGCAUAACAUACUGCCAAGGCUAACAUCUUUAAGGGCAUUAUCAUUGUCUUAUUACACGAUUAAGGAGUUGCCAGAUGCUUUGUUUAUCAAAGUAAAGCUCCUGAGACUUUUGGACCUUUCUAGGACAGAUAUUACAAAAUUACCCGAUUCUAUCUGUGCAUUGUAUAACUUGGAGACCCUUCUCCUGUCAUCUUGUACAUAUCUUGAGUUGCUACUGGUGCAGAUGGAAAAGUUGAUCAACUUGCGUCUUCUUGACAUUAGAAACACUUCUUGCUUGAAGACACUGUUACAUCUGCGCAAAUUGAAAAGCCUCCAAGUGCUGGUGGGAGCUGAAUUUCUUUUAGGUGGCCCCUGUGGUUGGAGAAAGGAAGAUUUGAGUGAAGCACAUUACUUGUAUGGAUCUCUGUCAAUUUUAGAGUUGCAAAAUGUGGUUGAUAGAAGGGAAGCUCCGAAGGCAAACAUGAGGGAGAAGAAUCAUGUUGAAAAGUUAUCGUUGGAGUGGAGUGAAAGUGAUGCUGACAAUUCACAAACUGAAAGAGACAUACUUGAUGAGCUACGCCCACACACAAACAUAAAAGAACUCCAAAUCUGCAGAUACAGAGGGACACGAUUACCAAAUUGGCUAGCUGAUCAUUUGUUUCUUAAUCUGCUAGUACAAUUGUCUCUUAUCAACUGCAAGGACUGUUUUUCCUUGCCAGCACUAGGACAACUUCCUUCUUUGAAAUUCCUUUCCAUUAGAGAUAUGCAUCGAAUAACAGAGGUGACGGAAGAAUUCUGUGGUAGUUCGUCCUACAAAAAGUCUUUUAACUCUCUUGAGAAGCUUGAAUUUGCAGAGAUGCCAAAGUGGAAGCAGUGGCACGUACUAGGGAAUGGAGAGUUCCCUACACUUCAGAACCUUUCAAUUGAAGAUUGCCCCAAGUUGAUUGGGAAGUUUCCUGAAAAUCUUUGUUCUCUGACAAAAUUGAGAAUUUCAAGAUGUCCUAAACUCAAUUUGGAGACACCCAUCCAACUUUCAAGUCUAAAAAAGUUUGAAGUUGAUGGUUCUCUUAAGGCUGGAGUUGUUUUUGAUGAAGCUGAACUGUUUACAUCCCAACUUCAGGGAAUGAAGCAGAUUGAGGAAUUAUCUAUUGGUAAUUGCAACUCUCUUACCUCGUUGCCUACUAGCACUCUACCGAGUACCUUGAAGACAAUAACGAUAUGUUGUUGCCGGAAAUUGAAAUUGGACACUUCAGUUGGUGAUAGAUUGACAUUAACAAGUUGUGAGUUGGUCCCAAGGGCAUGCUAUUUGUAUGUAAAUAGUUGUCCAAACCUUACUAGGUUUUUUAUUCCUAAUGGGACUGAAAGACUCGAUAUAAGUUGUUGUGAGAAUCUUGAACUACUUUCGGUGGCAUGGGGGACCCAAAUAACCUCAUUAUUUAUUUACGAAUGCGAAAAGCUGAAGCGGCUGCCACAACGUAUGCAGGAACUCCUUCCCUCUCUUAAGGGACUGCAACUGUGGAAUUUUCCAGAAAUUGAGUCCUUUCCUGAUGGGGGAUUGCCCUUCAAUUUACAACUCCUUGUGAUCGACGAUUGCAAGAAACUGGUGAACGGCCGAAAGGAGUGGCAUUUACAGAGACUCCCCUCUCUGAGAGAGUUGUACAUCAUCCACGACAGUGAUGAAGAGAUUGUUGGUGGUGAGAAUUGGGAGUUGCCAUGCUCUAUUCGAAGGCUUACCAUAGACAAUCUGACAACAUUUAGCAGCCAAGCUCUCAAAAGCCUCACCUCUCUUGAAUAUCUACGUACUUGUAGUUUACCUCAAAUUCAGUCACUCCUGGAACAAGGGCUUCCCUCCUCUCUUUCUAAGCUAUAUUUAUCUGACCAUGAUGAGCUCCAUUCCCUACCGACCGAAGCUCUUGGGCACCUCACUUCGCUUCAAAGUCUAGAGAUCAGCAAUUGUCAUCAACUCCAAUCACUUCCCGAAUCAGAGCUGCCCUCCUCCCUCUCUAAGCUGACCAUCUACAAUUGCCCUAACCUCUAGUCCCUUCCGGUAAAAUGGAUCACCUCUUCCCUGCCAAAACUAUCUAUUCGCAACUCCCCAUUGCUCAAACCACUCCUAGAAUUUGACAAGGGAGAGUACUGGUCAAAAAUUUCUCAUAUCCCAGAAAUAUAUAUCGAUGACGAAGUCAUGUGAUGAUUAAAACAAAUUGCGCUCUGACAGAUGUAAGUUAUUCUUUCCCCCCACUAGUUUAUUUUUUUUCCCUUACUUCCCAUUGCUUGUCUCUUCAUUAUUUUCCUUUUUUAAAUCUUUAGGAAAAUAGAGCAAAGUGUCUAUCACCACUCUGAAGCCAAUGGAUUCUCAAGUAUUUUUGUGAAAUUAAAUUUAGGUGAUGUUUCAACAUGUGACUUUUAGGAAACAAAUUUCACUCUUUUUUUAAAAAAAAAAAAAAAAAAAAAAAAAAAAAAAAAUAAUUUUUUAUGUCCUUGGGAUCGACAAUUGCGAGAAACUGGUGAACGAGACUCCCCUCUCUCAGAGAGUUGUACAUCAUCCACAAUGGCAGUGAUGAAGAGAUUGUUGGUGGUGAGAUUUGAGAGUUGCCUUGCUCUAUUCAAAGACAAUCUGAAAACAUUAAGCCAAGUUCUCAACAGCCUCACCUCUCUUGAAUGUCUAUAUAUUGGUAAUUUACCUCAAAUUCAGUCACUACUGGAACAAAGGCUUCUCUCCUCUCUUUCUGAGCUGUCCAUCUGUCAUUGCCCUAAUCUCCAAUCACUUCCCGAAUCAGCAUUUCCCUCCUCCAUCUCUAAGCUGACCAUCGAGGAUUGCCGUAAUCUCCAAUGCCUUCCAGUAAAAGGGAUGCCCUCCUCCCUCUCUAGACUAUCUAUUUGCAAAUGACAAUGCUCAAACCACUUAUAGAAUUUGACAAGGGGGAGUACUGGCCAGAAAUUGCUCAUAUUCCUGAAAUAUAUAUCAGUGUUGCAAUAUUACGUCGAAUGCCUGUGAUGAUUAAUAAAAAAGAAGCUCCCACAGAUGUAAGUUUUUGUUUUUCCUCAGUAGCUUUUUAGUUUUGUUUAUUACUCCCCAUUGCUUGUUUGUUAAUUAUUUUUCCUUGUUAAGCUAUUGGGUAAAGUUUUGUGUUUCUGAAACAUGUUUCACUUUUUGUUAAAGAAGUGAUAAAAUAUAAGCUUAUAAGCUUUAACCACUACUUGACUUAACAAGAAUGAAACAAUUGGAACAAUUAUAGUUAUGAGGAAUAAUUAUUGGAGUUUUUUAAAAAAAUAUAAAAGUUCGAGGAAAAUCCUAAGUUUUUAAAGUACCCAAAAACUAUAAUUUCUCCCAAAAAAUAUUACUUUUUCGUCCAAAGAUGAAGAUCGGCGACAGUUACCUUUGAAAACUUCUCCUUGCUUGUCUAUUAGCUUUUUUUCAGUUUGUUGAUCCAUUUAUUAUUGCAGGAGUUGUUCAAUCAAUUUGCAGAAAAACUACGAAGUGCACAAAUGCUUGAAGAAUGAAAUCUUUAUUUCACAAUCAGGUAGUAUGUGUUGCCCAUUCCUUAUUAUAAAGCUUGGAAAGCAAAGAUUUUGAAGGAAAAUUUUCAUACUAAGUUCUUUUUUCAAUCUUGUUGAGCAGCGUGUAGCGUCUAUUGCCACUGUGAAGCUGAAGAAGCAUCUUGAGAUCAGCAUGAAAAAUGACAAAAAAGGUAACAUGUUGCAACUACAGAAAUUCUUAUACAUCGUGAGAAAAAAAGACUAAUUUAGGUAGGAAACAGGAGUAAUAAUUUUAUCUAGGAAAGUUCAUAGCAAAAUGUAAUAUAAACAAAUUAGAAGCCUUUUUAUCAUUCACAAUGCGUUGAUAUGUCAACCCCGGAUGUAUAAGACUUUUGAAAUAUGAGUCAUUUUUCAUUUGAAAAAGCUAGAGAUGAAAUAGACGUACCGCUGUGAAUAUGCCUGCCUAUGCAUUACUUGAAGUUUCAUCAAAUAACUCUUGUUUUACCCCUUGAUCUCCAGUUACUUGAGUAAGGAGGAUGCAGUUUAGAACUGCACAUGUUCAACCUUGUGCUUUGAUAACAUUUAGAAUCUUAUCAUCCUCCGGAAAUGCAGUCUCUCUAAAGUCUACUAGAAUAUCCAAGGUACAUGUGGAAGAAAAUUCUGGUUCCUAUAUAUCAAAAAUAAGCAAGGUUGUUUCCAGAUAAUUCAGCGUCUAAAAGCAUCAGAACAAUGAAUUACCUGGCCUCAACUAUCGUUUAUCAGCGAGUUUUAAAUCUUCUUUUUUUCUUGAUCAGGAUUUUGGUAACAAUAUGUUCUUAGCUCAUUGGUGAAAGGAAAGUAAACUUCCUUCGUUGUGAAUUGGCAGCUAAUUCAUGAAUGUAAGUGUAGUUUUGCCUAAAUCGAAGUAACAGACUGUCCUUUUCACCAUUCAUGUAAUGCUAAAUUUUUUCGCUGUUUUACAUUUUUUCUCUUUGCUUGAAGUUUCAAUGCCAUAGCAAUUCUUGUACUCUUGAAGUUUCCUUGAGCAAGGAAGAGGUGUUCUGGGGUAAAUAUCCAUUCAGUGUCGAUAAAGGUCUUCCUUCAUCCCUCUACAUUCUGGCAAUCAUUAAUUUCUCUAUCUCUGAAUUAUGUAUGGACAACGUCCUUUGCUUGAACCAUGUGAGGACUAGGAACAGCACUUACACUUCGGAUAACCUUCCAGUUAAUUUAAAAAAUUUCUCCUUGCUUGUUUAUUAGCUAGUUUCAGUUCAUUGUUAUCAUUGCAGGAGUUGCUCAAUCAGUUUGCGGAAUCAUUUGGAAGGGCAUGAAUUCUCGGAAAAAAUUAACACUUCGGAUAACCUUCAGUUCUUGAUUAAUCGUUAAAGAGAUGAAUUAACAGCUUGCUCCCUUGACGUUGCGCUGUUCUUCUAGCUUCGUCAGCAUUAAAAAUUGCUUAUGAGGUAUAUAUGACAUAUUAAAAUUACUAUACUUGGAAUUCUGUUAAUUAGAAUCCAUUUUUGUAGUGAAAUAAAACGAUCAUAUUUCGUUACUUGUCUAGAGGAAUUAUUCAUUUUUAGCUAUAGACACAUGGUUGAAGGGGAGUCUUGGAGUAAAUAGUAAAAUUAUUGUCAUGUAAUCAAGAGGUCACGAGUUCAAGCUGUCACACCCCUUUUUCAACUCCCAAAAAAGAUUGAUUUUAAGUUCGAAAGGGUUAUUAUUAUUAAAGUGACAAAAUGAUUUAAAAAAAUUUCCGAAAAAGAUUAUUUAUUCAAAACUCAGAGUCGCCACUUGACAUAAUCCGGUGUGCCAAGUCACCUUUGAAAGAUCCUUUUCAAAACAGUUUGACUCUAAAAACUGAUCUGUGAACAGAGAUUCCGGCUAAGGAAUUCCUUAGCCGGAAUCUCUGUUGACCGAAAGGAAGGUGUUAGGCACCCCUCAAUCGCUUGAUUUGACCACAGCCGCUUGGUGGAGCAUAUCGGCUAAUUUGACACUACGAAUGUACAAACCACACAAAAACACGUAAAACAAUCAAACAAACAAACAAAACAAAAUGAAUAAAAAAUAUAGUGUCCAGUCCAACUAUACAGUCCCAAAUAAUGAAAAAUAUGAAAAUGUAAACCCAUUCUAUUCCAAACUAUCCCUAAACUACUCCUGAAUUAAGCUUCACCCGACGUUUCAGGCCUUGACCGGCAAAUGAACACGAAUACCUCGGGGCAUUCCCUGACCAAAUGAAUAUAUCUGAGAUAACUAGAAAAACGUUCAAAACAUAUAUCUAAACAUUCAACGCAUGCAAUCAACACAUCACUCCUAAAUUUUACCUACCCGAACCUAAAUAUUCUCCACUCUGUUGUGCGUAUUCCCCCUUGGAGAAGAUGAACUUUCUCUUUCUGCCCCCUUCUCUGUGGGUCCCCCUUUCCCCCUUUUUGUUUUAUAUUCUGUUAUAGACCCCAAAAAGGAAAAAUAUGAGGGGAAAUGGGUGGGGUGACGUGGGGAGUAGGGUAGGUUGUUAGGAUAAAGUUUGUUAGGAUAAGGUUAGGGAUUUAAUUUGUUAGAGAUUUUGUUAAGGGUUGUUAUUUUUGUAUUUUUGUGGGAUAUAAUUAUACGGAUGAGGACACGUAGUAAUACGGAGGUAAAAUGGUAAAAAUGCUGUCGGGGAGGGACAAAAUUAGGUGUCUACAUCAUGCCCCCUUUGAAUGUAAAUACGAAGUAUUUUCAGACAAAGAAGUAGACAACGAGACAGAAUUUUGUCCCGACCAUUAUUCAAAAAUGAAACAGAAAGAAGGAGGGAGACCAAGUCUUGAUUUAGGACAUCCUAUCUACCCAAGUUAUGAGGGAAUCAAGUCAUGAGUAUCUUAAAGGAUUGGAAAGAGAAGGACUAUACCGAGUUGGAGAGUCGAGUGAGGCUCCAUCGAGGUUUCGGUCCGCGGCUCUGUCAUUACAUCAAAAAAUGAAAAUUACAAGUUAAAAACAUAAAUGAAAUUAAAAAAAACUCUAUCUAUGCAGAUUUCCUUGAUUCUUGACUUGCUACUUCAUCACCCUAUUCUUCAGGUAGGCUCCUGACUUGCAAUUUCUUCACCCUGUUCUUCAGAUGGGCUCCUGACUUGCAAUUUCAUCACUCUAUUUUUUGGGCGAGCUCCCGACUUACAAUUUCAUCACUUGUUGCUUGGUUUUCAAUUUUUUCACCCUAUUUUUCAGACGGGUUCCUGACUUGCUAUUUUUUGAUUUGUUGACUUUUAAUUUCUUCACCUUAUUGCUUGACUUUCAACUUUUUCACCAUGUUGCUUGACUUUUCAUUUAUUCGGCCUGUUCUUCAGGCGGGCUCCUGAAAUCACAUCAAAACUAAAAAAAAAAAUUAUCCCAAACAAAGAUUAUUAUAAAGAGAUUUCAUUUGCCAGGAAAGCAAAGUUCCAAACACAAGAUUUAAAUUUUGCCCUAGUUUCUCAUCAAAGGACUUUUGGGAAAGUCACAUCAUUAUAGGAAUCAAAGGGAAUGACUCGACUAAAAGAUACAUCUUAUAGGAAUCAAAGGGAAUGACUCGACUAAAAGGUACGUCUUAUAGGAAUCAAGGGAAAUGACUCGACUAAAAGGUAUGUCUUCUAGGGGUCAAGGGGAAUGACUCGACUAAAAGGUACGUCUUAUAGGAAUCAAAGAGGAAUGACUCGACUAAAAGGUAUGUCUUAUAGGAAUCAAAGAGGAAUGACUCGACUAAAAGGUAUGUCUUAUAGGAAUCAAGGGGAAUGAGUCGACUGAAAGGUACAUCUUAUAGGAAUAAAAGGGAAUGACUCGACUUAAAGGUACGUCUUAUAGGAAUCAAGGAAUGACUCGACUAAAAGGUACGUCUUAUAGGAAUCAAAGGGAAUGACUUAACUAAACGGUACAUCUUAUAGGGGUCAAGGAAUGACUCAACUAGAAGGUACGUCUCCUAGGAGUGAGGUUCAAUUUAAGAAGUAUAUCACCUAGCAAAUGAAAACUGAAAUUCCUGGACAAGAAAGUGUGUCUCCGAGGAAUAUAGGAUGAUGAUUUUUUACCAUGAUUUGAUUAUCAAACCUGUGCAGCAACUUUGCUUCCUGCAUUUGUAGAAGUGAGGCAUUGCAACCCUUGAUAUUUAUGCUCUAAAGUCCUUUCUUUGAAGGUAAUAUGUUUCCUAUUUCAUCAAAGAAAACUUGUGAGUUUAAAACAUGGUGGCUGGUUUGUGGCUUUAGCUUUCGCGGCGAUCGCGCUUGCCCUCGUCACAUUUAACCUUGCUUCCAACCAUUAGCAUAUAUCAUUGACUUGCUGAAUCAUUGACCCGAACUUAGAUUAUUAAGAGUGACUAAAACAAACACGGUAUCACUACUUUGCCAUGCUUCUCAAAUAGACCCUUUGAAUCUUGGUAUUUUCAUGAGUUCCCUGACUUCUCUUUUGACAAAAUUUUCUGCAUGCCCUUUUUUGGCUCACAAUCAUGUCUCUUUUAUGUGCUAGCUUUUGUCUUGCUUUGUGCAAUUAAAGAAGCUGGUAGCCAGUUUUGAAAUCUUUUUUUUCUUGUUUUGACACGGACUUGACUCAAAGACAAGAAAAGAAAAAUGACAAUGACUUUUAUUAGGACAACUGACUCAAGAAAAUGAAAUAAAAAUAAAGAGAAGAAAGAAAAGACAAUGAAUGUCCCCAUUUGAAACAAAAAAAUAAAAAUUUAUCUAGAAAAGACAGUCAACUCUAAUGAUUAUGUCAUGCAUUUUGGAUUAAGCUGCCUGAUCUUUCCAUCCAAACUUCUACCAAUUGUUGUUGAGUUAAUGACCUUGAAAUUGAGUUGCUUUCUUAGGCCAAAUUCAUUCGGAAACCUCAUUCGGCUAGUGGCACCUUGAAGGGUUUUCGCCAACAAACCUGUUUCUUUGUCUCAGCUCACCAUUGUCUUAUGGUGCCCGUGAGAGUUUUCACCCAUAAGACUCUCAUUUUUAUUUCUCUCAACUUACCAUCAUCUUACGGUGCCCGUGAGGGUUUUCACCAAUAAGGCUCUCUUAUUUUAUUCCUCUCAUGAUUUCUUAGGCUGAGAAAGACAAGUAGUACCCAAAAUGCAUCAUCAUAUUCAUUGCAUACUUAGCCUUACCAUUCUCAAAUUAAUCUGAAGGUCUUUCUUUAGUUGCAACUUGACUUUUGGAUAAGGUUAGAAAGAAGGGAUGACAUGACCAAACGACACUUGAAGUGGUGUAGGACUUACAACUUUUGGAAUCGACUCAAACAAUGAAGUUUAACUCAUGCCCCAGUUUCUUUUGACUGGGUAAUUCUAAAUUGUUUAUUUAGUUGGACCGAGCUCAGAGUAGGACAACCUACGUAUCUCACCCCCGAGAGAGGAGAAUCAAGUCACGCAUAGUUCUGGCAACUUGUUCUUUUGCUUGAUUCUAAUUUUUUUUUUUGCUUUUCUCCUUUAUUGACUUUUUUUUCUCUUUGAAACUUUCUGACUCUAUGUUUCUCGACACUCUUCUUUUUACUUUCUUUUUGGACAUAUUUUCUUCUUCUUUUUCUUCUCUUUUUUUUUUGAAACUUUUCUGACUCGACUGUUUUGGUCGAUACUUUUUUUUUGAGCUUUGUUGACUCUAUCUACAUUCCAAAAGAGGGGUAUGAAAGAAAAUAACACUAAGGCUCAAAUGGGAUAAAUAAAGAAUGACACAAUAUUUGAAUAACAGAAUAAAAUGUCUUCGUCAUAUCAAUCUGUGAAAAUGCCAGUACAUAGCAUGCAAUGUGAAAGUACACGAUCAAUAUCACUUAUGACAUGUUUUACGACACUAACUUGCCCUGAGCAUAUGUGCCACCUCUUCUUCUACACUUGUCGAACAUACAACUCCACCUUUGUUGUGCAUCCCUCACAUUGAAUGACUUAUGCUUUCAUGGAGUUGAUUUUUGUUCUGUUCCUCGGGAGCACACAUCCGCUAUUUGACCUAAUUGAGCUAGGUUUUUCAAUUGAUGACCAAGUUAUUCUUGUGAUUCUCAAAAUAAUUUUCUUAAUUUUCGAAGAAGGCUUCAACUUAUCACAAAAUGUCUCAGCACUCCACCUAUUUUCUCAGAUGUUUUUCCUAACUUUAGCCCUCUGAUUCAAUGUUUCAUGGUUAAGUUGGAUUUUAAAAUUUGGCUGAAAAUUCCGCUAGCAUGUCAUAUCACUCAAAUCAACAUAAAAUGUACUGUAUAAAGAAAGCAAACAAACGACACAUAUUUAAACACAAAGGGAAAGGGAUAAUUCAUUUAGUUUAAAUAAAAGAUAGAAGGGUUUGAACAUAAACAACAAAGGGACAAAAGAAAAUAGAUCCUGAACUACAACUCUAAAAUAAUUCAAAAAACAGAAAAGAAGACAAAACAAACGACCAGACCUCUUCCUAGUAAGGAGAGGGGUGACUUCUUAAUUCUCAGCCUGACGACUUAGCCAUUGGUUUGCAUAUCAGCAUGACUAGAACUUCCCUCACUGUCAACGUUCUGCACCAUAAUUGAUCCAUCUUGAAUCAUCUUUUCAAUUUCUCUUUUCAAAUCUCGACAAUCUUCAAUACUAUGACCCUGAGCAUCAGAAUGAUACACACAUCGUAUAUUAGGAUUAAAAUUUCUUGAACGCCGAUUAAGAGUGCACCCAAGAAGAGGAGUGAUCAUGCCCCAUUGUACUAAUCUCUGAAAUAGACUGGCAUACGACUCUCCAAUUGGUGUGAAGCUAUCUCUCGAUUUUUACCUCAUUUCAUUAUUUGACUUGGAUCGAAAAUCAAGCUUAGAAGGGUUUUGGUAUGUUUGUGGAGUUAGAGGACGACUCUGAGGAGUUGGUGUGUUCCACUGUGGGUAAGAUGGGGGUUGAAUAUGAGGUGCGUUAUAUACUGGAUAUAGAGGUGGGGGAGCAGAGUAUAAUGGAUUUUGGGAGUGAUUAUGUGGAGCUUGGGCAUAAACUUGGGUUUGAUCCUGAGAGUGACGACAACGGGGUCUUCUUGACCGUGCCCGCUGUCCAACUACAAUAGAAGAUGCAACUUCCUAAUUCUUUGUCUCCCCAAUACUUCCUGAACCCUUUUAAAUUGCUUGUGUUGUCGCUUUCAAUGUUGCAAAACUCGCAAUGCGACCAGUCUUAAUUCCCUCUUCUAUCAUUUCCUCCAUUUUAAGGACCUCAAUAAAUGACUUGCCUAAUGCAAGUAACAAGAGUUUAUAAUAUGUUUCAUCCUGUGCUUAAAUAAACACCUCCACUAUUUUACUUUCUUUCAUUGGCGGUUUUACUCUAGUAGCUUGUUCGCGCCAUCUGAUCGCAUACUCCCUGAAACUCUUAGUAUUCUUCUUUUUUAUACUAUUUAGGGAUUUUUCGUCAGGGAUCAACUCCACAUUGUAUUGAAAUUGUUGCAUAAAUUCAUUAGCUAGGUCAUCCCAACUAAUCCACUUGUCAAUGUCUUGGUCAACAAACUAUUCCGAAGCUAGGCCUGAAAGACUCUCCCCGAAAUAAGCCAUCAGUAGUUCUUCCUUCCCUCCAGCGCCCCUUAAUUGGUUACAAUAGCACCUCAAAUGUGCCACUGGGUCCCCAUGUCCGUCAUACUUCUCAAACUUUGGCAUUUUAAAGCCAGGAGGAAGGUUGACACAUGGAAACAUGCAUAACUCCUUAUACGAGACACUUUUGUAACCCCCAAAUGCUUGCAAGUUCUUCAUAGCCAGUUCCAAACUUCUCAAUUUUCUGGUUAUUUUCUAUUGUUCUUCUGUCAUAACAGGCUUCUUAGUGUUAGGAGGAAAUUCAGGAGGGUGAGUGUCACCAUAAAGACCAGUUAACUUGAAUAUAGGCUCGAAAGUGUAACGCUGAUCACUAAUAAUAUUCAAUGCAGGCUCUCUUGUAGAGUAGAGAGCUCGUGGAUGAACAUCAAAAGUCGGAGCUUCAGGUAGGGGUGGCGCCGCAAAAGCAUGAACAACAGGUGGAGUCGAGUAUGGAUUGGGGAGUGAGGAAAUGAACAUUGGAAGUGGUUGGAUAUUGUUGCCCCAGAGUCGAUCCUGAUGCAUAUUGUGGCAUAUCAACAAAAAUGGAAAAUUGUGCAUGUGACACAGGAGGCAAGCCAGAAAGAUAUUCCAGAUUAUCAGUGGGAACUGGGGGGAGGUGGCAACCCAUUAGCCCAAGCUCGAUGCAUCUCUAUCAUUUGCUGCCUUCCUAAAUUCUCAUUUCUCGAAAUCCCUAUCUGAUUAGUGACAACAAACUCGGUAUCGUUGUUGGCCAUAACGUUCUCUGUGACUUGGUGCAAUAUGGAGGACCAGCCAAAAUGCCACAAACCAACCACCUUAAACUAACUGAACAAGAGAUAGCAAAUGUGUUAGUUAAACACUUUUCUCAAAAUCUUUUUUUUUCUUUUUGAAAAGGUCACCGAACCCAAGAAGGGCACCUACGUAUCUCAUAUCAAGAAAGAAGAGAAUCAGGUGUGCGUAGUUCGUGAAGUCUUGCCAAAAUGGCCGAUUAAACUCUUUUUUUUUCUUUUUCUUUUUCUUAAAAUUUUAAGAAACAAAGAAAAAUGACAAAUUGUCAAAAGAAUAUACAAAAAUCUUUUUGAAUUUUUCGGCUUUAAUAACCUAUACAAAAUGAAACCUAUGAUUACCAAAGAAACUCUUUUUGGGUUUUCAAUUUUGCAUUUCAUACCAAAAUGAAACUUGAACCUAUUAAAGGAAAAUCUUUUGUAGUUUUCUUUUAAAGAUGUAUAUGAAACACCUACUCUAAAUGAAGACUUAAGAAAAAAUCUUUUUGGAUUUUUGAAUAAGAUCCCCGAACCAACAAUAGGUUGCUAUUGUUGCCUACGUAUCUCACAUCCCGAAAGAGGAGAAUCAGGGGUGCGUAGUUCAUUCAGAUUGGACAAUUAAGGAUUAAAUAACAAACUGAACCCUGACUUGAGAGACACGACGAAAGACAAACGAUGAACAACGUCAAUAAAAUCUUUUUUGAGUUUUCAACUUGACGCUUCACACAAAAAUGACACCAAUAACUAUGAAAGAAAAAUCUUUUUGGUAUUUUCAUCAUAUCAGAUGUACAAAACUUCUACCAUCUUUUUAAACGUUUCUUUUAUAAAAAAACUCCUAUUGAAAUAAAUCUCUUUAAAGUUUUCGAAUUGUGAAUGAUUACCAAAGGAAAUAAAAAAUAAAAUAUUUUUGAUGUUAUUGAUUUUUUUAAAAAUGAGUGCAACACAUAAAAAAUCUUUUUUUGAAUUUUUAAAUUGUGGAAAAUAAAAAUCAUAAAGAACUUUAAAAAUUAAGAUUUUUUUUUGACUCACUCUUUCUUCUUUUUCCUCUCUUUUUUUGAUUUUCCCUCGCCUACACACUCGAUUAAUUCUAGCAAUUGUUUUCUCCAAAUUAGUCUGUCAAAUGACCACGUUACCCUUAGAGAUGCAACAUUUAGCACGUAGGGAUGCUUUAGAGGUGAGUAUACUACAAAGGGCCACGUGGGUCCCAUAGGCUCAAUAUGAUGCAGAUAAGCAUGACCUAAAGGCUGACCUACGUUGGGGUCCACUAACAAGGUUGUUCGGGGGAGCGUAUGGUCGAUAGUGGCUGCGAGAGCUUUCCACCCACUCCAUAACACCGACGGCUCCCCCUCCUAACAUAAGGGUGACUCAACUAGAGGUCGUGUACAACACGUGUACUACAAACUUGUUGCAGAAAGAAUGACUCGGGUUAUGCACAUAACCACUCAAUAAUGAUAAACAAUAACACAAAACAACACAAAUAAAUGUCCAUACACCUAUAGUGCCAAACUGAGCCAAUAAAACUCCAAAAUAAGCUCGAGAUUCUGGGUUCGAUCCCCAGCAGAGUUACCAGAGCUAUCACAUCCUUUUUUUUUUAACUCCAGAAAAGAUUGAUUUUAAGUUCUAAACAAUUUUUAUUAUUAAAGUGAUAAAAUGAUUAAAAUAAAUUCUGAAAAAGAUUAUUUACUCAAAACUCAGAGUCGCCACUUGACAUAAUCCGAUGUGUCAAGUCACCUUUGAAAGAUUCUUUUCAAAACAGUUUGACUCUAAAAACUGAUCUGUGAACAGAUAUUCCGGCUAAGGAAUUCUGCUGACCGAAGGGAAGGCGUUAGGCACCCCUCAAUCCCGUGAUUUGACUAUGGUCGCUUGGUGGAGCAUAUCGGUUAAUUUGACACUACGAAUGUACAAACCACACAAAAACACGUAAAACAAUCAAACAAACAAACAAAACAAAAUGAAUAAAAAAAUAUAGUGUCCAGUCCAACUAUACAGUCCCAAAUAAUGAAAAAUGCGAAAAUGUAAACCCAUUCUAUUCCAAACUAUCCUUAAAAUACUCCUGAAUAAAGCUUCACCCGACGUUUCGGGCUUUGACCGUGCGUUGUCUUCAAGUACAUGAUACUUCGGGGCAUUCCCGGCAAAUGAACACAAAUACCUCGGGGCAUUCUCCAGCCAAAUGAAUACAUCUGAGAUAAUUAGAAAAACGUUCAAAACAUAUAUCUAAACAUUCAAUGAAUUUAAUCAACACAUCAGUGCUAAAUUUUGCCUACCCGAACCUAAACAUUUGCCUAUCCCAUUCGAUCUAUCAUGACACUAUAGAAUUCACAAGCUUGAAAUUAAUUCCACAUUAAACAACAAGAAGACCAACAUUAAUCCAAAUUGACCCUUUUCAUCAAUCUCGAAAUUCCACCUCAAAUUUCUACAAUUCGCAAUUACCAAUUUAGCUAUCCUUAAUCAUUUUUUGAUUCACGAAAUUAAACAACAACUCAACAUCACUCAAAUUUCAUCAUCAAAAGCAUCAAUAUCGAUAAAAUCAAACAAUCAUAAUCAACAAACACCUAAUCACAUUCACAGCCAAUUCAUUCAACCAACCAAAUAAAGAAAAGGAGAUGGGUUAAAGAAAUGGACCUCAAUAUAAUGUUUUUGUCGAUAAUAAAGAAAUUCGAGACCGAAAUCUUCGAAAGGGAACCCCAACAACAAAACAAAACCAACUCGAAUUGGGAGAAAUCCAAACCCGAAACUGAAAUCGAACUUAAAUUCCAAAACUAGUACCGAGCUCGAUGAACCAAAACGGAAAUUGCAAUAAGAGAGUCAAUGAGUUCGAAAAUCCGGUGGACCCGUCGGAACAGGAACAGGAACAGUGAUUGGGUGUUUUCCGGUGGAUUUUGAACUGAAAAACGAGGACCCUUUGCUACUCCUGAGCUCCAGUAAGUUCGGCAGCAACUAGAAACGGAGAUGCGAUCUGUAGCGACAACGUUUCCGGUGAAAAACUCAGUCCAAAUUUCUCUCUCGCACGUUUUUUGUCUGCUUUUAACUCUCAACCUCAAAUCUCACUCUCUCCGGUUCGAUCCCCUCUUUCUCUCUGUUUUUCGCUCGAUCUCGCUUCACCCUCACCCAAUUUUCGUAUAAUCGCCUAUAUCUAUGGGUGUAUUUGAGAGAUGUACGCCUAUGGCAUAUUCUGUGUCUAUCUAGGUGUUGAUGGAUGGGUUAUUUUUCUUAUCAGUGAGUGUGAGGGUAUUUAUGUACUGUGAGAGGAAAUGGUCAGGGAGGCUUCUGUGUGUGUAUAUUGUAUUCUGUGAUGGCGCAGAAGAAAAGAAAAUUCUCCACUCUGUUGUGCGUAUUCCCCCUUGGAGAAGAUGAACUUUCUCUUUCUGCCCCCUUCUCUGUGGGUCCCCCUUUCCCCCUUUUUGUUUUAUAUUCUGUUAUGGACCCCAAAAAGGAAUAAUAUGAGGGGAAAUGGGUGGGGUGAUGUGGGGAGUAGUGUGGGUUGUUAGGAUAAAGUUUGUUAGGAUAAGGUUAGGGAUUUAAUUUGUUAGAGAUUUUUUUAAGGGUUGUUAUUUUUGUAUUUUCGUGGGAUAUAAUUAUACGGAUGAGGACACGUGGUAAUACGGAGGUAAAAUGGUAAAAAUGCUAUCGGGGAGGGACAAAAUUAGGUGUCUACACAAGCUUUGUAAACAACCUCUGGCAUAAGGUUGCGUACAAUGCACCCUUGUGGUGGGGCCUUUUGCUUUAGUGCACCGGGCUGCCUACUUUUUUUAGCUAUAGAUACAUGGUUGGUCUGUUACUGUAAUUCCUAAAAUGGCUAAAAGUUCUAACAUUUCUUUUUAAUUUGCUUUCAGUUACGUUUUCUUUGCGUAAGGAGGUUGUGAUUUCCAAUUCGUACAACCAUCUUUUGGCUUGCUUGAGGUAUAUGAACCAGACUUUCUGCUAAUGGAACACACAACUCUAAUGGAACCCAAAGGUACUCGAGAAAAUUUUUCUUUUUUAUGUAACACACAAAAGAGCAUAUUGUACAUUAUGGUUAGAUUAUAAGGAAAGAUAUUAAUUUUGCCUUUUUAGGAUUUUAACAUGGCUAAAUGUUUAUUUGGGAAGGGAAAAGUUUUAAGGUGUCUCUGCUAGUAGAAGAAGGGAAAGUUGUUGAAUCAUUAAGUAGUAUUCAUUCUUAUGUGGAUUGAACAUAAAGACAAUGACUGUAAUACCCGUCUAUUUUGACAGAUGAAGCAUAACUUGCUGCAAAUGGAACAUACAGCUCUAAUGGAACUUAAAGCGCUACAUAGAAAAAAUGUUGUUUAAUGUAACACACAAGAGACUUAUUGUACGUCACGGUUAUUAUAAAUAUAUUACAUUUUCAUUGUUAGGAUUUGGACGAAGUGUUCAAAAUUAUCUUGGAAGGAAAAAGUUUUAAAGGUUUCUUUUCAAAAUGAGAUGGGAAAUCUACUGAAGCUUUCAAUAAUCUUUUGUUGGUUUGAACAUCAGAACUAGGGGAAAGACAAUGAAGUGUAUCCUGUUCGGAAUGAAUUGAAGGUUAGAUAACAAAAAAGGAUUUACUCAUAGUUUCAGUUACCAAGAUGCUUAUAUUUUGUGGUGGUAGUAGUUUAUUUUACUUGCUAGAAAACGUCAUCUCUUAUUAAUUCUUCUAGUUUUAGCGGAUGCAUAUAACCUGUUCAAAAUAUGACGCAGUCUUACUUAACGCAUCGUGACAGUUAAUUUUGAGGAUUUCUUCUUCGUUUAACAUUGUAGGAGUUGUUCAACCUUGUCUUCGUAGUCUUAAAGUCUUUCAUGGAAACACAAGGAAGAGAACAUGAAUGGUCAGAAACUACGCAAAUCAAAAAUGCGGAUGAAGAUUUUUAAGCAAAGGUUUUUUUUCACCACACAUCUGUCUACUUUGCCUUCCUUGAGAUGAAGCAUGCCUUGUUGCACAUGGAACAUACAGCUCUAAUGGAACCCAAAAUUACAUGAGAAUAAAAGUUGUUUGGUGUAACACACCACAAAAAACAUGUUGUAUAUUGCGGUUAUAGAUUAUAAGGAAAGAUAUUACUUUUUCAUUGUUAGGAUUUUGACAAGGCUCAGCGAUUAUUUGGGAAGUGAAAAGUUUUGAAGGGAAAGUUGUUGAAUCUUCAAGUGGUAUUUAUUCUUAUGUUGGGUUGAACAUCAGGACUAUGGAUGUGAAGAUAGCUUGUAUGGUUGGCUUUUGGUUUAGGAUUCACGACUUUAAAAUGAGUCACAAGAAUCUAGGCCUCGCUUCUUUAUGUACCAACAAUCAACAUCUCUCAUGUGUUUUGCUGGAUACAUCUGAGCCAACGGAAAGCAUAAUCGCAGCAUUUUAUGGAAACACAACCAGUAACAACAUCAGGAUAGUAAGAUAACCAAAGUUAGAAAUACGAAAAUAAUAAAAAAAAUCAGAUUUUUUUUAAUUGUACACCAGCUGCAAAGCCAACUACCCCCAUAGUUGAAAACAAUAUAUAUUUGAUCCCUCAAAAAUCGCACCUGUAGACCAAACAAAGAGCUUAGACAUAAGGACCACUUUAACACCAAAUCCACCAACUCAAAAAUGAAAUAUUAAAACAAAAGGUGCUUCGGGACCUACAAAGUAUUAAUUUUUACAUACAAAGAGACAAAAAUCAUGCAUUAAAGUAGAAGAUAAUAGAUCUUGAUAUCCAGGAAAAAGCACAUGACUCUUAGCAUUCAACAUUUAUCUUCUCAAAAACUCUUAAAAUCAUUUUUUCACUUUGUAGAUUUCAGAUAUGGAGAUUGGCUUAGCAGUUGGUGGUGCAUUUCUGUCUUCAGCUUUGGGUGUUCUCUUUGAUAGACUUGCUCCUCAUGGCGAUCUGCUCAAGAUGUUUCAGAAGAAUAAGCAUGAUGUUCGACUCUUAAAGAAGCUGAAAAUGACUUUGGUUGGCCUUCAGGCUGUGUUAAGUGACGCGGAGAAUAAGCAGGCAUCAAAUCAACACGUGAACCAGUGGCUAAAUGAACUUCGAGAUGCUGUGGACGGCGCUGAAAACUUAAUGGACGAAGUCAACUGAGGCCUUGAGGCUUAGGUGGAAACAAGCAACCAGCAAGUAAGUGACCUCAACCUGAGUUUGAGUGAUGAUUAUUUUCUUAACAUAAAGGAGAAGUUGGAAGACACCAUUGAAACAUUGGAGGAUUUGCAAAAUCAAAUUGGUAUCCUUGGCUUAAAGGAGCAUUUUGCUUCGACUAAACAAGAAACUAGAAGACAUUCAACUUCUUUGGUUGAUGAAUCUGAUGUCUUUGGUAGGUAGAAUGAAAAAAAGGAAUUGAUUGACCGUUUAUUGUCCAAGGAUGCAAGUGAAAAAAAUCUGACUGUUGUCCCUAUUGUUGGAAUGGGGGCUGUGGGCUAGACAACACUUGCUAAAGCUGCUUACAAUGAUGAGAACGUGUAAAACCAAUUUUAAUUUGACAGCUUGGUUUUGUGUGUCUGAACCAUAUGAUGCUUUCAGAAUAACAAAAGGGUUACUUCAAGAAAUUGGCUCAUUGCAGGUUGAUGACAAUCUUAAUCAGCUGCAAGUCAAAUUUAAGGAAAUCUUAAAGGGGAAGAGGUUUCUUAUUGUUCUGGAUGAUAUGUGGAAUGAAAACUAUAACGAGUGGAGUGACUUGUGGAAUGUUUUCGUUCAAGGAGGUAUUGGAAGUAAGAUCAUUGUGACGACACGUAAAGAGGGUGUUGCCUUGAUGAUGGGAUCUGAGCAAAUUAGCAAGGACACCUUGUCUAUUGAUGAUUCUUGGUCUUUAUUUAAAAGACAUGCAUUUGAAAACAUGAACCCUAUGGGACAUCUAGAAAUUGAAGAGGUCGGAAAAAAAACUGCUUCUAAGUGCAAAGGGCUGCCCUUAGCUCUGAAGACGCUCGCUGGCAUGUUACGCUCCAAAUCAGAGGUUGAAGGGUGGAGAAGUAUUUUGAAAGUGAAAUAUGGGAGCGUCCAAACAAUGACAUAUUACCAGCAUUGAUGUUGAGCUAUAACGAACUUCCUCCACAUUUAAAGCCAUGUUUUUCCUAUUGUGCAAUAUUUCCUAAAGAUUAUCCAUUUAGGAAAGAACAAGUUAUUCAUUUGUGGAUUGCUAAUGGUCUUGUAUCACAAGAAACAAUUAAAGAUUUAGGCAAUGAAUACUUUCUCGAGUUGAGAUCAAGAUCAUUAUCAAAAAGGGUUCCAAAUCCUUCUCAACAGAACACAGAGGUAUUCUUAAUGCAUGACCUUGUCAAUGAUUGAUACAAGUCAAAUGGCCACUUUAAUUUUUGAAGACAUGAUUGGAGGUCAUCAUUUAAAGGCUCAAGACUUGGUCACCCCGAGGGCACAAGAAUAUGCAAGGAAGACCCGUUUUGAGCACAAGCAAGGACGUGUGUGGAAGAUUGCUUGGAGCAUCAAAGACUUGAGGACUCACGGUUUUGGAUAACACUUAAUGGGUAAUGAUUUGGUCAUCUUCAUUAAGGGUAUUUUGGUCACUUCAUUGGGUCCAAAUGCACUCCAUGGCCACCCCACCCUUUAAGGGCAUUGUUGUCAUUUUGCCUUGUCUUGUAAUAGAAUAUAAAUAGAACAUUUUAGGUCUUUUUCUCAUUAGUUGUUUAUUGAUGGAAGACAAACUUUCUCUCUAGUGUGAGGAGUGAAACAACCCUUAGUUGUAGGGCUUGGAAAAGCCACCAAUCCGUAACUAGGGCUGCCUAAGUGUGGAUAUCACUUGUGUUGCAUCAUUGUCUUGAUACCUUGGUGAUUAGGGAGGUAAUUGUGUCAAUGUAGGAGUUAGGUUAACCGUUGUGUGUAGUGUUAAGGGUCCAAGAUUACCAUAUUCUUGGAUUCUUAAGAUUAUACCAACCAAGGUCUAACUAUCUAUCCAUUUUGUUUAUGUUGUAAUCGUUUGUUUGUGUUCUUGUAAUUCAAAUCCGUGACUUGUUGUUCUUGUUCCAUUGUUGUUGUUCUUCAUCUUGUUGUUGUUAACAUAGUUUGUUGUUAACUGUUUUUAGGUGAUAAACACAUCAAUACAUUGUGUUCUUGUUGUUGUUUGUUGAAUCCGAGUGUGGUCUUCAAAAGGGUCCUCGGAUCUUUGAUCUUGUGGACUGAUUUUGAAGUGUGUUUCGUGUUGUCCUUGUAAUUCUUGUAUCAAUGUUCUAGCCCAAAUUGCAUCUUCAAAACUUUGUGUCAGGUUGGAAGAGUGCCAAGGAUCUCAUAUGUUGGAACAAAGUCGGCAUAUGUCGUAUUCAAUGGGGGGAGGUGCUGACUUUGAGAAAUUGAAACCGCUUUCUAAGACAGAGCAGCUGAGGACAUUGCUUCCAAUCUCUUUCCGGUGCCAUAAGCUAAGCAAGAGGGUGCUGCAUAACAUACUGCCAAGUCUAAGAUCCUUAAGGGCAUUAUCAUUGUCACAUCAUGGGAUUGUGGAGCUGCCAAAUGAUUUGUUUAUCAAAUUAAAGCUCCUGAGAUUUUUGGACCUUUCUCGGACAGAGAUUAAAAAAUUGCCGGAUUCUAUAUGUGCUUUGUAUAACUUGGAGACACUUCUCCUGUCAUCUUGUUAUUUUCUUGAGGAGUUACCGCUGCAGAUUGAAAAGCUAAUCAACUUGCGGCACCUUGACAUAAGCGACACUUCUCACUUGAAAAUGCCGCUACAUCUGAGCAAGUUGAAAAACCUCCAAGUGCUAGUGGGAGCCAAGUUUCUUCUAGGUGGUUGGAGAACGGAAGAUUUCGGUGAAGCACAUUACUUGUAUGGAUCUCUAUCAAUUUUAGCGUUGCAAAAUUUUGGUUGAUGGAAGGGAAGCUCAGAUGGCAAAGAUGAGGGAGAAGAAUCAUGUUGAAAACUUAUCGUUAGAGUGGAGUGAAAGUAGUGCAGACAAUUCACAAACUGAAAGAGACAUACUUGAUGAGCUACGCCCACACACAAACAUAAAAGAACUCAAAAUCUCCAGCUAUAGAGGGACACAAUUUCCAAAUUGGCUAGCUGAUCAUUCGUUUCUUAAGCUAGUGAAAUUGUCUCUUAGCUACUGCAAGGACUGUUUUUCCUUGCCAGCACUAGGACAACUUCCUUGUUUGAAAUUCCUUUCCAUUAGAGAGAUGCAUCGGAUAACAGAGGAAACGGAGGAAUUCUACUGUAGUCCGUCCUCCGAAAAGCCUUUUAACUCUCUUGAGAAGCUUAGAUUUGCAGAGAUGCCGGAGUGGAAGCAGUGGCAUGUACUGGAGAACGGAGAGUUUCCUGCCCUUCAGGACCUUUCCAUUAAAGAUUGCCCCAAGUUGGUUGGGAAGUUCCCCAAGAAUCUUUGUUCUCUGACAAAUUUGAGAAUUUCAGGAUGUCCUGAACUCAAUUUGGAGACACCCAUCCAACUUUCAAGUCUAAAAUGGUUUGAAGUUGAUAGUUCUCCUAAAGCUGGAGUUGUCUUUGAUGAAGCUGAAGUGUUUACAUCCCAACUUGAGGGAAUGAAGCAGAUUGAGGAAUUAGAUAUUAGUGAUUGCAACUCUCUUACCUCCUUGCCUACUGGCACUCUGCCGAGUACCUUGAAGACAUUAAGGAUGUAUCGCUCCCGGAAAUUCAAAUUGAAGACUUCAGUUGGUGAUAUGAUUUCUAACAUGUUUCUGGAGGAAUUGGCACUGGGUGGAUGUGAUUCUAUAUCAUCACCUGAGUUGGUGGUGCCAAGAGCACGCACUUUGCGUGUAUGGUGUUUCCAAAACCUUACUAGGUUUUUGAUUCCUAAUGGUACUGAAACCCAUAUGACGUCAUUGAUUAUUUCGGAAUGCAAAAAACUGAAGCGGCUGCGAGAACGUAUGCAGGAACUCCUUCCAUCUCUUAAGGAACUGCGACUGCCUUAUUGUCCAGAAAUAGAUUCCUUUCCUGAUGGAGGAUUGCCCUUCAGUUUACAACUCCUUUGGAUCAGGGAUUGCGAGAAACUGGUGAACGACCGAACGGAGUGGCGUCUACAGAGACUCCAUUCUCUCAGAGAGUUGUACAUCCGCCACAGUGGCAGUGACGACGAGAUUGUUGGUGGUGAGUAUUGGGAGUUGCCUUGCUCUAUUCGAAGGCUUACCACAAGCAAUCUGAAAACAUUAAGCAGCCAAGUUCUCAAAAGCCUCACCUCUCUUGAAUCUCAAAUUUACCUCAAAUUCAGUCACUGCUGGAACAAGGGCUUCCCUCCUCUCUUUGUAAGCUAUAUUUAUCUGAGCAUGAUGAGCUCCAUUCACUACCGACUGAAGGUCUUCGUCACCUCACUUCACUUCAACGUCUACAGAUCUACUCCUGCCAUCAACUCCAAUCACUUCCCGAAUCAGGUUUUCCCUCCUCCCUCUCUAAGCUUACCAUCACGGAUUGCCCUAAUCUCCAAUCCCUUGCAGAAUCAGCUCUAUCCUCCUCCCUCUCUAAGCUUGCCAUCACGGAUUGCCCUAAUCUCCAAUCACUUCCAGUAAAAGGGAUGCCCUCUUCCCUCUCUGAAUUAUAUAUUCGCAACUGCUCAUUGCUCAAACCACUAGUAGAAUUUGAUAAGGGGGAGUACUGGCCAGAAAUUUCUUAUAUUCCUGAAAUAUAUAUCGGUGUUACAAUAUUUCAGGGGGAAUCAGAAUGCCUGUGAUGAUUAAAUAAAAAAGAAGUUCCCACAGAUGUAAGUUUUUCUUUUUACCCAGUAGCUUUUUAGUUUUGUUUAUUCCCCAUUGCUUGUUUGUUAAUUAUUUUCCCUCGUUAAGUUAUUGGGUGAAGUUUUGGGUAAAGUCUUGCGUUUGGAAAACAUAUCACUUUUUCUCAAGAAAGUCAUAAAAUAUAAGCUUAUAAGCUUUAACCACUAUUGACUUGACAAGAAUGAAACAAUUGGAACAAUUAUAGUUUGGAGGAGUAAUUAGUAGAGUUUUUAAAAAAUAUAUAAAAGUCAAGGUAAAUUCUAAGUUUUUAAAGUACCCAAAAACUGUAAUUUCGCGCAAAAAGUUAUUAUUUUUCUAGAUUUUGAGAAUUUGGGUCUUUGGCAAGAUUUUUCUCAAAAAUUGCUUGUACUCUCAUUGUGCUUUAAUGUCUAGAUAACCUGACAGUUAUUUCCAUGGAAUUCUCCUUUGCUUGCCUAUUAACUUGACAUUUUGUUGUCAUUGUAGGAGUUGUUCAAUCUCUGAGCUGCAUAUAUAUAUAUCAUUGGCGUAAUCUCCAGUCGCUUCCAGAAUCAUCAGACUGUUCUCUUCCAUGUUUGAACAAUGUAUUUCCAACUGCCUGUCACUUGAACUACGUCUAGAAUUCUGAGAAAGGGGGUUACUUGCCAUAAAUUGUCCCCAGAUAAUUUAACAUCUAAAAGAAUCAAAACAAUGAAAUAUCUUGCCUCAACUAAUAGCAAGUUUAAACUCUUUUUUUUCUUGUUCAGGAUUUUGGUAACAACAUGUUGUUAGCUCAGCUGGUGAAAGGAAAGUCGUGCUAACAUUCUCCAUUGAAAAGACUUUGACCUCAAAUGUGAUCUGUUAGGAAACUGUAAGUGAAGUGCUUCUCUUUUGUGUGGAAUUUGACAAUAUCAGGACAUUCUAGUUUGAACACUUUGGGUAGACUCUACAGGAUCAACAACCAUAGCGCAUGGAAUAUGGUAGAAUUCCUCAAUAUGGCUAUUCAGGAAUCAUGUGAUGCGGUGAAAGGUUUCCCAUUGGGGUUCCCGACCCUCCAAAUCUCCACUUGCUUGUGGAAUGUGGGGAGGGGUUCCUUGCUAUUAAGGUGUCAGGGCGGUCGAAGGUCACAAGCGGAAGCAACCGAUGUGCUGGCAAAAGAAGGGGUUACUGUUGGUUUUACCUACUAUUGGAUUUUUCAGAUCAAUUCUUUGCUGCAAUCGCAUUGAUCCACCGAAAUUCUGUGAAGUUUGAACACCAAUUAGUAAUAGUCAUUUUCUAGUACCAAUUACAUGAUCCAGUCGUAUUAACUAUCAGAACUGAUAUUGUAAAAGCUGAAGUAUUCCAACUAAUUUACUCAUUAGACUUGCUUUGAGAUGUUGUAAAAGAGACCUAGUAUAGAUAGGAAAUGAUAAUUUUCUCAAUUAUGUUGAUAGCAUAAAUUAGUACUAACGUACCACAAAUCAUUUGCCAUUAACGUAGGUAUAUAUGUCAGCUGGAUGUUUAUAGUAUAUCUAUACAUGAACCAUUGAAGAUUUUUAAUUCAUCUCAAUAUCAAUUCAUAUACAUGAACCAGUGCAUUGAGCAAGGAAGAGGUGUUUCGGGUUAAUGAUUGUAUAGCAAUCAGCGUCAAUAAAGAUCUUCCCUCACCGCUCUUUGUUCCGGUAAUCAUUAAUUUCCUAGCUCUGAACUAUGCAUUUAUGGCAUCUGUUGCUUGAACCAUGUUAAAUCUUUAGAAUUGACAGCAUAACCAAGAAAGAGUCAUCUCUUAUUAACUCUUCUAGUCGUAGCGGUUGCAUAUAAGCUUUUCAAAAUAUGACAGUCUUACUUAACGCGUAUAUUGCAAUCAAAUGUCUAGAUAACAUGACAGUUAAUAAGUUUUGAUGUCUUCUUUGUUUGUCUAUUUAGUUUGAUUUCGAUGUUGAUUUGUUGUCAUUGUAGGAGUUGUUCAAUCUUGUCUUCGCUGUCUUAAAUCCAUCAAUUCUUGGAAUCGCAGGGAAGAUCAUGAACUGUCAGAAACUAUGCAAUCAAAAACUGAAUCGAUAUGGAACAUACGGCUCUAAUGGAACCCAAAGGUACAUGAGAAUAAAAGUUGUUUAACGCCGCACACAAAAGAACAUGUUUUAUAUUGUGGUAAUAGAUUAUAAGGAAAGAUUUUGCUUUUUCAUUGUUAGGAUUGUGACAUGGCUCAACAAUUAUUUGGGAAGUAGAAAGUUUCGAAGGUGUCUCUGCUCAAGUUGUAGAAGCUUUAACUGGUAUUUUAUUCUCAUGUUGGAUUGAACAUCAGGGACUAUGGAUGUGAUAGCUUGUAUUAUUGGCUUUUAGUUUUUGAUUAGGCUUGCACGACUUUAAAAUGUGUCACAAAGGUUGAAGGAUCGCUUUUUUAUAUACUAACAAUCAAUGUCUCUCAUGUGACAUUUGUCAAGAAUGUGACAAUGACUUUCUUGUUACUCUGAAUACGUCUAAGCCAACGAAAUCAAAAGAUUGACGUGAUUGUCCUUGGAGUCCGGAGCCAAAAAGGCUAAAUUUUUUGACCAAAAAUUUCAAAAGAGACACUUGAUUUGUGAAGAAACCAAAGGGGAUUAAACGUUGUUGGCUGAGCGAUUUACAAGUUGCUUGGUAUCCAACGAUUUGCAGGUCGCACAGUGUCCAGCGAUUUGCAAGUCGCCUGGUGUCCAAUGAUUACCAAAUCGUCGUGGGAACCAAGCGACUUGCAAAUCGCUGAACAUCAAGCGACUUGCAAAUUGCUCAACCACCAACGUUUUGUCUCCUUUAGUUUCUUUUCAAAUCAGGUGUAAAAAAAAUUGGAUGUCCAGUAUUGAGAAAUCUGAAUUUGAGCUAUGUGUAAUUGUUUAUCACGUGUUUUAAGAGAAUAUAAUCACUUUCUAAUUUCUACGCUCCCUGCGAAAAGAAAAUUAGGAAUUAGUUACAAAGUUCUAUUACUAAUUUAUUGUUAAAUAGUUUGUAUUGAUAAUAUGUUGCUAAUAAUUGCUAAUAUGUUGGGUCCCUUGCGAAGAUUAUUGCAUAUAACCUUGAUAUGAUUCUUGCCAAAAUGUAAUUUACUCGAAACAGAUGGUAUAAAGCAGCAGGAGUCAGUUAAACAGGUUAUAUGAUUCUUUCUUCUUUAGGUGAAAAAUCAAAUGUAACAUGUGUUAAUAGUAGUUUCUCUUGGAGAAUGAUUCUACCUGGUUCCUCAGCCUCAUUUUGUAGCCUUGAACCUCAAGAGAAAUUACCGAAGAUGUCUGGUCUCAUCUCUUGGGAUGGUCAUGUUUUACAUGAUGUCGGUUUUACUGGUGCAGAGUUUAUGUGAGCAACUACCGUCCAACAACUUAUGAAACAGCUAUAGCAUUCGUGGUGGAAGAAUUACAACAUGGGGCCAAGACAGCACAAGUUGUGGGGUUGGGCAUCUCAAUUGUCAAUUGUCACCAGUACUACCUAUAGGAAAAAUCUACCCCCUCUGAGCUACACACCCAAACCUAAUAAAAAUCAAUGUGAAGAGGGGGUGGGCAUCAUGGUUGUGGGGAAGGAAAAAAUUUUCUUCACAUAUUCAUGAUAUGGUAGGCCCAAGUAACACUAUUAGGGAUCGUUUGGUAGAGUGUAUUGAAAAAAAUAAUGCAGGCAUUAGUUAAUAUGUACUACAAGUACCUUGGUUGGUACAUUUUUUUAACCUAUUAUAUACUCUAUUGUGUAUUGAGGUGUGUAUCAAUAAUAAACACCAUUUUUCAUAUAUUAGUAAUACAAAGACUCUAUACACAUGCAUUAACUUGUUAAAUGACAAAUUUACCCCUUCUUUUCAUCUUUUUGUCUGCUGUGAUUUGUAGUUGCUGCUACCUCCAUUUCAAUAUUUCAACAGAUACUAGUAACGGACAUGGUAGUAUCUCAGAUGAAACAGUAGUAUCAUUGUGAUUGGAACUAGUCCAAUUUUCUGGAACUCAUUCUCAUCCUCAAGAACAAAAAUUUCACCAUUAAUAGAAGUUUGAGAUUUGUUCCAAUUUAAGUGUCUUACUUUCGUUUUGUGGUUUGUUUUAAAAAGAAUGUUUCUUUAUAUAUUUAGUUCGUUUUUCAAUUCCAACAUUCUACAUGGAAAACUUAAGACCGCAAUAUUUUAAAGACUAAACACAUCUUUAAUUUAAGAUGAUAAAAUUCAAAAAUCUCCUUUUUAUCUUUUAAACAUCGUGCUUAAUCAAACUAAAAUACUUAUAUUGAAAUGGAGGGAAUACAUCAUUUCUACAGCCAUUUAUAUUGACUAUUGGGUUAUUGAAAAGUAUUGGAAAGGACUACAAUCUACACAGCCCACAAAAGACCAAGACAACACAAAUUGUGCCAAAAGUAAUUGAUACAGUUCAUUUGCCAUCAAUCAACCUAUAAGAGAAAUAAUACAUGUAUUUGUUAUAUUAUACAUCUUACUAAGUACUUACUUUUAUACAUAGCCCUUACUCUAAUACACCUUAUUCUUUUAAUACAACAAACCAACAAUAACAACAACAACAACAAACAUAAUACAUAGUGAAAUUCCACAAGUGAGGUCUGGAGAAGGUAAAGUAUACGCAGACCUUAUUACUACCUCGGCAAGGUUAAGAGAAUAUUUCCGAAAGACCCUUAGCUUAAGUGUAGAAAAUUCAGGUACAAAGUAGAGUUUAACAGUGAAAAAGAUAUAGCAACUAGCAUGCAAUAGGUUGAUUGGUGACAAUUGAACUGCAUCAAUUACUUUUGGCACAACUUUUGUUGUCUUGGUCUUCUGUGUCCCCUUACUCUAGUACUUUUCACUACUUUUUAAUAACCCAAUAAUACUGUAUUUAUUUCAAUUUAAGUAUCUUAAUUUGAUUGGAUGCAAUGCUUAAAAAAUAAAAGGAUACUUUUGAAUUUUAUGAUCUUAUAUAGUCUUUUAAAUCUUGCGGUCUUAAGUUUUUCAUGUAGAAUGUUGGAAUUGAAUAAUGGACUAAAUAUAGAAAGAAACAAUCUUUUUAAAACAAACCACAAAACGAAAGUAAGACACUUAAAUUGGAACAGAUUUAUUUUGUUGAUUAAUCUUCACUUAAUAAUCCUACAAAGUUUCUGGGGGGCUUGGGCCACAGGUGACAAAAGAGUUUUAAAAUGAGGUGUAGGUGACACAAGUCUUAAUUAUUAGUUGGAGGUGACAAUUACUUUAUUAUGUAUUAAGAAAGUUGGGAAAGUUUUAAAAUAACCCACAAGUUUUUAAAUUUACACUUUGAUCCCAAUGUAUACCUAAAAUAACGGGAAACGGAGGAAAAAAAAGCGUCUUUCUCUCUCUUCUCAUCCAUUGUUGUUUUCUCUCUCUUAUCGAUUUUUGUUGUUAAUUGUUUCUGUUUCUGCUGCUUUAUUCAUCAUCUUCUUCUUCAUCUUCUUUUUGUCGAUCAUUUGUUGUUGUUGUUGUUGGUACAGCGCUACUGCUGCGAUCUGACCAAUUUCUUAGGUCAAAUUUUAUUUACUACAUCACUUUCCACUUUAGCAUUACUUCAUAGGUUACUUUGGUAAGUAAAAUUAUGAUUUUUAUUCGUCUUUGUCAUCUAGGUACACUUCUAUUUUUCCAAUAAUUGAUAGAACCCCGAUUAUGAAUUCAGCACAAGUGCCCACAAUUUAAACAGAUCAAUCAUCUGGUGCAUCAUAUGAGUAAUCUGUUGCAUCAGACUAUUUAUAUGUUGCAUCAUCGUAUUAUCUAUUGUAUCAGACGUAUUAUCUGUUGUAUCAGGAUGUUUAUCUAUUGUACCAGACUAAUUAUCUAUUGCAUCAGAAUGUUUAUCUGUUGCACCAGACUAAUUAUCUGUUGCAACGAAUGAUUAAUCUGUUUGAAACAACACAAAUCAACCCCUGCCACAAACCCAACAGAUAAAUCUUGCUAUUGCUACUGGAUUCUAAAUUAUUUCUUUUUACAUCGAAUCGUCGAAAUGUUUGUUGAGAAGAUAAUAGACAGAAUNNNNNNNNNNNNNNNNNNNNNNNNNNNNNNNNNNNNNNNNNNNNNNNNNNNNNNNNNNNNNNNNNNNNNNNNNNNNNNNNNNNNNNNNNNNNNNNNNNNNNNNNNNNNNNNNNNNNNNNNNNNNNNNNNNNNNNNNNNNNNNNNNNNNNNNNNNNNNNNNNNNNNNNNNNNNNNNNNNNNNNNNNNNNNNNNNNNNNNNNNNNNNNNNNNNNNNNNNNNNNNNNNNNUGGGUCAGCCAUAAUCUUAUCUUCUAGAGUGUAAUAUGAAAGACGAGAUGCAAUAAAUAAAUAGAGUGUGUAUUUGAAUGAACGAUUGUUUAAGAAUGGACCUAUUUAUAGAGGAUUGAAUUUGAAUAAGGAGACAAAAGACGCGACUAUUCACUUCCAUUCUUUAAUUAUAUUUAAUUUUUAAAUUAAGAAAAUAAAUAUUGUGAUAUAAGUCAUGACUUUUCAGAUUAUUAUUAUUAUUAAUUAGUCUUUCGAAGAACCAUUUUUAUUGAGUUGUGGCAACAAAUUCUAUAUCUGUUGCAUCAGAUAACACAUCUGUGACAACAGAUAUAUUAUCUGUUGCAACAAAUAUAAAAUAUGUUGGAUCGGAUAGCAUAUCUGUUGCAACGUAUAAUCUAACUGUUCACCUCCAUUUAUUAAUUACAUUUUUUAUUAAUGUGAAAAGUAAUGAAUUAAUUAAAUUAAGAAAUAUUAUGAUAAGUCAUGACUUUUCAGAUUAUUAUUAUUAAUUAGUUCUUUCCAAGAACUGCUUUUAUUGAGUUGUGACUCGAUAUAGGUUGCAUCAGAUAAAUCAUCUGUGACAACAGAUAUAUCAUCUGUUGCAACCAUAGUGAACCUGUUGCAUCAGAUAAUUUAAUUGUUNNNNNNNNNNNNNNNNNNNNNNNNNNNNNNNNNNNNNNNNNNNNNNNNNNNNNNNNNNNNNNNNNNNNNNNNNNNNNNNNNNNNNNNNNNNNNNNNNNNNNNNNNNNNNNNNNNNNNNNNNNNNNNNNNNNNNNNNNNNNNNNNNNNNNNNNNNNNNNNNNNNNNNNNNNNNNNNNNNNNNNNNNNNNNNNNNNNNNNNNNNNNNNNNNNNNNNNNNNNNNNNNNNNNNNNNNNNNNNNNNNNNNNNNNNNNNNNNNNNNNNNNNNNNNNNNNNNNNNNNNNNNNNNNNNNNNNNNNNNNNNNNNNNNNNNNNNNNNNNNNNNNNNNNNNNNNNNNNNNNNNNNNNNNNNNNNNNNNNNNNNNNNNNNNNNNNNNNNNNNNNNNNNNNNNNNNNNNNNNNNNNNNNNNNNNNNNNNNNNNNNNNNNNNNNNNNNNNNNNNNNNNNNNNNNNNNNNNNNNNNNNNNNNNNNNNNNNNNNNNNNNNNNNNNNNNNNNNNNNNNNNNNNNNNNNNNNNNNNNNNNNNNNNNNNNNNNNNNNNNNNNNNNNNNNNNNNNNNNNNNNNNNNNNNNNNNNNNNNNNNNNNNNNNNNNNNNNNNNNNNNNNNNNNNNNNNNNNNNNNNNNNNNNNNNNNNNNNNNNNNNNNNNNNNNNNNNNNNNNNNNNNNNNNNNNNNNNNNNNNNNNNNNNNNNNNNNNNNNNNNNNNNNNNNNNNNNNNNNNNNNNNNNNNNNNNNNNNNNNNNNNNNNNNNNNNNNNNNNNNNNNNNNNNNNNNNNNNNNNNNNNNNNNNNNNNNNNNNNNNNNNNNNNNNNNNNNNNNNNNNNNNNNNNNNNNNNNNNNNNNNNNNNNNNNNNNNNNNNNNNNNNNNNNNNNNNNNNNNNNNNNNNNNNNNNNNNNNNNNNNNNNNNNNNNNNNNNNNNNNNNNNNNNNNNNNNNNNNNNNNNNNNNNNNNNNNNNNNNNNNNNNNNNNNNNNNNNNNNNNNNNNNNNNNNNNNNNNNNNNNNNNNNNNNNNNNNNNNNNNNNNNNNNNNNNNNNNNNNNNNNNNNNNNNNNNNNNNNNNNNNNNNNNNNNNNNNNNNNNNNNNNNNNNNNNNNNNNNNNNNNNNNNNNNNNNNNNNNNNNNNNNNNNNNNNNNNNNNNNNNNNNNNNNNNNNNNNNNNNNNNNNNNNNNNNNNNNNNNNNNNNNNNNNNNNNNNNNNNNNNNNNNNNNNNNNNNNNNNNNNNNNNNNNNNNNNNNNNNNNNNNNNNNNNNNNNNNNNNNNNNNNNNNNNNNNNNNNNNNNNNNNNNNNNNNNNNNNNNNNNNNNNNNNNNNNNNNNNNNNNNNNNNNNNNNNNNNNNNNNNNNNNNNNNNNNNNNNNNNNNNNNNNNNNNNNNNNNNNNNNNNNNNNNNNNNNNNNNNNNNNNNNNNNNNNNNNNNNNNNNNNNNNNNNNNNNNNNNNNNNNNNNNNNNNNNNNNNNNNNNNNNNNNNNNNNNNNNNNNNNNNNNNNNNNNNNNNNNNNNNNNNNNNNNNNNNNNNNNNNNNNNNNNNNNNNNNNNNNNNNNNNNNNNNNNNNNNNNNNNNNNNNNNNNNNNNNNNNNNNNNNNNNNNNNNNNNNNNNNNNAAGACUAUAUCAUCUGAGAGCUAAUUGAAGAAGAGACACAGGGUAGAAAGUAACUUCUAACAAAUCUGGCCGAUGGAAUUAUCUUAACAGAUGCAAAAUUUGAAUCAAGUCCAAAUAUGAAAGUGUAUCCGGUAAUGUAAUUUUGUCUGUUGUGUCUCUGAAAGAAAAACAAUGCAGAUGGACACUUUGCUAGGGAGCUGCAUGGUCGGGAUUAUCACCUAGGUAGAAAAUAGGAGAAGACCAACAAAGCAGCCUCAAGGGCAUCGAGGGUAGAAAUGAUGUUCAGCAAGUCUAGAAAACUUAUGCCAAUAACAACUACAGUGAAAAUAAAGAAACUAAGCGAAGGCGGUAAUUUUUGAAUUUUAAAUUUCAUCUCAUCUUCUUGUUUGUGUUUCUGAUCAGGUCCACUGCGGUUGACCUGAUCGGAACCAAAAACGAGAUUGAAAGGAAAAUAGAGUAUCAUUGCUUCUUUAGCAAUAUGAUUAUAAUUGAUUGUGUUUUGUUGCCUUGACAUGCUUUCAACAUUCCUUGGAGAAGAUUAGAUGCUUGCUAUAGUAUGUGAAUCUCGAUAAUUUUUAAGCUUGCCUCCAGCUUGUUGAUUCUGUAUUCAAGCUGGUCGUUACCAUCUUCGAAGUUGGUAAGGAGUUCCUCAUCUCUUGUGAGCUCGAUCAGGAACACUACCUUCAAAGUUGUGGCAUUCUAGAAGCCCUUCAGAACACUUUCUCUUCAGAAGCUUUAAAGGAUACAUAGAGGGUCGCUGUGUUUGUUUUAGGUCAAAAUGUGUUGAUAUACGUUGAAGAUGUGGGCCCAACAGUUGAACAACACACUUUUAUCGAGCGUUGCUCCAUGCAUCUUGCUCAACUAAUUUGAUAAAUUAGUAAGCAUGGAGUUACGUAGAAUGUGAUUUAAACCGGAUCGACCAAGCCUAUCAAACAUUACGUAACUCCAAGCUCAUUACCCUAUCAAAAUAAUAUGCCCGAGUUAGUGCACAUAGAAAAAAAGCCCAAUCUGUCAGCCUUUCUGCUGAUCACUCUUCUCCAAUAUAGAUGACAAGAUAUCUGCUAUGCAAAAGUCUACACCAUUGCCAGACAUAUUCCCAGGCAAUCAUGUUUGGCGAUGGUGUAGACUUUUGCAUAGCAGAUAUCUUGUCAUCUAUAUUGGAGAAGAGUGAUCAGCAGAAAGGCUGACAGAUUGGGCUUUUUUUCUAUGUGCACUAACUCGGGCAUAUUAUUUUGAUAGGGUAAUGAGCUUGGAGUUACGUAAUGUUUGAUAGGCUUGGUCGAUCCGGUUUAAAUCACAUUCUACGUAACUCCAUGCUUACUAAUUUAUCAAAUUAGUUGAGCAAGAUGCAUGGAGCAACGCUCGAUAAAAGUGUGUUGUUCAACUGUUGGGCCCACAUCUUCAACGUAUAUCAACACAUUUUGACCUAAAACAAACACAGCGACCCUCUAUGUAUCCUUUAAAGCUUCUGAAGAGAAAGUGUUCUGAAGGGCUUCUAGAAUGCCACAACUUUGAAGGUAGUGUUCCUGAUCGAGCUCAUAAGAGACGAGAAACUCUUUUCCAACUUCGAAGAGGGCAACGACCAGCUUGAAUACAGAAUCAACAACCUGGAGGCAAGCUUAAAAAUUAUCAGGAUUCACAUACUACAGCAAGCAUCUGAUCUUCUCCAAGGAAUGUUGAAAGCAUGUCAAGGCAACAAAACACAAUCAAUUAUAACCAUAUUGCUAAGGAAGCAAUGAUACUCUAUUUGCCUUUUAAUCUCGUUUGUGGUUCCGAUCAGGUCAACGACAGUGAAGCUGAUUGGAAACACAAACAAAAAGGCAUGGGAUGAAAUUUAAAAUUCAGAAAUUUGCCGCCUUCAUUUAGAUUCCCUAUUUUAACUGCAGUUGUUGUUGGUAUAAGUUUUCUAGACUUGUUGUACAUUAUUUCUACCCUCGAUGCCCGUGAGGCUUCUUUGUUGGUCUUUUUCUAUUUUCUAUCUAGGUGAUAAUCCCGAUCACGCAGCUUCCUAGCAAAGUGUCCAUCUGCAUUGUUUUUCUUUUAGAGACACAACAGAUGAAAUUACAUUACCGGAUCCACUUUCAUAUUUGCCCUUAAUUCAGAUCUUGCAUUUGUUAAGAUAAUUCCACUGGCCAGAUUCGUUAAAAGUUACUUUCAACCAUAUGUCUCUUCUUCAAUUAGCUCUCAGAUGAUAUAGUCUUCCAUCAACCAUCCAUUUUCCUUCAAAAGCAUUCUCCUACCGCACAUUCUAGCAUAAAAUCAUCACCCCGAGCGAGCAACCCAACCAUAUAAAUUUUGGCCAGGGCAAUAAACAUAUUGGUUUUUCGUUAUUAUUAGAUGCAGCGCUAAGCUUUGAAGGCCCUCUAAGGGUCCAAUGCACCCUAAAAGUUAGUCCAAUCGCUAUUGAAUCUCUUUAUAAUGACACAAAAAUUAGAUCUCUUCACAAUGCUUGACAAAUAAACAUGAGCAACAAUCGACAUAAAUCUUAACAGGCUAUCAGAACCAUAUUCAUGGUCCCUCAGCCUUAUCAGUUCGGACCUACCAAACUUAACUGUAAAAUUACAGACAUUUUGUUUGAAUGAUCUAUGACUAAUCAGUAAAAACAUCAUUCACAAAAUCAGUGCACUAUAUCUGUGUGUCUACGAUAACAUUAUCAGUAAUACAUACCUCCCACAUAUAAAGUGGUUCCAUCUACAGGCAGCUUAUUCCUUCGAUCCCAUCUUUACUGCAGCCUCUUGAGAUAGUCCGUCAAAUUUGAUCAACUGUUAGUUCCUUAUAUCUACAAAGAAAAGAAAAAAAUUGAUGUCACAAAAAAACAUUGUUCAUCUGUUGCAUCAGAUGUGAAGUCUGUUGCAAUAUAUUUGGAGUCUGUUGCAACAGAUGUGGAGUCUGAUGGCAUACAUCAAACCUUCCUUUCUGGUGGUUUUAUUUGUUCCAACAGUUUCUCCAUCUAUUGCAACAUCAACAACAGCAUAAAUAUCAACAAAAAAGAAAUAGCAUUUGUCCCAACAACAUCAUCAACAACAAAGAAGCAACAUCCUUUGUGCCAGAACCAUCAAUAACACCACAAGUUCCAACAGCGCCAACCCCACCAACAACAUCAAUAACUGCAUCAACAAUAAUGAAACAAACAAAAUAUAUACAAAAAAAGUGAUACUGCCAACAAGGCUUUUAAACUUCUCCCCACAGAUGACUUUUUUCUCAUAUUGUAAUAAAAACUCUCGGAUUGUUUAUUCAACAUUUACAAGUUUCUUAAAAAAAAUUAAUAAAUAUGAUAUGGGUAAAUAGUAAUUAAAUAAAAAAAACAGAUGUAAAUAACAUGCAAAGAAGAAGACAAGAAUGAAAGAGCAAUAAUGAACUAUACCUUAAUAUCAAAAAGGGGAUCAAAACAAAAAUUUAAGUCGAGGAAAGAUAUGGAUAGGUUUAGAUCCAAAAAUAUCUUUAUGAGAAGAGAAGAGAAAAGAGAGAAAUAAGGCUAUGACCCUAAAGAGGAGAGAGAAAAAAAUGAGAGUUGAAUAAAAUAAACUACAGCUGAAGAAAAAGAUGAGAUAAUUUCUAUAGAUGUAUUGUGUACGUAGACGUGGUGGUUUUCAAUAUUCAUUAAUUUCAUUAAUAAUUUGAGGGGCACGAGGAAGACUAAGACUAGUGACAUUAAAAAGACAAGACAAGACUGCUCAAUGAACUCACUUUUGAGAUAUCUAAGAAACAUUUUUUACCGUCUUUAGUAGUAAGUACUACAACUUGAUAUUAUCUACUCUAACCAGAAGCUUCUUGCUUUAAAAUUAAAAGAGAUAAAAUAUUUUCAAAUAGAUAUGUCAUCUGUUGCAACAUAUAUAAAUAUCUGUUUAGAAAUCUGAACAGCUCAGUCAUCUGUUACAACAGAUAUAAAUAUCUAUUUAAAAAUCCCAAAAGCUCAGUCAUCUGUGACAACAGAUGAAAAUGUUUAUCUGAUAAUUAAUAAAACCAGAUAUGUCAUCUAUUACAAAAAAUAUAAAUAUUUUUUUAAAAAUUUCCAAUAGUUCGGUCAUCUGUCACAACAGAUACAAAUAUCUAUUUGAUAAUUAAAUCAGAUAUGUUAUUUGUUGCAACAUAUAUGUACCUGUUUGAAAAUUUUCAACAGCUUAGUCGUUUGUUGCAACAGAUUUCAUAGCAAUUGAUUUAGGUGGAACUAGGGAUUAAUGAAUGAGCUUGUAGGGUCAACUAAAAAUCCAAUCGAGUCUUUGCAAUUGCAUGGCAUUGGUAUUGCAUUCAUACCGACCUGAGUCGUCGAUAGAUCACUCUGAGUUGAAAUGAGUUCUCAUCAACUCAAUGUUAGGAUAGUGAUAGUACCUAAGUUAAUUUAGGUGGAACUAGGGAUGAAUGAAUAAGCUCACAGGGUCAACUAUAAAUCUAAUCGAGUCUCUGCAAUUGCAUAGCAUUGGCAUUGUGUUCAUCCCAACCCGAGUCGUCAAUCGAUCACUCUGAGUUGAAAUGAGUUCUCUUCAACUCAAUAUUAGGAUAGUUAUAGUACCUAAGUUAAUUUAGGUGGAACUAGGGGUGAAUGAGUGAGCUCGUAAGGUCAACUACAAAUCCAAUCGAGUCUUUGCAAUUGUAUGGCGUUGGUAUUGCGUUCAUCCUGACCCGAAUCGUCGAUCGAUCACUCUGAGUUGAAAUAAGUUCUCAUCAACUCAAUAUUAGGAUAGUGAUAGUACCUAAGUUGAUUUAGGUGGAACUAGGUAUGAAUGAGUGAGCUCGCAGGGUCAACUACAAAUCUAAUUGAGUCUUUGCAAUUGCAUGGCGUUGGUAUUGCAUUCAUCCCUACCUGAGUCGUCGAUCAAUCACUCUGUGUUGAAAUGAGUUCUCAUCAACUCAAUGUUGUGAUAGUCCCUAAGCUGAUUUAGGUGAAACUAGGGAUGAAUGAAUGAGCUCGCAGGUUCAAUUAUAAAUCCAAUUGAGUUUUUAUAAUUGCAUGGCAUUGGUAUUGCGUUCAUCCUGACCUGAGUCAUCAAUUGAUCACUCUGAGUUGAAAUGAGUUCUCAUAAAAUCAAUGUUGAGAUAGUGAUCAUACCUAAAUUGAUUUAGGUAGAACUAGGGAUGAAUGAGUGUGCUCGCAGGGUCAUCUACAAAUCCAAUCGAGUCUUUGCAAUUGCAUGGCGUUGGUAUUGCGUUCAUCCUGACCCGAGUCAUCGAUCGAUCACUCUGAGUUGAAAUGAGUUCUCAUAAAAUCAAUGUUAGGAUAGUGAUAGUACCUAAGUUGAUUUCACAGGGUCAACUAUAAAUCCAAUUGAGUCUUUACAAUUGCAUGGCGUUGGUAUUGCGUUCAUCCUGACCCGAGUUAUCGAUCGAUCACUCUGAGUUGAAAUGAGUUAUCUUCAACUCAAUGUUAGGAUAGUGAUAGUACCUAAGUUUAUUUAGGUUUAACUAGGGAUGAAUGAAUGAGCUCGUAGGGUCAACUAUAAAUCCAAUUGAGUCUUUGCAAUUGCAUGGCGCUGGUAUUGCAUUUAUCCCGACCCGAGUUGUCGAUCAAUCACUCUGAGUAGAAAUGAGUUCUCAUCAAAUCAAUGUUUUAAAAGCUAUAUCUUUUAAAAUUUUUAAAAUUAACUAAGAUCAAUUCAAACCAAAUUAGCAAUUUCAAAACUUGUCAUUCUUUUCCAAAAUUACAAAUCAUCCAUUUGCGCGAAAAACUUUUCAUUUCAAAUCUUAAGUUCUCGUUCUUCUCUCUUUCUCUCUCGGGGUGUACUCUCCCUUUAACCUAUACAAAUAAUACAAAUAACAGCUACUCAACAUAUUGCUCAACCCUUCAAAAUAGGUCAAUUUUCUUCCCAUUUACGACUAAAUAUAGUUGUUUUUUUCGAAUUCAUUCCCGCUUGUAUCUGUUGUUUUCUCUAUCUUCGCAUGUAACAGAGUUUGAGAAGAGUUCUACAUUUGUUCUUUAUAGGUUGUGCAUCCUUAGAUAGUGCCUACCAUUGAUGAGCUAGGGAUGACUUUUUUUCUUACUCUGGAUCUUGUUAAUACAAAAAAAGCCCAAUGGUGGAGUUUAUAAAGAAGGAAUUGGAUGAAGCAACAUCCAUAAGAAGAGCAGUUAGUCAAGGUCAGUCUAAUGUUGAAGCUCUUCACCACCUAACUCAAACUGUAACAGAUCCGGGUGCUUCUUCUGGGGGUGUUGCUGGUGGAGUUGUUUGUGAUGGUGGCAGCCAUCCUUCUUCUGCUUCUUCUGCCAGUCGUGAUUAUGAGCAUAUUGGUGCUCAGCAAAAAAUAAAUAUGUUUGUAAACACCCCUUGCACAGGUCCUUCCUCUUACCCCUACACCGGUCUCUCCUACCCUUACAGUGAUCCUUCUCACCCCUUCUCACCCUCAUGUUCUCAUUGCAAAUGCAAAGUGUGCAAGGACAGAGAGGAUAAACUUCUUGACAAGCUAGAGGCUAUUGAUGAAGCUGUCGAAGAGUUAAAAUCUAGGAAGGGUGUCAUACCAUCCAAUGAGGUGAGGGAGCCAUGCACUCCUACAAUGGAGGUUAGGAGGAAGAGAAUAAAAAUUAGAUAAAUUCUCUCCGUUCUGAAAUCAGCAAAAAAUGCAACUCCCCCCGCUCUAAUAGUUGUUGAAAUUCAAGGGCCGCCGAAGAAGGUGGACAUAUUUGUGGUACUUGGAAAGAAGAAGAAGAAGGAACUGGAAGAAUUCAUCAAGAUGAAGGUUCAAAAAGAAUACACCAUGCAUUCAUUUACCGCCAAAGACUUCUCGAAUAUGACAAAUAUGUGUGUGUGGUACGAGGACAAGGUAAGUUUACUUUUGCUAACCUACCCUUCCAAUCUACUCCAUGAAGAAGAAUAUACUCAGUAGAUGUGUAAUCUGUUGCAACAGCUUGGUAUUUUGUUGCAACUUAAUACAUAUUUGUUGCAUAAGUUGCGUUGGCUGGGUAAUCUGUGAACUGAUUCAGAGAACCCUCUGCAUCGGAUUCUUUCCACUGUGUUUUUAUUCUUUACAAUUACUAACCUAUUUAAAAAUUAUCUUCUUAUACCACAGUAUGUUGAUAAAAUUCUCUGCCACAUGAGGGGCAGGCAAUUAGCGUAACCAGAUGCUUAUGAUGCUGCUGAUAGGAUAAUGGACCUCAACUUCUACAAUAAUUUCAAAGAUAGGUACGCUGAUCUUUGUAAUCUACCUGAUUUCGGUGGCCUAAGAUUUGAUUAGUUAGUUUCUAUGUUCCAAUAGGAUGAAGAAGUGAUUAAAUAUGUUAGAGGGAAGAGACCAUAUCCACACGGCAAGAGCUGGACCAAGGCAAAGAAAAUCCUUGAAGUCAUGAACGUGGAUGUCACCCAUUUUCUCAUUGUUGAGAUACUACUAUACGAGGGAAAGAUUAAGGUUUAUGACUGCAACUUACCUGUGUUCAGCGAGAAGACAUUUUUAACCCACAUGCAGCCACUCUUGAAGUUGUUUCCCAAGUUGUUGACACAUAGUAAGCUGAUAGAUCAUUUGCCGGCUGAAGUCUUGGCAAAGGAAUCAUGGGUUUUUGAAGGUCGAAAUAAGAACAUUCAGCUCCCAAAAAAUACAACCGGUGCAGCGUGUGGGCCGUACUCGCUUGCAUACAUGGAGUGUUUGCUGACCGGCACACAAAUGACCGGUGUAUGCGACACCGUUGAGGGAAAGAUGCAAUGGGUCUGGGCAUAUGGGGUACUAACUAAAUGGUUGGAGCCCAUGUAUAAAAAAGAACAUGUACAAAGACAUGUUUUGCGGAGAAAUUUUGACUUUUGAAAGAGAGUCGCCACUUAAUUAUGAAAAGGAAUUAAGAAACCUUUAUAAAUACUUUAAACGAUUCAAAACAGAAAAAUCAUUUUAAGUUAAGAGAUUCCGAGUAAGUGGUUCCUAUUAACAUUUUAGGAAAGUGUUAGGCACCUAAAACGUCCGCUAACUUACUGUUAUCCGGACUGUUUGAAAAUCGUCUUUUGAUUAACUUCGAAAGAGACUAAUUUUUUGUCGAAAAGUGAUUGAUGUUUGGAAAGAAAGUGAUUUUACAAAUAUUUUGAUGUUUAUACAAAACUAAAAUAUUAUUUUUUAGCGACUUAGUUAGGGACUCAACUAGGUUCGCAAGAAACACGUAAAACAAACAAGUAUAAAGAAGAGGGGAAACGGAGGAUGUAAGGGAUUUAGGCCUUGAAGCCCAAACCGUCAACCCUGUCCUAAUCUAAUUAGGUUUUCAACCCAUUUCUCCUUCCACCUGUCCUAAUCUAAUUUUUGAGCGUUUGGCUCGAGUCUUGCUUCACCUGUAUUAAGUACAACUUUGGCUUCGUGGCCCGAAUGAAUGAAUAAAUAAGUAAAUAAAUAAAUAAAUAAAAGACAACAAUGAGUGAAUAAAUUAAUAAAGGAGACUUUUGAGUCUCUUCGCCGCUUCAAUCAUGGGGGAUUUAAACCAUUUUCCCUUUUCAAUUUCUGAUAUUCCGUGUGCCAUGAAAUUGAUUUGAACUUUCUUUUGGGCUUGACUCAGGAGAUGGGCCUCAUUGGCCGUGAUGAACAGGAAAAAAGGGGAAAGCAGUCCAUGUGGGACUCGAACGAUUUCACAUGCAAAAGAAAAGUGAAGGAAUUAAUACGUGUCUUAACAUUAAUAUGCAAGAAUGCUAAAGUAUUCAUGUAUCUUACUUGAUAGUAGGCAAAAUGUCAUGUCAAUUUAGCAAAGAGUAGACUCCCAUUUAAUGGUACAGUUCAUCCAAAUUCACAGAGUAUAUGAAUACAAAGAUGAUUCAGGAUCACAUAGAGAAAAGGCUCAAGAACAACCGCAAUUUCAAAAUGAGUUAAAAGGAAUCCAUAAAACAAAAGUUCAACCAUAGGAGAAUGUAUCCACAUGUUACCCAAAACAGAAGAUUGAUCUGUCUAAAUGGUCUCCUAUUUAUUCACAAUGUACAUUUGUAAUAUUCUAAGUUUUAAGAGGAUUUUCCAUAAACUGGGCAGGAGGGAUUUAGACGGAGAAGGGACGAUGAUCGUAAAAAAAGAUAGAAUUAUUUAAAGAAAAAAUAAAGGUCUCAACUUUACCAAAAGUUUGACAUUUUGAAACUUUGUUCUUGUCUGAUGAAAAUCGAAUAACAAUUAUGCCCCACAUAUUACUGACUUUACAUAUUUAAAACGAUGCACGUGAAAUUACAAACAUACAUGAGCUCAAACGAGAUCAAAUUCAAUCCCUCAUAAUGGAAACUUCGAUGGUAAUAGAGUCAAAAUACUUCACCCAUCAACAUUUAAACCAUAAUAAUCGAAGAUGCAUAUAGAUUUUGUCACCAGUUUCAAUUUUCAGGGGAAAAAGGAUGAAACACAAAUAAAGCGACCAAAUUUAAACAUAGGCAUGAUUCAAACAUUCUUUGCUAAGCGUAAGGACAACAUAAAGCCUUUUAACACAUACAGAUUCAGUUAUUCGCAUAUUAAAAUCUUUGAUAUAUACAAAAAUCAAACUAAUUGAAUUAUCCGAGAGGGGCUUCAUAACACGGAAAUUGCAGCAAUACCAGCGACACUUAUUCCUUCAUAAAAUGAUGAGCAUUUGCUAUAUACUAUUUGUCCCAUGAAAGGAGACAAGAAAAAUACUACAUUCUACAGCAAGGACGACUUUGAUUCAAAUCCUCCUCCUCCUUACGAUAGAUUCAAACGAAGCGAUCAUUGAGGAAUCCCAGGACUUUCUAAAACGCUUUUGGACCUUGCUCAUUAUCCUUUUGGCACAUAAGAAGACAAAGGAACCUGAGAGGUAGCUCUGCUAGCAACGUUGCUAGCUCAACAAUGGCGACACAAUCCAGCAGUAGCAACAAACAAAGUACCAUCAAGUGGCUAUUAAUAAAAACAACAUCAGGCUAAAACUAUUAAACAAUAUCAAAGCAUCAAACUUUAACCAGGAAACCAACUAUUCAAACCACAAGUAGCAUAUAAAGUGAGUCACUAGACCGCAAGUUUAUGAAGGCUGUUACGAGCAGAUAACAGCAGGUCUCGGAAAAGAUGACGAAAACUAUAUGUCCUACAAUCAGCACAAUAAUUAACUCUGGCGUAACACUACAAACAGCGUUGUCUUCCACUGAAAAAUAAUCAACCUAUGGUCUUUAAGACCUCUAAUUAGCAGACAACCCAGCAAACAAUAUUGCGUACAACUAAAUAGUUAACUAAAUCUACUGUGAAAAGAGAUGAAGCAGAAAAUGACUAAAUUAAAAGGAGGAAAAUGGGUUUACCUCUUUCGGGGCAGCAAAAUAGGGACUCGAGCUAUCAGCAAACUUAUCGCUACUAGAAUAUCACGACGUUGACCACCAACAGAGCGUCCUUUUUCUUUUACCUCUUAGAGAUUUUGAAACCCCUUAGAUUUUCAAACUAAAUAUCUUCAACUUGAAUUUAGAACUCUCAAAUUUUCUUUUAGUUUCACCAAAAAUUACUUCGAACCUUCGAACUCAAGAAAUUUCGAAACCUCAAGUUUUCAGCCUAAACUUUCAAACCCUUUAAAGAAAAGAAAGAAAAAUUUCUGAACCUUCCAAAAUUUUCGAACACCACCUGAUUUUCCCUACCCAAAAAGAGAAGAAGCCCCCCCUGAACAGUGACCCCAUGGGGUCUUUAUAUAAAGAUAGAAUUGGGUAUUUUAGAGAUUUUCGAAAUAGGACAUUUUGAAUUCAAAACCAAAAAGAUCCUCCGGCUCACCAAUCGUAUUUUGAAAUUGAGAAAAUUUAGGGGAAUGGAUUUUCUUCAACCAAUGGAAAAGGGGCACAUGCGUACCUUUAUGGUACAAUCCUAACAACCGGGAACUGAUUCUUGACAGCUAGGUUUUUUUGGAACGUUGAGGGCUGCCACCUAGCCUCUUUCUAGAAGAUUCUUGGGCAGGAUUUUUGCUGAAACUAUUGUUGUUGUCGUAACCUUGGACUAUUUCAUGAUAAACUCGGGUCAGUUCGGGCAUGGGUAGUCGAAUUUUGGGUUGGGGUUAUCGGAUUUGGGUCGAAGACGGGUUGGGGGUAUUGAGAUUGUUGGUGCUGUUGUGAAUUAUUAUUGUCCACUGUUUGGGUGCUGCUAUUGAAUAAGAAGGAGACAAGUGGGCUGGGUCAGUGUGAAUUGUUGGGCUGGCUGUUGUUUUGUUGCUGAAGAGAAUUGGGCCCGGGGCGGUUAGGUUUUAGAAAUGGGUUUAAAAUUGGGAUUGGGGUUAAUUAGGUUAUGGGAAUUGGGGAUUUGACCAAUUCAUUUAAGUUUUGGCCAAAUUGAAAAUCAAUUUGGGCAAUUGCAUUGCAAUUGGGGCCAAUUUGAUUUCAAUUAUAGUGAAAUAUAAUAGAUGGACUAAAUCAAAUGAAAAUUCGAUACGAAUUAACACAUUGUUUAAUCCUAAGCUUCUUGAUUCGAUAAAAUUAAACAAGUAUUUCUCCAAAUAGAUUAUUUGUAAGAAUAAAUUAUAUUUAAAUCAAGAUUUAAUUAUUUAUAUUUAUUUUUCAAAUAAUCCUUGAUUUAAAGUCCAAUUUUGAUGAAAAUGUUCAUUUAAAUGACAUCAUAGAUACAAUCCCGUAUAUUCAAAUACGAAAAUAUAUAAUUAUCACUUAAAUGACAAAUUUAACCCAAACGCAUAUUUUAAAAUGCGUUUAUUUGGAAAAAAUAAUUGUUGUGAUUUUAUUUGAAAAUCGAAGAAAUCCGAGAUUAAACGUAGUUGUGGAGAGCAAAAAUUAGGUGUCAACAAGACAGAGACGAAAACGAUAACAAAUUUUCAUUUCAAACUAAUUCACUAUGCAUAUAGGGGAAAUAAUUUUUAUGUCUGGCAAAGUUGAAUUUAUUUAAUGCAACAGAUUUUGUAUCUGUCGUAACAGAUAUAGUACCUGUUGUGACGGAUUGAUUAUCUAUUGGAAUGGGUUGGUCAUCUGUUGCGUUAUGCAGAUGUUCCCCGCUUGUCUGUCGCAACAGAUUUACGAUCUGUUGCAACAUAUGACUUAUCUGUUGCAACUGAUCGGUAAUCUAUUGGAGUAAAUCAAAAAAGUAGGAAGACCUGUUAUAUAAUUUCCAGCAGAUGACCUAUGUGUUGCAUCUCAUAUUGCAACAUAUGUCUAAAUCUGUCUGAUAAGAUAUGUCGUCUGUUGUGUCGUCUGGUGCAGCAGAUGUAUUAUCUAUUGCGAUAUUUGAAUCUAGUACUCCAUUUCAAUUAACAUGUUUAAAAAUCAGAAUUAAUUAUAUUCAUAGACAGAAUAAAAUAAAUCGAAGCCUUCAGAAAUUACAUGAAAUAAAAUAACUCAACAAAUAAAUGAAAUGUAAAAAAAAUUAUUAUGAGUACAAAUGAUCUACUCUACAAAUAAAUCAACAAGUUAAACCAAGGAGGAUAGGUUAUUACAUUGACGGACUCGAGCUAUAAAGAUCUAAUAAAUAUGAACAAGUUGUUCUUCAUCCAGUGCUAUGGAAUUCGGCUUUGGUCGUCGUGGAUCUUUAACGUCGGUUGCAUACGGCUUCUGAUCUUUCGCUUCUUCAUAUUUCCAUAAAAGAGUAGCAUAUCUUUUACGGAGUAAUCCGGCAUCAAGUCCAUCAUUUGGUACUUGUAAUCCAUCGCUCAAAUACUCAGCAUAGGCGGCAACAAAAAGACCGAAUCCCUACGUUAUAAAAAAAUAGAUAAUCCAUAUCUUGCAGUUCAUGCAAGCGUUGUGAAAUUUGUGAAAUAAAACUAAAUCAUGACACUUAAACUUACAGGCUACCAAUGGUUUGUUGAGCAAUUCCGUCAAUAUAUUGUACAUCAAAUAAAUCAGCCAUUUUAUCCCGGUAUGCUUCAAUCGUCGACCAAUCAUUAUAAACCUUUUGAUCAAAAAAGCCACUCAUAUCAAGGUAAGUAGGCAAUAUUUUGGCCAGUUUUUGUAUCUCAGACGACAGCCCGAAACGUCUCCUUCGCGACAUCGAGUCAUAAACUCGGAUGUGCCUCUCUUUUAGAACGACAACAGCCAAUACCCAAUGAAAUUCAUCACCACAAUUGAUUGGGAUGUACACUUCAUCGACCAAAUGCCAAGGUAAGCUAGCUGGAAUGCUAAAACCUUUGAUGAUGUUGAUUAAGCAUUCCUCGUUUCGGAAAACUUUCGGCUGCUGUUGACAAUACCUAUCAUAGGCAUUAUUGAUGUAAACUUUGUACAAAUAAUUGCCUGUUGUGUAUCUGUAUUGUUCUUGUGUUUGCAACUUGACCUUCUUUCGGAGGUAGUAAAAACUGACAUCGAUGUGUUGUACAUAUUAUCAAACAUUUUGAAUUACGUGACUAAUCAAUACAAAGAUGCAAUUAAAUAAAGUAUUAAUUAAUAGUAAUAUGUAUGACCCUUAAACCUCAUCAUUCCGGCAAGUUUGGGGCUGUGACAUCAAAUAGAACCAAUUCUUCAUUUCGGGAUGUGCAACAACAAAGUCGAACAUAUCAAAACCAAGACUCGAUUCGUUCACUUUGUAGCGCUCUUCAUUUUGUUUUCUACAUGAUGAUUUAUAUAUGUUAAUGUCAGGUUCUUACAACAAGAAUUGUAUAAAUCAAUAUCCAUAAAAUUGAUUUAUGUAUCUACCGACAUGAUGCUUUAACAGCCCAUUGACAAUCCAUUCUGAAUAGUCGUUGAUCAACUGUAUUAGUUUUUUUGGAGCCUCGUCCGAAAUGUUGAAUCCUUCAAAUGGGUAAUUUUUCUAUUCUUCCAAAUUGAUAGGCUCCACUUUUUGUUCAUCUUUGGAAACAGUUGAUGGAUUAUCAAUUGUCAUAUUAUUCUCUUCGGCAGUAGCUGUGACAUCCACCUGGAAAGCCAGAAUUAUCAAUGCUAAGUAGAGAUAUACAACAGAUUUUCCAUCUGUUGCAACAGAUGAUUCUUAUGUUGCAUCAUAUGGAUUAUCUGUUGGGAUAAAUUCGAACAGGUAAAUCAGAGCAGUACGAUAAUUUCAAACAGAUGACCCAUUUAUUGCAACAUAAGACUCAUCUGUUGAAACAGAUAACGAAUCUGAUGCAAAAGGUUAGACAACAGUUGCAAAAAAUGUAUACAUCUGUUUGAUAAUUUUCAGCAGAUGUGUCAUCUCUUGAAAAAGAUAUGUGCUUGUUUGUUUUUUGGAACAGAUGAUGUACAUUCACCUUCUUCAGCUCAUGCUGCUUUUCUGUGGCUCUUGAACGCUGAACAUCGGUGCAAGACAAAGACAGAGGCAUUGCAAUCUUGCUUUUUAUAAUUGAUGAUGCCUUGGAAGUGUCUUUCCUUCUCCUCUUAGCCGCCUUGAUCUCUAGUGGAGUGUCUGGAUAUGAAAUCCUCUUUGAUGGAAUGACACCCCUCUUAGAUGUCAUUUCCUUUACAGAAGUAGUUAGUGCAUUAAUAGCAUUAAUCACUCCAUUGUGUUUCGCCUUGCAGUUUUGACACUUGCAUGAAGAAAUCUAGAGAAAAAUUUGUACAACCAUUAUGAUCAUAAUCAUAAUGGCUUGUUGUUUCAAAAACUGUAAGAGGAUUAUCAUUAGCCCCACCAUCCAAAAUUAUUUUUCUUGUGAUGGAUAUUGCUCCAAACAAUUCCAUUUUUAUUCUAUCAAUGACCUUAGAGUCUGAUAAAAUUUGCACAGUCUGUAAAUUAAGAAAAAAUGGCAUCUUCAACUCUCNNNNNNNNNNNNNNNNNNNNNNNNNNNNNNNNNNNNNNNNNNNNNNNNNNNNNNNNNNNNNNNNNNNNNNNNNNNNNNNNNNNNNNNNNNNNNNNNNNNNNNNNNNNNNNNNNNNNNNNNNNNNNNNNNNNNNNNNNNNNNNNNNNNNNNNNNNNNNNNNNNNNNNNNNNNNNNNNNNNNNNNNNNNNNNNNNNNNNNNNNNNNNNNNNNNNNNNNNNNNNNNNNNNNNNNNNNNNNNNNNNNNNNNNNNNNNNNNNNNNNNNNNNNNNNNNNNNNNNNNNNNNNNNNNNNNNNNNNNNNNNNNNNNNNNNNNNNNNNNNNNNNNNNNNNNNNNNNNNNNCCCCAAGGAUAGCUGUUAAAUGCCUCAAGAUCCUCGGAGAGUAACGUCUCUCGCCCAAAGAACAUUAUGUACAAACCAAACCAAGCACAAUGAUUGCUUGUGCUUCUUUGAAAGCCCUUUACCUUUCAAUUCUUCAAUAAGAUUUUUGUUUUUGAAGCUUGGACCAACAAUGGACACCAGGUCAUCACGAUCACUCGACUUGCCUUUUCCUUUUUUGGGUGUGCGGGGUGUUUUUUUUUUUGUCAGAGUAGGUAUAACUUGAGAAGGAGAUGAAGGAUAACAUUUUAGUCCGGUAACUAUGGCAAACUCCUCCCAACCAAAACAAACAGGCAUGCCACAGUAAUUUAUCCAUACCUCAUCCAUCUUAUCUUUGUUUUCAUACAUAAACCUGCGCUUGAGAAGAUCAUAUACCAUUUUCAUCUGAAAAUGAGCAUUGUUGUCCUCCGACAAAUCAAGAUAUUUUUCAAAGCAGGUUUCCCUGAAAUAAGAAUCUAAUUUCUGUUCUUGAAUUAUUUUUCUGAAGGCGUCGAAAGAUUUUCCCAUGACUGACUUAACCACGAGAUCACCCGUUAAAUUUGUGGCACCAUCGCACUGCAUUCUCAUAGGGUAACGAUCAAUGCUGAAGGUUUUGAUCAACUCUUCGACGGAAGGGCUAUGAGCAUUUGGAUCAUCUUUUUUUAAAGAUUCCUCCUCCCCGUGUUCAUUAUCUUCUGCUCCUAUUUGAGAUAACGCUUGUAAAACAAGCUCAUAGAGUGGUGGAUGUAGCUGAGCUACUGCACUUGUUCCUUUACUUGGACUUAAUUCAAUUUCUUUUAUUUUGGGAGUCAUGCUAUCUUAAAUUAACAAGAACAUAACAUAGAUUAUAAUUGAUUAAUGCAUAACAGUAAUAUAACAGUUCCAACAGACAACUAAUCUGUUGCACCAGGUAUGUUAUUUGUUGCAACAUAUAACCGACCUGUUGCAACGGAUGAGUAAUACGUGGGAAUCACAAAAACAACACUAUUUGUUGCACCUAGUAUUUUAUCUGAUGCAACACAUAACUGACCCGUUGCAACGGAUGAGUAAUUCGUUGGAAACAAUAAAAAUAGAUCACUAAUCUGUUGCACCAGGUAUUUUAUCUGUUGCAACAUAUAACCGACCUAUUGCAACGGAUGAGUAAACCGUUGGAAAGAAUAAAAAUGGAUCACUAAUCUAUUGCACCAGGUAUGUUAUCCGUUGCAACAGAUAACCGACCUGUAUGAUUAAAUCGUAGGAAAGAAUAAAAAUAGUCUGAAUCUGUUGUAAUGAAGAGUAAACCGUUGAAAAGAAUAAAAAUAGAUCACUAAUCAGUUAUCUGUUGGAUCAAUAUUAUUUAGAUUUCUUCCAAACAGAAAAGUCGUCUGUCGCAACAGAUGAAUGAUCUAUUAGAUUGUUCACCUGUUGCGUUAGAUUUUCAUAGUUGCAUCAUAUUUUUAAUCUGUUGCAUCAGAUUUUAAAAUGAAGAGUAAACCAUUGGAAAGAAUAAAAAUAGAUCACUAAUCAGUUAUCUGUUGGAUCAAUAUUAUUUAGAUUUCUUCCAAACAGAAAAGUCGUCUGUCGCAACAGAUGAAUGAUCUAUUAGAUUGUUCACCUGUUGCGUUAGAUUUUCAUAGUUGCAUCAUAUUUUUAAUCUGUUGCAUUAAAUUUUCAUCUGUUGCAUCAUAUGUUUCAUCUAUUACAUCAGAUGUUUCAACUGUUGCAAUACCAUUUCUACCAAGACAAACAACAAAUCAACCCAGCAAUACCAACAUAUCACACACACACACAUACACACUAAGAACAUCAAUUAUGACCAAAAAUCACCAAUAAAUUUGAAUCAACAGUACGACAACGAGAAGAAGAAAUACAGAAAUGCCAAAAAUUAGGGUUUUAUUUAGUAUACAUUUCAAUAUCAGAAUAGUAGUUGGCUCAAGUUCCUCUGUUUCUUCAUAACUUUUUACCUGUGAAAAAGAAAAUGGGAGGACGAAGAACUCGAAGUUGUUGUCGCCAGAGAAGUAUUCACGUCGAUUCACAGUUGAAAGUCAAAAAGGAACUCGCCCGACUAUUUGUCGCCGGAGGUUGAAGAGAGAAAUUUUGCAGAACUGUUGGUUGGGAGAAGCUGGAGAGAGAGAGUGGUUAUUAGAAUUGAAGAGGGGUGUAGGUUGGAUUGAUUUGUAUUUUUGAAAAGAUUAGAAAGUUUUAAAAAUAUUAACCAAAUCCACAAUUAACUUAAUCAAGUUUCCUAAUGAUGUUUGAUCCUAUCUGUUGGUCAAUAUCACAAAUCCUUCAUUCAAGGCUUGAAAGACCCCCUUCCUUCAAUUUUCUCGAGUUUCUGCUACCACACGCGCCCAUUUCAUAUACCAUGCUUGUGUCCCUCACUUGGGUCCGCACAUUUCAUAUACCAUGCUUGUGUCCCUCACUUGGGUCCGCACAAGUACCCUUCCUCUCUUGCCUCAAUUAUUCAAUUUAGAAAGUCAAGAAACCACUCUAUUAUGAAGUCUUUGUCUUCUUGUUGGAUGAAAAGUCAAUAGUAGAUUGUAAUUAAUAGUAGCAACCAUAGCUGUACCAAUUACAAGUAAGAACACUAACAAAAGAGAGAGGGACAGAAAUCACAGAUCAUUCUUGUUUGCAAAUUACUCUUAGCAUUCAAAAGGUAAAAUAUAGUUGUUAAAUAUCUGAAGAUAGAAACAUUUAUCUUCUCAAAAUUAACCAUUUUUGUGAUUCCUUUGUUUUGCAUCUAAUGUAUAUUCAAUUUUCAAUUUUUGUCUUUCUUUUAUCUAGGAACAACUACUUGAGAUUUUAAUAUUGAGACUAAAAAGUAUGUUUUUUUUGCCCUUACAGUUUUAGGGACUCAAUUUUGAAAUUUACACAUCACACAAAACAAGCAGGUAACUUGUUCUUGCUUGUGCACCAUUUCAUUUCAUCAAGUUAUAAAUGCUAUAUUAAUUACAAUUAACAAAAUAUUUCAGUAUGAUUGAUUCUUUUGCAUCGCCCCUCUCCCCCUUACUUUUUUUGAUUUUCAACGUGAGUUGAAAUGAUUUUCAUUUUGUGCUCGUGUGAUGAGUGGAGAAACCCAUGGAUGCAUGAUGUCUGUGAAGCAAAAAGACUGAUUUCUUCUCGCCUAAUUCAACAUUAUAAUUAGAACACAAAGUGUAGGUCUGAGGUCUAUCUAUAUUGGAUUUGGUCAAUUAAUUUUAAAUAUUUUAUUCAAUAUCAACAGAGAAAUUUGACAUAAAUACAAUAUUUAUGCAAUCUACAUAAGUCAUUAUUAAAUAAUUCUUCAAUAUUCUUGUGCAAGUGAAGGAAGAAUUAUGUGGUGGGUGUGAUUGAUACUCCAGCCUUAUAACAAGCAGAUCUGAAGAUGGAUUUUUCCUAAAUUUUAUUCUAACUCAUAUUGGUACUAUAUUAAGUUAUAAGUGUUUAUUACAUAUUCUUAUGAGAAAUAUUAUUUUGUCAAAAGUGUGCAAGUGUUGGAUUACAUUGGGUAUUGUAUAUUUUACUAUAAUUCAUUAAUUUAGAUAUCAAAACAUAUACUAUCAUUAUUUUUAUUAAUAAAUAUUUGAUACACGUGCAAUACACAUAUGCUAAACUAGUUGUAUUAAAUGAGUAGAGUGUAUAAAAAUAAAAAUAAUACCAAAUAAGUAGUAUUAGAAUAGAAAUAGUACCCCGUAUUGUUAAUGUUAUGAUUUACCAUGUAUAAAAAUAAAAUGGUAUAUGGUGUAUAUUUAAUAUAAUUAGGGGUCAUUUGGUAGAGUGUGUUAACGAAAAUAAUGCAUGCAUUAUUUUUGUGUACUAUUAAUAUCUUGUUUGCUUCAGUCUUUUGGUCUAUGCAUAAUUAAUGCUUGCAUUCGGUAUACACUCAAUUAUGUAUUUUAAGUUGUGUAUUAAUAAUACCAUCAUUUUCUAUGUAUUAAUAAUUCAAAGCAUUUUAACACAUGCAUUAACUUAUUAAAUGACAAAUUUACCCCUCAAAAUAUCUUCCGAUUCCUUUUCCCACCAUAGUUACAUUUCCCAUUCCUUUUUCCUACCAUUUUUAUUGUAAAAAGCUUCCUAUUUCUCUUCUCCUUGUACUACUUUCCAUGGAAAAUAGAGGUUGUUUUAGAAUGCUAUCAAAAUAUUAUCUUUAUUCCCAAGCUUCAUAAAGCCACUUUUCUCCGUAUUUAUUCCUAUCAAAAUACCGUCGAUUUAAUUCCCAAGCUUUUGGGGUUUAGAGAAAAGUGAAAAUUGGUAUUUUCGUUUCUACAAACAGUAGCUAGCUAUUGCUACUCGCUCCUAACUUGAAAAGAUUGGGGUCUCAUGUCUACAACAAUAGUAGUUGCUACUUGCUUAUCUUGAAAAGAGAAUGUACAAAGAAGGAUAAUUUGGUAAAAAGAAUAUCUUUUUAUAAAAUUUAUGUAAAUUUAUAUUAUUUUUAAUAAAUCAAAUAAAAUACUGCGUAAGAAAUAAUGUCUGCAUAAUCAAUACCAACAUUAUUAAUACUUGCAUUAGUAAUACAUGCAUUACUAAUACACUAAUACACUUUACCAAACGACGCUUUAUUAGAUAUACAUAAAUUGAAAAUAGUACCAAACUUUAUCAACUACUUUUGGUACAACUUUUUCCAUAACCCAAUAGUCAAUAUUGAGAAUAGAGCACAUGGUUGCAGAACUGGAUGUACUAUAUUUACUUAACAUGUACUUAACAAUCCUACUGAGUUAAAACUUAGGUAGUUCCUUUUUUUCUUGUUUACAUGACACUGCUAAUUUCUACUAACACAUUGUUAAGGCCACCGUUAAUUUAAGGGAAAAAACUCAAAUAUACCACUGAACUAUUAGAAAUAGCUCAUUUAUGUCAUCAGUUAAAAGUUCAACUUAUUCAUGCCAUUAUCGUUACAAAACCAGCUCAUCCAUGUCAUUACUUUUUAACGGUGGUUUUCAAAAAUUGCUUUGCCAUGCGGCCUUUUAUUAAAGAUCCAUGUCAUUGAUUAAAAUAAGGAAAAAGGCUCAAAUAUACCUUUGAACUAUCAGAAAUGAUUCAUUUAUGCCAUCAGUUAAAAGUUCUGCUUAUUCAUUCCAUCACCGUUACAAAACCAUCUCACCCAUGCCAUUACUUUUUAAUGACGGGAUUUUAAAAAUAGCUUUGUCAUAUGGUCUUUUAUUAAAAGUCUCUAUCAUAAUUAAAACUAAUCAAUAUUAAUUUCAAAAUAUCUUAAAUUAAUUAGUAUCGAGAUUAUUUAUUCCACCAUUUAUCAUAAUGAUGGGAUAAAUCCCAUAUAUAUGACAGGAUAAUUAUGAUAGCAGACUUCUUUUAAGCCUUUAUUUGAAAAUAAUUUUUCAACAAUGUAUGCUCCCCUAAUUCAUGAAUAGAGAAGUUCUAUUGGUAUGUCUCCUUUUUCUUGCUUGCACUAAUUGUUCAUUGACUUCUUUUCUUGCAACUUUGGAGUAUAUAUUGGAGUCACUGGAAUUACAACUAAUUAGUUAUUGUAGGACAAAAUUUUUGAGGUUUCUUAAAUUUAUAAUGAUUUAGAAUCAACUAGAAACAACCAAAGGAUAUACAUUAAUCACUAUCUUUCUGAUCAGAAAAAUACGUGUUGUAGGAAAAAAAACACUUUAAUGAGUGUGGGUCGGUUAAUGUUAAAUGAAUCGGUUCUUCUUAAUUGGUCUAAGAUAUUUUGAAAUUAAUAUUAAUUUAUUUUAAUUAAUGACGUGGACCUCUAAUAAAAGGUCAUAUGGCAAAGCUGUUUUUGAAAAUUUACCAUUAAAAAAUAAUGACAUGGGUGAACUGAUUUUGUAAUGACGAUGACAUGAAUGAAUCGAACUUUUAACUAAUGGGAUAAAUGAGCCAUUUUUUAUGGUUCAAAGGCAUAUUUGAGCCUUUUUUUCUUAUUUUAAUUAAUGAUGUGGACCUCUAAUAAAAGAUCAUAUGGCAAAGCUAUAUUUUGAAAAUUCACCAUUAAAAAAUAAUAACAUGGGUGAGCUAAUUUUUUAACGACGAUGGCAUGAAUGAACCGAACUUUUAACUAAUGGCAUAAAUGAGCCAUUUAUGCAGCCAUCUGUAUUGACUAUUGGGUUAUUGAAAAGUAGUGGAAAGGACUACAGUCUACACAGCUCACAGAAGACCAAGACAGCACAAGUUGUGCCAAAAGUAAUUGAUACACUUCAUUUGUCACCAAUCAACCUGUAAGAGAAAUAAUGCAUGUAUUUGUUGUAUUAUACACCUUAUUAUGUACUUACUUUUAUAUGUUGCUUUUAUUCUAAUACACCUUAUUUUUUAAAGGGAAAAGGUUCAAAUAUUCCACUGAUCUAUCAGAAAUAGCUCAUUUAUGCCAUCAGUUAAAAGUUGAGCUCAUUCAUGCCAUCGCCGUUACAAAACUAGCUCAUCCAUGUCAUUACUUUUUAAUGGUGGUUUUCAAAAAUAACUUUACCACAUGGCGUUUUAUUAGAGGUCCACAUCAUUAAUUAAAAUAAGCAAAAAGGCUCAAAUAUACCAUUGAACUAUCAGAAAUGACUCAUUUAUGCCAUCAGUUAAAAGUUCGGCUCAUUUAUGUCAUCACCGUUAUAAAAUCAACUCACUCAUGUCAUUACUUUUUAAUGAUGGGUUUUUAAAAAUAGCUUUGCCACCUGGUCUUUUAUUAGAAGUCUACGCCAUUAAUUAAAAGAAAUCAGUAUUAAUUUUAAAAUAUUUGAAAUUAGUUAGUAUCGAAAUUAUUUAUUCCAGCAUUCAUAUCAUAAUGAUGGGAGAAGUUAUCCCAUAUACAUGGUGGGAUAAUUGGAAUAGCAGACUUCUUUUAAACCAUUAUUUGAAAAUGAUUUUUCAACAAUGUAUACUCCACUAAUUCGUGAUGGGAGAAGUUAUUCUAUAUGCAUGGCGGGAUAAUUAGGAUAACAGACUUCUUUUAAGAUGUUAUUUGAAAAUGAUUUUUUCAAUAAUGUAUACUCCCCUAAUUCGUGAUGGGAGAAUGGAGAAGUUCUAUUGGUACGCCUCCUUCUUUUUCUUGCUUGCCCUAAUCGUUCAUUGAUUUAUUUUCUUGCAACUUCAGAAUAUAUAUUGGAGUCAUUGGGAUUAAAACUAAUCAGUUACUGCAGGAUAGAAUUUUUGAGGUUUCUGUUAAGCGUAGCAUUUAUAAUAAUUUAGAAUCAACUAGAAAUAGCCAAAGGAUAUACAUUAAUCACUAUUUUUUACUGAUUAGAAAAACAGUUGUUGUAGGAAAAAAAAUAUUUUAAUGGGUGUGGGUCGGGUUAUGUUAAAUGAAUCGGUUGUUUUUAAUGGGUCUAAGAUAUUUUAAAAUUAAUAUUGAUUUAUUUUAAUUAAUGUCGUGGACCUCUAAUAAAAGGCCACAUGACAAAACUGUUUUUGAAAAUCCACCAUUAAAAAGUUAUGACAUGGGUGAGCUGAUUUGAUAACAACGAUGGCAUGAAUGAACUGAACUAUUAACUGAUGGCAUAAAUGACCCAUUUCUGAUAGUUUAAUGGCAUAUUUGAGCCUUUUUCCUUAUUUUAACUAAUGACGUGGACUUUUAAUAAAAGGCCACGUGGCCAAGCUGUUUUUGUAACGGCAUGGAUGAGCCGAUUUUGUAACGGCGAUGGCAUGAAUGAGUCAAACUUUUAACUGAUGGCAUAAAUGAGUGAUUUCUGAUAGUUCAAUGGAAUAUUUGAGCCUUUUCCCUUCUUUUAAUACAACAAACCAACAACAACAACAUACAUAAUACAUAGUGAAAUCCACAAAUGAGGUCUGGAGAAGGUAAAGUAUACACAGACCUUAUCACUACCUCGGUAAGGUAGAGAGAUUGUUUUCGAAAAACCCUUGGCUUAAGUGUAGAAAAUUCAGGUAUAAAGCAGAGGUAAAUAGUGAAGAAAAUAUAGCAACUAGCAAGCUAUAGAUUAAUUGGUGACAAAUGAAGUGCAUCAAUUACUUUUGGCACAACUUGGGCUGUCUUGGCCUUCUGUGCACCCUUGCUCUAGUCCUUUGCACUACAUUUCAAUAACCCAAUAGUACUGUAUUCAUUUUAAUUUAAAUGUCUUAGUUUGAUUAGAUGCUACGUUUAAAAAACUCAAGUAAGACAUUUGAAUUGAAACGAAGGAAGUAUAUAAGUUCUAACAGAUUUAUUUUGUUGAUUCAUUUAAUAAUCCUACAAAGUUUAAAUGGUAAGUAGACAAUAAUAGUUUCUGCUAACACACUCACCCCUUUCAUUUACCAUGCUUGUGUUUAUUACUUUAGCAAUUAGUAGGUAAAAUAAGGCUUAAUUAUGGUAGAGACUUUGUCAAGGUUAAGUUGCUCGGACUCUUCAAAAAUGUCUACGGGCGCGUGUUGGAUCCUUCAGUAGUGUAUUUUUGAAGGAUCCGACACGGGUGUGGCAAUAUUUUUGGAAAGUCCGAGCAACUUAGAUUAUAAACACCUAUUGUUUUCUCCAUAAACACAUACUAGAACUGCUAAUGUGCUUCUUCAAGAAACUCUGCCACUACACAUUAAGCUAUAAUACACAUUGGAUCAAUAAAUUCUUAAAGCCACCAUUGAUUUAAUUUCCUACACUGUUAUUCAACCUCUUAUACAAACCCUCAGGGGUUGGCCUGGUGGUAAUUGGCUUGAGCUUUGGGUGCUCCCUUUCAAGGUCUCAAGUUCGAUACCCACUGGGUGCAAACAAUUUCUGAGGGCCAUCAGACUAGGUGAAACCCUGAAUUACCCGUGGUGCACUUGCGGGAAACUCCUUGCCGAGAGCCUGUGCACCCCCUGGAUUACUCGGGGCUCGAAGAGUCUUGGACACCCGGUGCAAGUCAGAAAAAAAUUCAACCUCUUAUUCAAUUAUUUUCGAGUCCCCGAAGUACCCUUCCUCUCUUGCCUCAAUUAUUCAAUUUAGAAAGUGAUGAAUAAUCAAAAAACCACUCUAUUAUGAUGUCUUGAUCCUCUUGUUGGAUGAAAAGUAAAACUUUUUGGUAAUAAUAGAGGGUAGUUAAUAGUAGCAAACAGAGUUGUACCAAUUACGAGUAAGAACUCACUGAUUAUUCUUGUUUGCAAAUUACUCUUAGCAUUCAACAGGUAAAAUAAAGUUGGUAAUAUUUGAUUUGAAGUUAGAAACAUUUAUCUUCUCAAAAUACUUAAAAUCAUUUUUGUGGUUCCUUGUUUUGCUUUGUAGAUUUCAGAAAUGGAGAUUGGCUUAGCAGUCGGUGGUGCAGUUGGUGGUGCAUUUCUGAAUGUUCUCUUUGAUAGGCUUGCUCGUCGGGUUGAGCUGCUCAAGAUGUUUCAUGAUGAUGGGCUUUUAGAGAAGCUGGGGAACAUUUUGCUUGGUCUUCAGAUUGUGCUGAGUGAUGCAGAGAAUAAGCAGGCAUCAGAUCAACUCGUGAGGCAGUGGCUUAAUAAGCUUCAGAGUGCUGUGGACUCUGCUGAAAACUUAAUGGAACAAGUUAAUUAUGAGGCUUUGAAGCUUAAAGUGGAAGGUCAACAUCAAAAUCUUGCAGAAACAUGUAACCAACAAGUAUUUCGAUUUUUUUCAGAGUGCUGUGGGCGGCGCUUGAGUGAUGAUUUUUUUCUUAACAUAAAGGAGAAGUUGGAAAACACCAUUAAAAGUUUGGAGGAGUUGGAAAGCAAAUUGGUCGCCUUGGCUUACAGAAGUAUUUCGAUUUGGGUAAGAAACUAGAAACUAGAACACCUUCAACUUCUGUGGUUGAAUCUGAUGUCUUUGGUAGGAAGAAUGAAAUAGAGCGAUUGAUUGACCAUUUAAUGUCUAAGGAGGCAAGUGAAAAAAAUAUGACGGUUGUCCCUAUUGUUGGAAUGGGGGGCAUGGGUAAGACAACACUUGCUAAAGCUGCUUACAAUGAUGAGAAGGUGAAAAACCAUUUUAAUUUGAAAGCUUGGUUUUGUGUAUCUGAGCCAUAUGAUGCUUUCAGAAUAACAAAAGGAUUACUUCAAGAUAUGGGCUCAUUUGACUUAAACGAUGACAAUAAUCUUAAUCGGUUACAAGUCAAAUUGAAGGAAAAACUAAAUGGAAAAAGGUUUCUCAUUGUUCUAGAUGAUGUGUGGAAUGACAACUACAACGAGUGGGAUGACUUGAGGAAUAUUUUUGUUCAUGGAGAUAUUGGAAGUAAGAUCAUCGUGACAACACGUAAAGAGAGUGUUACCUUGAUGAUGAGUAGUGGGGCAAUCAACGUGGGGACUCUGUCUGAUGAAGCCUCUUGGGCUUUAUUCAAACGACAUUCAUUAGAAAACAAGGAUCCUAUGGAACAUCCGGAACUUGAAGAGGUUGGAAAAAAAAUUGCAGCUAAGUGCAAAGGACUGCCCUUAGCUCUGAAGAUGCUCGCUGGCUUGUUACGCUCCGAAUCAGAGGUUGAAGGGUGGAGACGUAUUUUGAGAAGUGAAAUAUGGGACCUGUCGAACAAUGACAUAUUACCAGCGUUAAUGUUGAGCUACAAUGAACUUCCCCCACAUUUGAAGCCAUGUUUUUCCUAUUGUGCAAUAUUUCCUAGAGAUUAUCCAUUUAGGAAAGAACAAGUUAUUCAUUUGUGGAUUGCUAAUGGUCUUGUAGUACCACGGGAAGAUGAAAGAAUUCAAGAUUUAGGCAACCCAACUCUUUCUCGAGUUGAGAUCAAGAUCAUUAUUCGAAAGGGUUCCAAAUCCUUCUGAAGGGAACACAGAGGAAUUCUUAAUGCAUGAUCUUGUCAAUGAUUUAGCCCAAAUUGCAUCUUCAAAACUCUCUGUCAGGUUGGAAGAAUGACAAGGAUCUCAUAUGUUGGAAAAAAGUCAGCACAUGUCGUAUUCAAUGGGGAGAGGUGGACUUUGAGAAAUUGAAACCACUCAUCAAAUCAGAGCAGCUAAGGACACUGCUUCCAAUAGAAAUCCAGGACCUUUACGGCCCUAGGCUAAGCAAGAGGGUGCUGCAUAACAUACUGCCAAGUCUAAGAUCCUUAAGGGAAUUAUCAUUGUCUCAUUACCGGAUUAAGGAGUUGCCAGAUGCUUUGUUUAUCAAAUUAAAGCUCCUCAGAUUUUUGGACCUUUCUUGGACAGAGAUUAUAAAGUUGCCCUAUUCUAUCUGUACAUUGUAUAACUUGGAGACACUUCUCCUGUCAUAUUGUACAUAUCUUGAGGAGCUACCGCUGCAGAUGGAAAAUUUGAUCAACCUGCGUCAUCUUGCCAUAAGAAACACUUCUCAUUUGAAGAUGCCGCUACAUCUGAGCAAGUUGAAAAGCCUCGAAGAGCUAGUUGGAGCCAAUUUUCUUCUAGGUGGUCGCGGUGGUUGGAGAAUGGAAGAUUUGGGUGAAGCACAUUACUUGUAUGGAUCUCUAUCAAUUUUAGAGUUGCAAAAUGUGGUUGAUAGAAGGGAAGCUCUGAAGGCAAACACGAGGGAGAAGAAUCAUGUUGAAAAGUUAUCGUUAAAGUGGAGUGAAAAUGAUGCGGACAAUUCUCAAACUGAAAGAGACAUACUUGAUGAGCUACUCCCACACAGAUAUAAAAGAACUCAAAAUCUCCGGAUAUAGAGGGACACAAUUUCCAAAUUAGCUAGCUGAUCGUUCAUUUCUUAAGCUAGUGAAAUUGUCUCUUAGCAACUGCAAGGACUGUUUUUCCUUGCCAGCACUGGGACAACUUCCUUGUUUGAAAUUCCUUGACGGAAGAAUUCUAUGGUAGUCCAUCCUCCAGAAAGCCUUUUAACUCUCUCGAGGAGCUUGAAUUUGCAGCGAUGCCGGAGUGGAAGCAGUGGCAUGUACUAGGCAACGGAGAGUUUCCUGCACUUCAGGGCCUUUCCAUUGAAGAUUGCCCCAAGUUGAUGGGGAAGUUGCCUGAAAAUCUUUGUUCUCUGACAGAAUUGAUAAUUUCAAGCUGUCCUGAACUCAAUUUGGAGAUGCCCAUCCAACUUUCAAGUCUAAAAAAGUUUGAAGUUGAUGGUUCUCCUAAGGCUGGAGUUCUCUUUGAUGAAGCUGAACUGUUUACAUCCCAAGUUAAGGGAAUGAAGCAGAUUGAGGAAUUAUGUAUUAGUGAUUGCAACUCUCUUACCUCCUUGCCUACUAGCACUCUGCCGAGUACCUUGAAGACAAUAAGGAUAUGUCAUUGCCGGAAAUUGAAAUUGGAGACUUCAGUUGGUGAUAUGAAUUCUAACAUGUUUCUGGAGGAAUUGACACUGGAUGGAUGUGAUUCUAUAUCAUCAGCUGAGUUGGUCCCUAGAGCACGCACUUUGUACGUAAAGAGUUGCCAAAACCUUACUAGGUUUUUGAUUCCUAAUGGGACUGAAAGACUCGAUAUUUGGGAUUGUGAGAAUCUUGAAAUACUUUUGGUGGCAUGUGGGACCCAGAUGACGUCAUUGAAUAUCCACAAUUGCGCAAAGCUGAAGCGGCUGCCAGAACAUAUGCAGGAACUUCUUCCAUCUCUUAAGGAACUGAAACUCUACAGUUGUCCAGAAAUAGAGUCCUUUCCUGAUGGAGGAUUGCCCUUCAAUUUACAACUCCUUGGAAUCAGCAAUUGCGAGAAACUCCCCUCUCUCAGAGAGUUGUACAUCUACCAUAAUGGCAGUGAUGAAGAGAUUGUUGGUGGUGAGAAUUGGGAGUUGCCUAGCUCUAUUCGAAGGCUUACCAUAAGCAAUCUGAAAACAUUAAGCAGCCAACUUCUCAAAAGCCUCACCUCUCUUGAAUCUCUAGAUAUUCGUAAUUUACCUCAAAUUCAGUCACUGCUGGAACAAGGGCUUCCCUCCUCUCUUUCUGAGCUUUAUUUAUAUGACCAUGCUGAGCUCCAUUCACUACCGACUAAAGGUCUUCGGCACCUCACUUCACUUCAAAGUCUAUUGAUCAGCAAUUGCCCUCAACUCCAAUCCCUUCCCAAAUCAGCAUUUCCCUCCUCCCUCUCUAAGCUGUCCAUUAACAAUUGCCCUAAUCUCCAAUCCCUUCCCAAAUCAGCAUUUCGUGCUCCCUCUCUGAGCUGACCAUCACACAUUGCCCUAAUCUCCAAUCCCUUCCUGAAAAAGGGAUGCCCUCUUCCCUCUCUACACUCUCUAUUUACAACCGCCCAUUGCUCAGACCACUCCUAGAAUUUGACAAGGGGGAGUACUGGCCAGAAAUUGCUCAUAUCUCCACCAUAGAGAUCGAUUUCAGAUACCUUUAAUGAUUAAAACCAAAUGGUGCUCUCACAAAUGUAAGUUAUUCUUUCCCCUCAGAAGCUUUUUGUUUUUGUUUACUUUCCUUUGUUCUUUUGUUAACUCUCUUUUUUAAAUCUUAUUGAACAGUGUGGAGCUUCUGUUGCUCCAACCACAUCUAGAAUUCGAUAAGGGGGUAUGCUGGCCAAAAAUUGCUCAUAAAUAUUGAUUGGGAGUAUUUGUAAUGAUUAAAAUGAGUGCUGCUCCAGUAGAUGUAAGUUAUUCUAUUUUCGUAGCAUCUUUUGAUUUUUUGGUUACUUGUCCUUGCUUGUUUGUUAGUAAUACUGUUUCUUUGUUUAAUUAUUUUGACCAGUGUGUAGCAUCUAUUGCCUCUGUGAAGCCGAGGAAGCAUCUUCAUAUCAAGAUAAAGUAUUUAUAUUUGCACUGAAACAUUCAAAAAGAAAUCUAGUUCAGAUAGGAAUUGAGAUAAAUUGCUCCAGAAAAUUGAUUGCCUAAUACAGACUCUCUUUUCUUGUCUAUUAACUUAUGUUCUUCCUCAAAUUUUGCAGACGAAAAUACGAUUCGCCAUCAUGAAAGCUGUUCUGCUUUGUUCUGCAUUUUUUCGUUUCUUCUACACAGAUAAAGGUUCCAAGAAAUGCAACCUCAUUUUCUCAAUGAGGUAGCCAAGACCUUGACAAGAGUUGCAUCAAGCUAGAGUAAAGAAAUUGGAAAAUACUUUGAAUGUCUGCUUCCAUUAUUUAAGCCAUGUUACAACGCAUUGAUCUCAAACUAUGUUGCUUGGGCUCUUAAAACAUGUUUGCGGGUGCGUGUUGGAUCCCCCAAAAGUAGUGUAUUUUUAUAGAAUCCGACACAGGUGAGGCAUCGGAAGUGAAGAAUCAGCGCAACUUAGAUUUCAAGCUUGAUACAACUGCAUUUGCUAGCAGACACUGAGCUUUUGUCGGUAUUUGGAUCUUUAUAACAAUAGGUAAAACAUCACUUUCGUCAGUAUUUGGAUCUUUACGUAAUAACAGUUUUUGUUUUGAAUAUUCAGAGAUUUGAACUGAGACAUAAACAUUAAGCUGAUAACUUUGGAGAUUAUGGAGUUCCCUUCAAAUGAUGUCCAUUACUCAACCAGCUCGGAAUGAAUUCAAGGUUAGAUAACAGAAGAAAAACAAUUUAUUCAUGCUUCAGUUACCAAGAUGCUUAUUUUGUAGUAAUAGUGGUUUGUAUUUUAUCUUAUAAUAGGCAGCAUAACAAAGAAAGAGCCAUCUCUUAUUAAUUCUUCUAGUUUUAGCUGAUGUAUAUAUUCAAAAUAUGAUGCCGCGUUACUUACUGCAAUUUGUUGCAAUUUACUGUCCAGAUUAUUGGCGCAUACAUCCUAUCUUGGAAGAUAUCUCAUGAUUGAUCUUCCCUAUCUCAGUAGAUCUUCCAUAUCUCAUAGUGAUUUAGUUUCUAUUUAGGAGAAGAUCACAAUUCUUUAUUAGUUGAUUCUUUCCUUAUUUAGUUUGUAUUCUCUUGUAUAUAUACACAUAUAUGUCAAUGAAAUCAAUAGAAGCUUUCAUACUUUACUCAUCUUUAUAUGGUAUCAGAAGCCUCAGUAUACUCUAACGAGUAAGAUUUCUUUUUCUCUCCCACCCACCCUCCUCAAAUGGCAGACACUCGAGUUGUUAAUGCUGACAGCAACGUCAGCCCGAUGGUUGUUCAAUUUAACCCUGUGUCCCAAUUGCCCAUUAAAUUACUUGACAGCCACAAUUUUGCAACGUGGAAGGCGCAAUUUUCCAUGCUUAUGCAUGGUCAUGAUCUCUAUGGUCGUCUUGAUGGGUCUACACCUUCCCCAUCUCGCACUAUCACAACUGGCACAGUCCCUAGUGCCAAUCCUGCGUUUACUCUUUGGUUUCGACAAGACCAACUCAUUCAAAAUGCACUUAUGGCAUCUGUUGAUCCAACAAUUGCCACAACUAUUGAAGCGGCUACCUCAGCAAAGACAACCUGGGAUGCACUGCUCAUCGCCUAUGCGAACAAGUCCAAACCAGAUUUUUUAGUCUGCAUGAUCGACUUAUGCAUUUGACCAAAGAAUCCCAGCCAGUCACGGAAUAUUUGCAAACUAUUCGAUCUAUUUCUGACAAACUCCCUAUUGCUGGUGCUCCGAUCUCCAAAUCUGAACUUAUUGUCAAGAUCCUCAAUGGUUUGGGUCCAGAGUUUCAUGAGAUCUCUGCUGCAAUCCGUGCUCGUGACUCCACUAUUACUUAUGAAGAACUCUACGAAAAGCUUCUGGAUCAUGAGCUUUUCCUUCGACAUGAAGAGUCAAAAAAAAGUUCCCAAUCAGAUUACUAUUGUUGCUGCUACCUCCAACAAGCCUGGUACUUCGAACAAUCACACCAAUCGUCGCCCCAACAAUAACAAUGGCAACAGCCAACAGUGGCGGUCUAACAAUCACUUUACUUCACCCAAUCCACGACGAUCUUCGACCACCAACAACUCUUCUAAUGGUGUUCGCUAUCAGUUGUGCAACAAACCAGGUCAUGUUGCAAGUGUUUGUCGAUUGAAAUCUCACAAUCUCUUUGAGGCGAAAGCCAAUUAUGUUCAAGAGGCAUCAGAAAAUCCUUGGAUCCUCGACUUCGGUGCGUCUCAUCACAUCACUGCCGAACCUCAAAAUUUGCAGCCACACAAUGGGAUGGAGCAGGUCUCCAUGGGUAAAAAAAUACCAAUAACUCACAGUGGUUCAACUCAAUUAAAUGCAUAAAAUAAAUCUUUCAAACUCUCUAACACUCUCGGUGUUCCUAGCAUUAAAUGCAAUUUACUCUCUGUCUCUAAAUUUUAUCAAGAUAACCUAACCUCUAUUGAGUUCUUUCCCUUUCAAUUUUUUGUGAAGGAUUUGAAAACGCGGACUCCGUUGGUGCACGGUUAGAAUAAGGACGGUCUCUAUGAGUAGCCAAAUUUACCCUCCAUGUCUUCUCCUUAAGUGCAUUUGACCUCCACCAGCACAUCCACUUCUACCUGGCAUAGUCGGUUGGGUCAUCCGAAUGCAAGAGUGUUAAAUUUUCUUUUGAUUAAAUUCUCGCUACCUUGCUCGCGAGAAAAAAUUUUAGUUUGCAAUUCUUGUUCCUCGAAUAAGGCUCAGCGCCAUCCUUUUAAACAUUUUAGUUUGUCAAGUACCAAACUAUUUUAAGCAAUAUUUAGUGAUUUAUGGGGUCCUUCUCCAGUUCAAUCGAUUGACAAAAAAUUAUACUAUUGUAUUUUUGUGGAUGAGUAUACCCGAUAACCUGGCUUUACAUAUUAAAGAAUAAAAGUGAGGUUACAGACCUUUUCAAAAACUUUCAAGCAUUAAUUGAACGUCGUUUUAAUACGAAAGUUCUUUCUAUCUAUACAGAUGGUGGUGGCGAAUAUAAAAGUCCUGAUUCAUAGACAUAUUAUUGAGACGGCUUGCACUUUACUUCACGAAGCUUCACUUCCAUCGACUCGUUGGUCGUUUGCUUGUCAACAUGCAGUUUAUUUGAUAAAUUGCUUGUCAACCUCACUUUUACAAAAUAAAUCACCUUUACAAAUGUUGUUUGGUCAUAAUCCGGAUUACAAUUUGUUAAAAAAUUUUGGGUGUCUCUGUUAUACCUGGCUCAAACCUUAUUCAAAAAAUAAAUUAAGAGCCACGAUCAACACUAUGUGUAUAUUUAGGAUUUUCUUUAGUUCAUCAUUGUCACCAAUGUUUUGAUCCGAAAUCUUCUAAAAUAUAUUUAUCUCGUGAUGUGAAUUUUUUUGAAAAUAAUUUUCCUUUUCAAAAUAUAUUUUUAAAUAUUUCUUCAACUUGCAAAGAACUUGUGUGGGAAAACCAACUGAUACUACCCCAACAACAUCCCCUAGUUUUUCUUCUCCCAUAAGUAGCGAAUUACUCAGCCCCAUAUUUAUCCCAAGUUCAGAUAGUAGCAACGCUCUCAAAGACACUGUCUCCUCUGCCUGCGCUCCAACAGAAUCUGCAAGUUCAGGUAACUCUUCUCCUCCUACUACUACAAUUCUAUUAUUCAUACCGCUCUCCGUGACACCCACUCUUAUCCCCCAUUGCCUCAAUCAUCAUCUUUUCCAAUUGUAUACAAUCGCAGAAAUAAAACAAUGUCAUCUGCUAGCCAAAACACCGCUGCCCGUCCCUCCACCUCACUUCCGCUACAACCUUCCCCCAACCCUGCUCAAGCAACAGAACCUCAACAACCUUCUCUUCCUACUCCAAAUCAUGUUGUGACCCGUUCACAGCACAACAUUUACAAACCAAAAACCAUUCUUGACUUCAUGGCUCACUUAUCCCCCUCCAUCACCCCGACCAACUUCAAACAACCAAACAAACACCCAGAGUGGCAAAGAGCAAUGAAAAAUGAAUUUGAUGCAUUAUUGAAUAAUCAGACAUGGGUUUUGGUACCAUAUGACCCCACAAAAAACAUUGUUUCUUGCAAAUGGUUAUACAGAUUAAAAAGAAAAGUUGAUGGGACAAUCGAUCGCUACAAGGCUCGACUUGUUGCAAAGGGAUUUACACACCGUCCUGGAGUUGACUAUUACGCCACGUUUAGUCCGGUCAUCAAACCAACUACUGUAUGUUUGGUUCUCUCUAUUGCUGUCCAGCGGAAUUGCCUCCUACACUAGCUUGAUAUUAACAAUGCGUUCUUGCAAGGUCGUCUAGAAGAAGCGUACAUGGUCCGUUCUCCAGGUUUUGCAGACGAGCAGUUUCCCUCCCACAUAUGUCGUCUAAAGAAAGCAAUAUAUGGCCUCAAGCAAGCCCCUCGGGCGUGGUACAAUGAACUUAAGACAUUUCUUCUUUAUCUAGGAUUUGUCAAGUCAGAAUCUGAUGCCUCACUCUUUAUUCACAAAGUUUCAAACAACAUUUUGUACGCACUGGUUUAUGUAGACGAUAGCAUUAUUACAGGGAAUCACAACUCAGAGGUAAAUCGGGUUAUUGCUCGUCUUGCUGGGCGUUUUUCCAUUAAGGAUCUUGGGAAUCUAAACUUCUUUCUUAGAGUGGAGGUGCUACGAACUGCCAAAGGAAUCACUUUAUCACAGUCCAAAUACAUCAAUGAAAUCCUCGCUGACGAAAACAUGAAGGACCGUAAUUCAGAAAAAACCCCAAUGAGUGCCAUUGAAGUGCCUCAACUACAUGAUGGAGCGGAACCAACUGAUGCCACUCGCUACAGGAGAGUUCUUGGAAAACUACAGUACUUGUCUUUUACUUGUCCAGACAUUAGCUUCUCUGUGAAUAAAUUGUCUCAAUUUAUGCACUCUCCAUCUGAAGUGCACUGGAAAGCACUCAAACGAGUACUCAGGUAUCUCCAAGGAAUACUUCAGUUUGCUCUUCACAUUCAAAGAGGUAAUGAUUUCAACCUACAUAUGUACUCUGACGCGGAUUGGGUUGGAGAUGUGAGUGAUCGAGCUUCCACUACUGGUUACAUAUUAUUUUUUGGACAAAAUCCUGUGAGCUCGUCUUCCAGGACACAAAGAACAAUUGCUCGCCCAUCAACUGAAGCAGAGUAUCGUGCUGUUGCAAGUGCAUUGUCUGAAACCAACUGGGUGACAAAUCUGCUAAAAGAAUUACAUGUUUCCCUUCCUCAAAGAUCAACCAUUUACUGUGACAAUGUUAUUGCAACUUAUUUAUGCGGAAAUCCAGUUUUUCAUAGCUGCAUGAAGCACAUUGCUGUAGACUUUCACUUUGUUCGCAAACAAGUUCAGCAGAAUCAAGUUCACAUUGUUCAUAUUCAUGCUGCAGAAUAAAUCGCGGAUACUCUAACUAAAGCUCUACCAAAGCCAGCCUUUGAUAAACACCUAUUCAAGCUAGGCUUUGCUACACAUUGCCUAUCUUGAGGGGGGCGUAUUGGCGCAUACAUCCUAUCUUGGAAGAUAUCUCAUGAUUGAUCUUCCCUAUCUCAAUAGAUCUUCCAUAUCUCAUAGUGAUUUAGUUUCUAUUUAGAAGAAGACCACAAUACUUUAUUAGUUGAUUCUUUCCUUAUUUAGUUUGUAUUCUCUUGUAUAUAUACACAUACAUGUCAAUGAAAUCAAUAGAAGCUUUCAUACCUUACUCAUCUUUAUACGGAUAACUUGACAUUUAAUUUUGAGGAAUUCCCUUUGCUUGUCUAUUAGCUUGAUUUGGUCUUUGAUCGAUUGUCAUUGCAGGAGUUGUUUAAUCUUGUCUCCAUUUAAACUUCAGUCAAUUUAUGGAAUCGCAAAUGAAAAUCAUAACUGGUCAGAAACAUGCAAUCAAUUUGCGCCAGAGAUGAAUUUAAGGCUAAUAAAAUGAACAGGCGUAUCAUGAUGUAUUAAGACUAUGCUAGUCGCUAGAGGUUGAACAAUGGGGAAGCCUUCUUGAUUAAUAGAGUUCAAAGGUGUAUAAUACACAAGGUUUGUUUCCUAUCUAUCAAAAAUAUAAAUGUUUGCCUCCCAAUAAAUUUAACAUCUAAAAGCAUCAGCGCGGUUCAGUUUUUUUGUUAAUGAUUAUUCGAAAUCAACUUAGCAAAUUUUAUUCUUUGACAGGAUUUUGGUACGCUGGUACAACUCUUAGCUCAGUUGGUAAAAGGAAAUUUCUGCUGCAAUUCUCUAUUGAAUAGAAAGUCACUCGAAUGUGGUCUGACAGCAAAACGUAGUGAACAAAGACAAGUCAUUUUUUUACUGUCCAGUGCUCUUGACUAUCACUCAAAGGUUUUGUUAUCGUUGGCUGUAAACGUUGUACUAAUGCUUUGAAUUUUAUACAUAAAUAUGUGUGCUCAUCAUCAAACACAGCUUUAAAUUUAAGCUCUAUAGAGAAUCUCUAGAAAAGAUAAUCACAGAUAACAAUCAGAAGUUUUAGGAAGCAAGUAAACAACAUCCAAUUGUUGUCUCAGUUAGAUUGCUUGUUUUUACUAACCACUAUAUAUAUUUGGUAUGGUCGGAUUUGUUCAAUUGGAAAACCCCCAAUGUAUGGCUUCAAUAUAAGUAUUUACUUGGCAGGUAAUAAUAAAGUUCUCCUUUUCACUUGUAUACCUUCUAGUUAUUGUCCACGCAGUUGAUUUUCUUAUUCUAUUACCUGUUGGUCUCUGUUUGGGAACACAUGCUGAAGUGAGUGAUGAACCAUUUGGAUUUAUGGGUUCAUUGCAGUUUGUAAGUUCGUUGUUACUGGCAAUCCUCAUAUAUCUUCAUUACCUUUUUUUAACUUUACCUUAAUUCUAAUCUCCCAAAAUGUUUUCCAGCUCUUCUCACCAAGAUUCCAGCUUUGAGAUCAUUUUAUCUAGAUAAAUUACACUACUGGAGAGAGAGUGCAUCUGUCACGAGCAGUUUGGCGUACUUUCUGGCUAAGGAUACAAUUGAUCAUAUCAAUACUCUUGUAGAGCCUGCAGUUUAUCUAUCAAUGUUCUAGUUCUUCAACAAUCCAAGACCAUCAAUUUUGGAUAAUUGUCUUGUCUUGCUUUGUGUCGUAUAUUGUGUUACUGGGAUAGCUUAUGCACUUGCCAUCUACUUUGAACGUGGUCAAGCUCAACUGGUGUGUACUCAGCACUUAUGAUCAUACAAUACGUAUCAACUCCAAUUGUUAUCCUCUUUUGCCGUGGUUGUCAUUGUUGCUGUCUUGCUUCAUCACUAGGUAUACAAGGAAGAAUGCCAGUUUACAGUCUCAAAACCAUGACGAAAAUGUUGGGAAACCUCAAAAAGUUGGGUCCCUUGUGAAGAUUAUUUCAUAUAACCUUGAUAUGAUUCUUGCGAAAAAUGUAAUUUUUGAAACAGAUCGUAUAUAGCAGCAGGAGUCAAUUCAAGAGGUUAUAUGAUUCUUUCUUCUUUAGGUGAAACAUCAAGUGUAACGUGUGUUAAUAGUAGUUUCUCUUGGAGAAUGAUUCUACCUGGUUCCUGAACCUCGAGAAAUAGCCGAAAAUGUCUGUCUCGUCUUCAUGAAGUUGACAAGGAUAUGACUGAGAGUACACCACAGAAAUUGGAGGUUAUACCCAAAAGUUGAUAAAGAUCAGGCUAUUAACAUCAAAUUAUGUAAAUGGUUAUGCAGCCAAAUGUGAUUAUAGCAUACAGUACAUCUUUUCUGUUUACAAAACUCUACUGUUUUUUUCUGUUCUUUUUGAUUGGUAACACUGAAGGGGAAUCUUGAAUUAUCUAGUAAAGUUGCUGCCACGUGUUCAAGCCGUGGAAACAGCCUCCGGCAGAAAUGCAAGUAACACAACAGCAUAGAGCAAUCAAAAGAGCACAGCUACAUUAUUCAAUACGAUUGUUGAAACAAUUUUAUUUCCAAACCAAAUCCCCCAUGAAUUUUAAUCCAGCGACGCCCCUUAUCUCCACAUCAACCAAUGGUGCUUGGAUUAUCUUUAAACUUGAUAACUCUGGAUCUUUUGUGAUCAUAUCAAGAGCACGCAUCUGAUCCUGAAACAUGUAAAACAACAGAGGCAUAAGCAAAACUAUGCAAGUAAAGAUGUGUGCUCUCGAUAUUAGAAGUGUAGUAGUUAUGGAAUUCAAAGGAAAAUGUGACACCGCGAAGAAAACUUGACACCAAACACCAUCCGACAAAUUAUGAUGUGGAAGUUUACGUUCAGGACAUUUUCCAGAAAGGGUAUUGAUGGCCUUCUUAAAAUUAGUUUUCAAACACAUCAAUGAUUUGACACAAACACAUCAACUCUUACCUUUCUUCUCAUCAAACAGAACUUGCAUUCUGAUGUGGAUGGAGGUAGGAUUUGGUUGACGAUAAGCCUUCUUACUGGAACAGUUUCCUUCUUCAACGAUGCACAGAGUCGUGAAGUCUCAUUGAUCGCCAUCACCUGUACAGAAUGUGUUUGUAACAAAGGGGUCACUCAAAAAGUCCUCAAGAAGAACUUGGAAGCACAGUAAAGAAUAGCUACAAGGUACAUAUUUUGGUCAAUUAAUAUUUGCUCAGUUGGCAACACUGGCUUAAAUAAAUAUGAAACAAUAUCGCAGGGUGGCAUACUUGCUAAAGUAUUAAUCCAUGUAUAUUACGAAAAGCACUCAAAACUCAAAAGGAGGCGAAAGAUCAGUACAGAAAGAUACUUUUGAAGCAAUUAGCAGCCUUCAUCUUACUCCCUCCUGUUUCAAUCUGUUUGUAUUACUUUCCUUUUCAGCCCAUUUCAAAAAGAACGUCCCUUUACUUUUUGGCAACUCUUUAAUUUCAACUUUCCACAUUCCAGGCUUAAGAUCACAAGAUUAAAGGACAUUUUGGAGAACGAACUACAAGAAAGGAAAAGACGAGGUGGAUGAUGAUACUUAUACUUGGAAGUAAUACUAAAGAAGCGACAAGCUAGGUUUGUUGCAAGCUUAUGCUCCAGAGUUAUUAACCUAUAGUAAUAGGAUGACAGAAUUUGUGCAUUACAGUGGGGAUUGUCACGAUGAUAAACUCUGUCGUUGCUGAAUCAUGGAACAGAUCCCGAACUUUUGCCAUCCUCUCCCUUAAUUGCUCUAGCUUGUCACUCUGCAGUGAAAGGAAAUAAUGCUCAACGCAAAGCAAUAGCACAGCAAGAAAACUAUUAUUGUGACUUCAAUGCUUACAGCAUCAUCUCGUUGUGGCUCCUCUUUGUUGAACAUGGAUUUUAAAGCUGAAGUAGCUGAUGCUAUUUUCUUUUUAAGCUGUGACACAUGAGAAAGUACUUGUAAAGCUGAAGUAAGUGCAUAAUAGGACUUUGGUAGACGAACUUGAAAUAAAAAGACCACUGCAAUAAGUUCCGGUUAAGAGAGAGAGACAUUUGAGGAUUCUCGUUCUUAAACAUGGAAGCAUUUUGAUGGAAGAAAAUCAGAAAUGACCCAUAAUAUCCUUCCAGUAGCAAGACAGCAGUUACCUUCAUCACCUUGCCUAUUGAUAUAUCUAAGAAGUCUGGCAGUGAUAGUAGUCUAAGUGUGUGUUCCUACAGAAUCAACUGGUAAAUGCAAACAUUAAGCUAAGAGAACAAAAGGGGAAGAUGGUGCACUAAAGCUCCCGCUAUAAGCGGGGUCCAAAGAAGGGACGGACAGGUUGUUUCCACGGCUUGAACCCCUGACCUCCUGAUCACAUGACAACAAUUUUACCAAUUACUCCAAGAGAACAAGUUUUACGUUAAACCAGUUUCUUUCAACUCAUCGUUGGUGCUGUAUCAAAAACUAUAUUCCUUUGAUUCAAGAAUUUGCAUGACCUGCAGAACCAUCCUAUGGUCAAAGAGACUGGAAUAAGGUAACAAUGACAGUCUGAAAAGCGUAUUGACUACUCAUUUAUACAUGCCUUAGAAAUUGCAAUAGCCUCAUCUAGACAGGCAGAGGAGUGUCCGACAGCUCUCGAAGUUUUAGUUCUCCCAGCUAUCACAAGUUAACAACAGCAGAGUUAAGUACAACAAGGAAUGUUUUAAACAUCAUAAUACGUGGAUUUUGCCAAAAGAAGAACUACUUUUAAUCAGUGGCUCUGUCAGCAGCUGUGGUAAAGAAAUGAAUCAAUAACCUAAUAGGCAUAAGGAAUUGCUUAAAGGUCGGCGAUUACGUCAGACACAGUUACUUGGGUCGUUUUGUAGUAGGAAAGAAGAUGACACCAAGACUAGGCAUGUACAGUUAACGCCAUACAAAGAGAGUGAUUUAAUUGGAUAAGAAAAGAACUACGAAACAUUGUGCUUUGGGUGUCACCUGGUCAGCAGGCAUUCCGAGGCGGCCAAUGCUGUCCAUAAAAUUUUUGACACCACUGUCACCUUGUAUUUGGCUCGUUGCGUGGAAUUCUUUCCUUGUUUUCUCAGGGUUUAUCUAUUUGAAUAUAAGUUUAUAUUUGUCCUAAACAAGUAGAUACUUUACUUCAGUACCAGCACUGAAAUAACAAGACCAAGAUACCUCUAGUGCAUAUAAUGGAGAAUCCACUCCUUGAAUCGGAACAAGUGCCCCUCCAGUCAAAUCCUACAGAAAGCACAAAAUGGUUAUAUGCAUCAAUUUCUCUUUUGACGGAAUUUUGAGAAGAGAAAUAUGCAGUAGGUACCUAAUCAAAAGAGUCGCUCAAAGAGUGAGCGGGAUCAGUUGAAACAACAAGAGUCGGGUGACCGUGGCUUGCAAAUUUUACUGCUAGAGAAGCAGCACAGCUAGUCUUCCCAACACCUCCUUUCCCUCCCAACAUGAAAUACUUCCGUUGUGUCCCACUAACCAUCUCGUCGAAUCCAACAAAAGCUUCAGUAGGAGUAGUAACUGACCUCACUACAAAGAUAAGAGGAACUUAAACAACCCCGAAGCUGUUCUUUAUAAAACUUCUUAGAAUUCUUCUGUAUAAUGUCGAGAACACGGAUUCAUGUUUUUUUUCAUCGAUUUGAAUUGGCAUUCACUGUUUACUAUAUGCAAAAGCAGCUGUGCAGAGACUUGUUUCACACAUUUUGGUCCCAAGAUACAAACAAAACUACAUCAUAUGUUGAUUGACAUUAAAUUCAGUCCUGUGUUUUCAAUAUAGGAUUUUCAACUGAUGUAUUAUAAGAUUCUUAAAAAUUAGAGAGAGUUCAAAAAUCCACUAACAAAAAUUAUACCACUCCCACAGUCUCAUAUCAUAAUUUGAUUAGGUACGAAGUUUAAAAAAUAGAAAAAGAUAAAUAAAAAUUUGAUGAUUUUUACUAAAUUAUCUUUUAUUAAAAAAUGUAUUAUCACUAUUUUUAAUUUAGUGGGCUUAUAAGUGGAGCAAUAAUACCAAAUAAAAAAAUAUGACAUUUUUUUUACACGAACAAAAAAGGAAAUGAUUGAUAUGCGACUGAGGGAGUAAUACAUAUUGACAUUUAUGCCCUUACAAGUACAAAAUUAAAUAUGCAUACACACAUGUAACAAAUGUUACUCACUUUUUGUUUCAAAGACUUUUUAAUAAGAAGCCCUUUGAAUCUAACCUUACAUUACAGUAAUAUCUCAUAUCAAAUGUAUCAAUAUGUACUGAAAGUUGAGUAUUGUCAAAAAAAAAAGAAAAAAAAAAAAAUCAUAUUUUUAAAACGGAUUAAAAGAAAAGUAGGUUUUGAAUCGGAAUAUAAUACAAAUCAGUUGUCAGUGCGCUCGUGUAUAAAUUAAUUUUCGCGGGAAAAUUUUCUAUUUUGCCGGACAAAUAGAUUUCCGGUCAUCUUCUUCAAAGUUCCGGCGAGAAAUUUUCCGGUGAAGUAGAUUUUGAGUUUAGAAAUUUUCCGGAAAAAUUUCUCAAUGGAUUCUUAAAGUUUGCUGGUAAGGAAAAACGAUUUUGGUAAUUUCUUAUUCCUUGUUUGGUUACUAAUUCCGCAAUAAAUUAUACUCUAUCAGUAUUAGUAAUUAGUAUCGACAUAAUUGAACUACUUGAAGAUGAAAUAAUAAUAUCGAGAUUAGUUAUCUCCGAAUAAAAUACAAAGAAAAUGACAAAAAACACUUUUACUUAAUAAAGUGGAGAGUUUUUGUAAAUAAAUAAUUUCUUUUUAGAAUGCAAUGCAUACUAGUUUUAAUACAGAAAACAAAUCAAUUAAUUAGAAAUUUAUUGGAUAAAAAUAGUAUCGAAUGAGGUUUAUUAAUAAUGCUGAAAUUUGUUGACCUAACAUUAUUUCUUUAUUAACUGUUUGGUUUGUUGUAUUAUUACUGUUUGAGAUAUCUAUCAUAUGUUACGUUUAUGUGUUUCGAUUAUCACACUAUUUGCUUGCUAGUUGCUAUAUUUUUUUAAUGUUUUCUGUACCUGAAUUUUCUACACUUAAGUCAAGGAUUUUUCGAAAACAACCUCUCUACCUCUGUGAGGUAGUGAUAAGAUCUGCUAAUACGUCACUUGGGUCCCCCCCUAAUUACACCCCACAAGUUCCUCUCUUGUGAAGUCUUUGUCUUCUUGUUGGAUGAAAAGUCAAACUUUUCGGUAACAGUAGAUUGUAGUUAAUAGUAGCAAACAUAGCUGUACCAAUUACAAUUAAUAACUCUAACAAAAAGAGAGAGGGAGAGAGAUCAUUCUUAUUUGCAAUUUACUCUUAGCAUUCAAAAGGUAAAAUAAAGUUGUUAAUAUUUGAUUUGAACAUAGAAACAUUUAUCUUCUCAGAAUACUUAAAACCAUUUUUGUGGUUCCUUUGUUUUGCUUUGUAGAUUUCAAAAAUGGAUAUUGGCUUAGCAGUUGGUGGUGCAUUUCUCUCUUCAGCUUUGAAUGUUCUCUUUGACAGGCUUUCUCCUCAUGGUGAUCUUCUCAAGAUGUUUCAGAAGAAUAAGCAUGAUGUUCGACUCUUAAAGAAGCUGAAAAUGACUUUGGUUGGACUUCAGGCUGUGUUAAGUGACGCGGAGAAUAAGCAGGCAUCAAAUCAACACGUGAGCCAGUGGCUAAAUGAACUUCGAGAUGCUGUGGACGGCGCUGAAAACUUAAUGGAACAAGUCAAUUAUGAGGCUUUGAGGCUUAAGGUGGAAGGUCAGCAUCGAAAUCUUGCUGAAACAAGCAACCAGCAAGUAAGUUACGCCAACCUGAGCUUGAGUGAUGAUUAUUUUGUUAACAUAAAGGAGAAGUUGGAAAACACCAUUGAAACAUUGGAGGAUUUGCA